AAUUGGCAUGUUUGAUAUUUUUCAACCAAAAUUCCCCUUGAUUGGGAAAAUAAACCAUUUCCUGCUCAUGUUUUUUAAUCCUACUCCAAAAUUCUCAUCUUAUUUGGUGAAAAUUUUAUUUUUGGGAUUUAUACGUGCAACCUAAUCAAGAAGUUGUUGGAAUGUGCUUGUGUAUUAUUUUAAUAAAUCUAUUUUGCAAUAAACCCAAAUAGUCAAAUUCUUAAUUCUCCCGUGCUAUAUAUAUGGUCUGUGGAUAUAUUAAUGUUUGCUUCUUUUAAUUAAUUUAUUUAUCUUUUGCAUAUCAUAACCUCUCAGAUUACUGUCUAACAAGAUUGCCUUUAAGUUUGAAAAUUUUCACAUAAAUUGGACGCGGGUGAUUAUGGUGUCCUUUCAUUUUCUGACGAAUUAAUUUUCACUGUCAAUUUGUAGUUUGGCUAGCUGGAAUGACAGUGGCCUGACUGAAAAAUAUGUUAUCUGGACAAAGCCAUGAACUAGUCUUUUAAAGGACUUAAACUUGUAUUAAUAUUGCUGAUAAAUUCCCUAUAAAUCAAAAGAGCAAACAAAGUUCUUAUAAAAACUGCAAGGAUAGCAGACAGUGAUUUAUUUAUUUAUUUUUUGAUGUUAUCUCAAUUUUAAUAAUCGAUGAUUGAUUGAUUCAAUCUUCUUCUUGUCCAUAAUUAAGAUACCUACUUUCUACUUCCUAAAAAAUCACUAAUCUGUCGAAAUAAGUUUAUACACAUUUGUAGAAAUCAAUAUCUUGGGAUUGUUGCUUGUUAAUUAUAUGUAAGUUAUACCAUUUCUAUGUUUUUUUUAAUCUGCUCGGCAUGUUUGAUAUUUUUCAACCGAAAUCCCCCUUGAUUGGGAAAAUGAACAAUUUCCUGCUCAUAUUUUGAAAUCCUACUCCAAAAUUCUCAUUUUAUUUGGUGAAAAUUUUCUUGAUGUUGAUAAACUUAUGUUAACUGUCAACUAAUGUUAAAUUAAGUCAAUUUGUUUUUCAACUAUCAGAUUUGGUAAUUUCCCCCUUUUUCCAGUGUAUGCAAAUCCACGACAACCACCCUACGCCUCCUUCCCUUAUUUUUCAAGGAAGUAUGUGAUUUUUUAAACUGGGUUUUGAUUGCUGGCAACUGUAAUAUGUUGGACUUCCGUAAUUGGCUUGUUUGUACUGUACAGAUAUAUAUGUAUUAAAAAAAAAAGGAAAAAAAAUGACAAAACCUUAACUUGCGUUUCGAUCAUAUCAGGUCUCAGGAUCCAGAAGCAGGUUCAAAAGAUAAACGAUAUUCUAAAGUGUAUGGUACUGGAACGACGUCGGCCGAUAAAGAACAACCUACAUGCUUAGGUUGCGUUAAAAAUCUUCUAGGUGUCAUACUUCUUUGUGUGGCGCUAUUAUGCUUUAUAAUAUUUGGUGGGACAAUAAUGCUAGUACUUUAUUACCUGUUGAUUACAAUGAUUGUGUUAUAUCAUGAAACCGGUAAAGCGAUAGCGAGAGCAAUACUCAGGAUUAAAACAAUCAAGGAUAAAGAAUAUAUUGAUGGUCUAAUGAAUGUGACUGCAAUGAUCCUUGAUGUGACUGCAAUCAUCCUUGAUCCUUUAUUCUUCUACAUUCUGGUGCUGGAUGAUGAAAAGAAAUGCAUUCACUGGGACAAAACCUUGGGGAUUACAGCUACCGUCAUCCGUUCCGUCCUCGAUUUCCUUAAGCUAGGCCAUUUUAUCUCUCACUCUAAGCUGCAUAUGGCAAAGGGGAACCAAAGAGAAAAAUUUAAGUAUUUGUGGGGGCAGUUAAAAAAUUUCAAGGUGUAAUUUACUUUCGCUAACUAGUUGUUUCUUCAACUUCCAUAAUUUAUAUAAAUAUAGUCUCCGUUAUCUUCUUUGCUCCCUACGAAGUAUUUGCUUUUUUUUUUUUUUUUGCCUUAAAAGGGAGAAGGAGAAGUACCUGAAGAUCCAAUGGGACGAAUGCGGAAGCUCUUCCUCAUUGACUGUUUGGCCAUCCUUCCCAUCCCCCAGGUAAAGGCACUAUCUAAUUUACAAUUACGUAAAUUCUGUUUAUUGACAUAUUAUGUAGUUCAAUCCUUCCCAUCCCCCAUGUGCAUAUCGUAAUAGUCUGCUUGAUUCCUGUCAUAUGUACAUCACAAAGUGGUUUUGAUUGUGAUAAAGAUAGAUCUUCAUACGAUUCAUGUCAAGGAUAAUGAUUUCAAUGUCAUUUUUCCCUUUACUUUGAUUAAAGUUGUAUUUAGACAUACAACCCUAAAUGUUUUGCAUGGAUAUUAGGGGUGGCAAUUUUCGCUAGUGAGUAGUGUUAAAUUUCAGCUAUAGGAAUUCGAUACUUUAUUAAUCUUGUUAAUAAUUUCAAACACCAACUCCACCUGUCUAUUAAUAAUUAUGUCACAUGCUUAAUAUGCUUUGAAAGUAUAUUUUUAAAUUUGACUUGUUUACAAGUUUUUAAUAUAUUUGUUUAAUUAAGAUAUUUAUAGUACUGCCUCUCAAAUUCAAAUCAAUUCUAGUCUUAAUAUAACUAGAUAAUUUUGAAAUAUAUACAAAUAGAAAGUAGUUCAAUUGUAUCCAAAAUCUAGUCGUACAACCAUUAUUAAUCAAAUAGUUAAUUAUGUCAUAAUUACAUAGGCUCACGUGACAGUAACUUAAAACCUGAAGAAGUGAAGAGAACAAAAAAUAUUUGUGUUCCUUUUCACCAACGCGAACAAACUAUUAUUUUCAUGCCAUUGGAAUCAGUUUCGCAGGUCAUUUCAAAAUUUGUCACCCCAGCUAUACCAUCAUUUUGCACAAAAAUAAAUAAUCAAUUUUGUUCAUAUUCAAUAUCCUUCAAAAUAUUUAUUUCCAUUAUUCCAUAUCAACUAAUAGGACAAACCGUCCAGGUUUUGGUGAUUUUUGGAAUAAGAGGCCCAGGAUUUUCGACGGCAAUGACCUUCUUUAUUUUACAAUAUUCGCUAAGGGUUAUUCGAACGUACUUUCUCUUCACACAUGCUACACGGGUUUCAGGGAUACUUGCCGAUGCUACAUGGGCCAUUUUUGCCUUCUAUCUUCUUCUUUAUCUGCAAAGCGGUCAUGUAAGUUCAAAGUAUCAUCAUUUUACCGAAAUAUUUUUUGGGAAAUUACAAUUUUUCCACCAUAUAGAUCGCCAAAUUAAAGGCCAAAAACAUUACAAAAUUUUGAAAUUUACAUUUUUAUUCAAGAAGUUUCCACAAACACCAUUUUUAUAUUAAUUUUUUUGGAAUCAGAAAAGCAUGAACUACGAUAUUCAGUAUUUUGUAAUUUAGAAAAGCAUAUUCUAAUAAAACUAGAAUUUUAGCAACGCCCAGUUAUUACACAUAUAUACGCACAGUCAGUUAGCUUUUUUUUAUGUAAAUUUUAGAUAUUGGAAUUGUCGAUGUAUGAUUUUCCCUCUACUCUGCAAAUUAAUUUUUCUGCUAAGCUAUCUUUCAGAUGUUUGGAGCCAUAUGGUACUAUAAUGCCAUAGAAAAAGUGACUGAAUGCUGGAGGGAAGCCUGCAAAAAUCAUACCGGAUGCAGCGGUCAUAGUUAUUUUUCCUGUAAUAAAAGUUCCAGAGACUACAAUUUUCUAAAUGAUUUUUGCCGUAUAAGUACAGGAAGUACUACCAGCUAUAGUUUUGGAAUAUAUAAUGAUGCUCUUCAGUCUGGUAUUGUGGGGGAGACAGAUUUUCCUAAGAAAUUGAUACGUUGUCUACGAUGGGGCCUGCAAAAUCUCAGGUUUGCUGUUUUUUAUAUGGCUUGGAUAAUGAUUAUUGUGCAUGUGAUCAGGUCCGUUACAGGUUCUCUUAGUCCGGUGCAGGUUUAUUUUGUAGUUCUUUUCGCAUCCAUGUAUUUUUUUUUUCCCCAAUUCUCUUUUAUUCUUUUCUUUGUAGCUUUAUGCAUAUUGUAAGGGCUAAAUUUUAUUAAAACCCACUAAUUAGCCAAUGCAGACCAAGACAUUUUAUUGAAAGGGGCUACAUCUAAUAAUACCAACAAUAUACAUAACAUAAGGGAUUAAUUAAGUUUAAAUGAUAAAAUUAAGCAAUUUCAUAAUUUUUAUUAAAUUAAGAUGACAUGUGAAAGUAAAUGAGGGAUAUUUUUAUUAUUUUUGAAAGGUUUAACAAGGAAAAAAUACUGUUUAAUUUUUUUAUAAAUUCAGAAUAAUUGAGGGGUAUGUUUUUAGGGGUUUAUUUCAAACGAACUCUUUUAUUCAGCUCAAAUAUUAAAAAAAUCAUUGGGGGUUUAACUAAUAUUUCCUGCUAAGGUCUCGAAUGAAAUUUCAGAGGGGUUAUAUGAAACAUUUCUUUUCUAUCGGCUGGUCAUUAGGUAAGUUCAAUCUUGUUUAUUCUCAUAAAAAGAGUACGAAUGUUUGGGCCACGCACAUUAUUUAAAUAUGCAAUUAUGGGCUUUAGUUACCUUACAUUAUUAUGUAAGUUUUAUAAUUUUUUUAUCUAAUGGUUGUGGGAAUAAUGUGAUUUUAUUACUUCAUAUUUUCAUAACUAUUGAAUUUUCAUCAAAUGACUAUGAAAAAAUUAUACAAUUUACGUAAUAAUGUAAGGUAACAAGCUCCCGCAAGUAUGUAAUACUUAUGAACUGUAUUGAACUUUUUGCAGUGCAUUUGGUCAGAACCUCGAAUCAAGUAACGAUGUCGGGGAAAAUAUCUUUGCAAUUUGCAUGACCAACUACGGCGUAGUUCUGUUUGUCUUUUUAAUUGGAAGGAUGCAGGUAACAUACAUUUUCUGUUUCUUCUCGAUUUCUCAAUUAACUCUCUCCUCGAGCUCUUAAUUACCUUUGAUCCUUUUAAAUCUUGGAACACGAUAUACAUAAGUUUUAAUUAGAUUUGAAAACACACAAGUUAAUUAUUUAGGUCAAAUUAAUUAAUGGCUAGAUGUACAGACUGAAAUUGCAAGGUCACAGAAGAUAAACCAGAAGUGGCAGGUGAUCAGGCAGUCGAAACACUAUGCGGAUAUCUCUCGUGAUCAAAAUGUCCGAGGGCAGUUCAAGAAAGCCAAGCGUGAAAAAUUGGCAAACAAACAUGUUGAUGUUCGCAUAGAUAGUUUUAUAAGCGAUCUCUCCCUCGACGCUGAAAAACAAGUAAAACGCCAUAUGGGCCGAAAACUGCUCAGAAAAGUGAGUUUCUAUUUCUCUGGAUAAUAAUAAUCCUUAGCUACGUACCUGCCUCUUAUUAAUUAGUUAUUCAUCAGAAGAUGUCGAAGGGGGAAUUUUGUUAGAAUUUUUUUGUGUUGACGUCUUAUAGCAACAUCUAGAAUGAUUCUUCAUUGUAUGUCCUUGAUUGUUAGAAAAUUAAUGGCAAAUGAAUUAGUAAAUAUGAACCAUAUAGGAGCAACAAUACAUAUAAUGACACAAAAUUUUUGAAUGCUGUCAAGAGGGCACCGAAUACGAAAGCAUUUUUAUCUUAUUAUCAUUUUCUUCUUAGUAAACGAUAAUUAAGGAAAAGAGUAAUGACAAAGAGUACUGAUCUGGUCCAAGAUUUUGAAUCUUAUUAAAGUUUGAGAAAAUUAUUAAGUUAUAAGGUCUAAUAGUAUAACACCAUUACACUCUUAAACAUAAGUUUUCACAAGUACGCAGUAGAUGGUGAGAUAAUGUGUAAUUAAUAGUGUAAUUGAGUAAUGAUGCUUCUUGAUGAGCCAUCAUCAAAUGGGUGAUUUUGACAAAAGUUAUAGAAUUUAUGUAUUUCAAUAUUCUAUAACUUUAUAAUCGUUGUAUAUAUUUGUAUUGACUCUGAUUCUCCUUUAUCAAGGUAGAAGAAUUACUUAAUGUAUUUCAAUAUUCUAUAACUUUAUAAUCGUUGUAUAUAUUUGUACUGACUCUGAUUCUCAUAUAUCAAGGUAGAAGAAUUUCAAAAUUGGGAUGAGUUCUAUUUGGACUAUCUGUUUGGUUGUCUGAAGCCAGUCGUCUUUAGUGAAAGGACUGUAAUUAUUCAGGAGGGAGAUCCAAUUAAUGUGAUGACCUUUGUGUUGCAAGGCAAGACUUGGGCCUACUCCAACAGCUUGCCGAUCACUAGACAGAGACAUCAAGAAGAUUGUGAUGUUCGCCGAAAAGAACUCAUAGACUGGGCUAAGAAUGAAAACUCGUACCAGCAGCUCCCUAUCUCAGACAGAACCAUUCGAGCACUUACCGACGUUGAAGCCUUUACUCUUAAGGCUGAUGACGUGAAAUGUGCAUUACUUUUCCGUCUUGUUUCCAAAGAGGCAGCAACUCUCAUACAAUCAUUCUGGCGUUUCAGGAAGCACAAACAUGCAACGCCAAGAACAUGCAUGGUCGGCUGUUUCAGGACACAGGACAAAGUUGUACUGCAUUAGAUUAACUAUUUGGGAUUGGACUUGAAGUAUUUAUUACACUAAUAUAUCUGUUAUUUAUGUUUGGUGUUUCUGUUUAGGUAUCGGAAAUAAACUACUUCUGUUGAGUGACAUAGUAGAUUAGGGGUGUUCAGAAUCCAAUUCGAUCCGCUUAAUCCGUCCGAUCCGUUUAAUUCGAUCCGUAUAAAUCCAAUCCGUGGAUUGGAUAUAGAUUGAAAAUUUAAAAAUCUGCAGUCGAUGGAUUGGAUAUGGAUUUACUUCUGUAAAUCCGCAGAAAUCCGUGAAUCCGUAAAAAAAAAAAAAAAAAAAAAAAAUAUAUAUAUAUAUAUAUAUAUAUAUAAUUAAAAAAUUAUUAUAAAUUUAAUUAAAAAAAUUAUAAAUGUGACAUUACAUAGUUACAUAAGCACUAUAACAUAUUUUAGCCAUUACCCAAUAAUAAUAUAAAAUAAAAAAUAAUUAAAUAAUCAAAUAUACAAAUAUAACUUGUAAAAAUUGUAAAACAAAAUAAAAGCAAAGUCACACGCACUAGCAAAAGCAAAGUCACAUGCACUAGCAAAGUAAAGUAACAUAACGCCAAGUCACCAACAAUUUGCAAAGUCACCCAAAAGCAAAGUAACAUGAUGCCAAGUCACCAACAAUCUGCAAACCCUAAGCUUUCCCGCCGUCACACACACUAGCAACACUCAAUACUGAUUGGAUACACUCUCGACACGGAUUUGAAGGACAUCGGCCGCGCGAUUCCAGCGAGAGCAAGCCAUCUUCUUUCCCAAGUCCAUCGAGCCACUUCACAUUCAUUGGUUCCAGCUGAACAAUUUCACUAUCACAACCUUCAAGAUCGCCACCCGUACGGCUUCUCCUGGUUCCCAUCGUGGACGGCUCCGUAAUCACCACUUUUCGACAGGCGCAACAGCCCUAGUGAAGGAUCAUACUGUAUUUGGUUUCCGAAACUUCGCCAUUUCAAUUAAUUGUGGCUUUAUUUGAACAAUUAAUUUCGGUGUUAUGUUAACGUAUUAUUGUAACUUUAUUUGAACAAUUAAGCUUAGUGUGUUAUAUUUUGAAACUUUGAACGUAUUAUUGUAGCUUUUUUUGAAUAAUUAGUCUUGAUGUGUUAUAUUUUGAAACUUUAAAUGUAUUAUUUUAGCUUUAUUUAAAUAAUUAAUUUAUUUAAAUUUUAUUCAAUUUUAAAUUUAAUUGGUAGCAAAAUUAUUUUUAUUUUAGAUUUUUUUUAUUUCAUUAGUUGGAGAGAACUAAAAAUUUUUAAUUCAAAAACUAAUGCGUAAAAUGGUGGAUUGGAUAUAGAUUAAGUCAAAUCCGUAUCCGAUCCGCAGACGUAUGGAUUGGAUAUGGAUUGAGUCAAAUCCACAUCCAAUCUGUAGAUGUAUGGAUUGGAUUUGGAUUGAAUUUUAUCAAUCCAUGAAUUAGAUUGGAUUGAAAAAUUAUAAUCUGCAAAAUCAUGGAUCAGAUAUGGAUUGAUGUCCAAUCCGUAAAAUCCGAUCCGCGAACACUCCUAUAGUAGACUAUAAUUAUCUGGUACAUGGUUUUGGAUGAAAAUAGUGUAAAUAGCAAUAGAACAACCCAUAGAUCACAGUCUAGGGAAUGAACAAAUGCACAAUUCCAGUCAAGUGAAUAAUCACAGGAUAUUUUCAUCAACUUUUAAUAAAUAUAAAAAUGAAAACUACGCAGAGAAUAUUCUUAAACACAAGUUCUAUGACUGUGAUUAUCAAUAUUAAGCAAUCAACCUCGUACAAUCAUCAACUUGUGAUAAACUAUUCAUGCCAGUAACAUGACUAUCUUAUUAAUUUCAGUUCACUGCAAAGUGAAAAAAAAUUAAUCACAUCCUCUUCGACUAAAAUUGAAGUUAAUUCUUGGCUCCCUUCAACAAAUUUUCUUUUCUAGUACUCUAUUAUUCACGUUCAUCUCAUAAAAGAUAUGUAGAGAUUGUCAAGUUAUGUAAUCAACUUGAGCAACAUCUUCCCAAGAUUACUGGAUUAGAUUUACAAGAUGAAUUAAAGAUGAUCUGAACUUACAAUGAUUUUAAACAACUCAAUAUCACAACGAACCAACAGUAAGCAAUUAAAGAAACUAAAAGAAACCCAAGAAUUAACUCAGACACAGCAAGUUACGUGGCUCAGUCAAUUCAUCAUUGACUUACAUCCACGGAGGAACAAAUUGACCAGCUUUAUUGAUUGAACCAAGUCUCUUUUACAACCAGAUUUAUAGAGCCCUAAUCAAGGAACAAGAACACUAUGUUUACACAAGCUCUCUCUCUCCUGAAUCCUCUGAAAUCCUCUCGGUUUGUUACACCAGAAUUAGCUUCAGCUUAUGUGUUUAUAACAACCCAGAAGCAGCCCAAGCUGAGCACGUGAGCAGCAUAUGUCUUUAACGGCUUUUAACAGCCUUCUUACGUCAUUAAAAACUCACGCGCAUUGCUCGUCAUUAUUAUAACCCAAAGCGCUAGAGUCUUAUGUCGUUUCUCAAAGAGGUAUUAAGAUAUCCUGAAACGCAGAUUGCUGUGCCGUUUUCCUUUUGACAUCAAAUGCCAAAACGCAGAGCUUCCUGUCGUCUCCUUAAAUCUCUUUUUGAUUUGUUUCAUUCUGGUCCAACAUAACUCCACCUUGAAGCAAAUCAACCCUGAUCUAAUUUUCUCCUCGUCCCUCUGUAUAAUUAGAGGCUAUCAACACCAGCCAUGUUCAAGCAAGCUUUGAACUUGGCUGUAAGAACAAUUUUAGUAAGUAUGUCUGCUGGGUUAUCAUCUGUGUGAACCUUUACUAUCUUGAUUACUCAUUUUGACACUUCAUUUAUGAUAAAGUGUAGUUUGACAUCAAUAUGUUUGGUUAUUUUAUGAUGAGCUGGGUUUUUGCUUAGGUAGAUGGCACUUGAGCUAUCACAAUGGACUUCAACUGUUUUCUGACUCAUCCCCAACUCUUCGAUCAUCCCUUUGAGCCAUAAAGCUUCUUUGAUAGCUUCUAUGGCUGCUGUGUAUUCAGCUUCUGUUGUUGAUAGAGCAACAACAUGUUGGAGACUUGCCUUCCAACUGAUGAUGCAUCCAUUGAGCAUAAACAAGUACCUUGUUAAUAAUCUUUUUCUGUCAUUGUCUCCAGCAAAGUCUGAGUCUACAUAACCCCAUAGGCCACUACUUCUCCCUUCUGAUCUUCCAUACAGCAGUCCAAGUUUCUCAGUACCAUUCAGAUACCUUAGUAUCCACUUAACUGCUUGCCAAUGCUCAUUCCCAGGUGUUGCCAUAUACCUACUAACAAUGCUUAUAGCAUAAGAAAUAUCAGGUCUUGUUAAGACCAUGGCAUACAUCAUACACCCUAUAACAUUAGCAUAUGGAAACUUUGCCAUUUCAUGUCUCUCUUCAUCUGUCUUAGCACAUUGCAGAUUGGAGAGCUUGAAAUGGGAGGCUAGUGGUGUCAAUACUGACUUACAGGCUGACAUCCCAAAUGUCUUAAUUAUCUUCUUCGCAUAGCCUCAUUGUGACAGAAACAUUGUGCCUACCUUCUUGUUCCUCAUUAUAUCUAUGCCUAAGAUCUUCCUAGCACGUCUUAAAUCCUUCAUAUCAAAUUCUGAACUCAGUAGCUCUUUCAACGCUUCAAUCUCAUCCCUUACCUUACAAGAAAUUAACAUAUCAUCUACAUACAUCAACAAGUAUAUGUAGUGAUGUGUCUUAAGUAUCUUGUAGUAGACACAACAAUCGAAACUGCAUCUUUUGAAUCCAUUUGUUGUAAUGAACUCAUCAAACCUGAGGUACCAUUACCUUGGGGACUGUUUUAAACCAUACAAUGAUUUCUUUAGCAAACACACAUGUUCUGGUCUCUCUGGAUCCACAUACCCCUCUGGCUGAACCAUUAGAAUUUCAUCUUGUAAUAUUCCAUGAAGGAAUGCUGUUUUGACAUCGAGUUGAUCAAGCUCCAUGUCAUAAACUAUAGUCAUAGCUAGCAAUACUCUGAUUGAAGUAUGUCUAACUACUGGUGAAAAAACUUCUUUAAAGUCAACCCCUUCCUUUUGAGUGUAGCCCUUAGCCACUAACCUAGCUUUGAAUCUCCUAAGUUCUGAAGCUGUCAGGCCAUCCUUAAUUCUAUAGAUCCAUUUACAACCAAUGAGUUUUCUUUUUUCAGGUUUUGUUACUUGCUCCCAGGUGUUGUUUUUAUAGAGGGAUGAUAUUUCUUCAUCCAUUGCCUGCUGCCAAUCAGUUUUGUAUGAGCUUUGCAUUGCUUCUUUAUAGCUCAUUGGUUCUUCUUCAUCAACCUCUUGUGAGGUGGCCAGUGCAUAUGCUAUAAGAUCUGCAUAGCCAAACCUCUUUGGGGGUCUUAUUACUCUUCUCUUUCUGUCUCUAGGUAGAUGAUAAUCUUCUAUAUGGGAGGGUUUUGGGUGUUCUGAGCUUGUAUCCCUAUCACCAGCAACUUCUUUAUCUGAAUCUACAGCUUCACCAAAGGUUUUCUUUGCUGGAUGCUUCACCUCAAACUGUAUAACAUCAUCAGUUUUAUUUUGAGGUUUAGCAUUUUCAACAGGGUUUUUCCUCACUUAGCACCAUCUGCUCAUUAAACACCACAUCUCUGCUGACUAUACAUUUUGGAGGGGCCAAGUCUGCGUACCAAAUCUUAUAGCCUUUUACCCCUUCUGGAUAACCUAUAAACAGCCCCUUUAGAGCUCUAGAUGCUAGCUUUCCUUGGUUUGUAUGUGCAUUGGCAGUGCAACCAAACACUUUCAGCUUGCUGUAAUCUUCUAGUUUACCACACCACUUCUCAUGUGGUGUUUUGAAGUCUAAGACUGGGGAAGGGCUCAAAUUUAAUAGCAUGCAAGCUGUCAGUAGUGUUUUUGCCCAUAGCCCUUUAGGUAAAUAUGAUUAUAUCAUCAUGCAUCUUACCUUCUCCAUCAAAGUUCUGUUCAUUCUUUCAGCCAAGCCAUUCUGUUGUGGUGUUAGUCUCACUGUUUUGUGUCUAGCAAUGCCUUCUUUUGAGCAGUAUUCAUCAAACAUAUGAUUACAAUAUUCUAGUCCAUUGUCAGUUCUAAGAAACCUUCAGCUUCUUCCCUGUUUGAUUUUCAACAAGUGCUUUCCAUUCUUUAAACCUCUCAAACACAUGAUCUUUGGUUCUAAGUACAUACACCCAAACCUUUCUAGAGUAGUCAUCUAUUAUAGACAUAAAGAACCUAUUGCCUUCUAAAGAUGGAACCUGUGAAGGUCCCCACAGAUCUGUAUGCACAUAGUCCAGGAUACUUUUGGUUUUAUGGACAGAUUUCUUAAAGCUAGCUCGUAUGGAUUUCCCUAGAACACAAUCCUCACAGAAAUCUAGUUCUUCAAUCUUGUCACCCCUCAAAACCCCCUGCUUUUCUAAUUCUUUAAGACCAUUUAGGCUUAUGUGUCCCAAUCUUAAAUGCCAAAGCCUGGUAUUAUCAGCAUUAGUCUUGACAGACACAUUGGAUUCACUAGUCAUUACUUCCCCAUCCAGGACAUAAACCCCAUUUCUCCUUGUGCCUUUCAUAAUCAAUGUUGAGCCAUUUAGGAUUCUUAAGUCACCACACUCUAAUUUUAUACUACACCCAAUUUGGUCAAGCAUCCCUAGAGAGAUUAAAUUCCUUUUAAGGUUUGGUACAUGCCUGACCUGUUUUAUUAGCCUCACAAUCCCAUCAUGUAGUUUUAGAUGUAUGUUUCCUAUCCCAAUGACCUUACACAUUGCAUUGUUUCCCAUCAUUACCCUUCCCCCAUCAUAUUCAUGGUAAUCUGAAAAGUAACUCUUUACAGGACUCAUAUGAAAAGUAUAGCCAGAAUCAAGGAUCCACUUACCUAUCUGCACUUCAUCAGUUGCCACACACACUCCAGCUGAUUCAUAUCCCUCAUCUUCAACUAUUGCUGCAUCUCCAAUCUUUUGUUUAUUUUUAGGGCAAUCUUUCUUGAAGUGUCAUUCCUUGUGACACUGAAAACACUUCAAGUUCUUGUUUUUGUUCUUCCCCUUUCCUUGCUUCUUUUUCUUUCCAUCAAUUCUUUCAUUUCUUCCUUUCACAGUUAAUCCCACUCCACUCUCUGUGUUAACUUGCUUUUCUUGUAGACCUCUGGUAUUCAAUGCAGCCUUAACCUCAUCUAGAGACAAGGUUUGUCUACCAUACAUUAAAGCAUCCACAAAAUUGGAGUAUGACUGUGGUAAUGAACUUAUCAGAAGUAGAGCUUUUCCUUCAUCAUUCAGGCCCUCAUCAAUGGUCUCCAAGGUGUCACAAACUUUGUUGAACUCAUCGAUAUGUUCAUCAAGAGAUGAUCUCGCAGCCAUCUUUAAUGAAAACAUCAUCUUCUUUAUAUAGAGCCUAUUUGCCAGUGACUUUGUCAUGUACAGAUUCUCAAGUUUAGCCCAUAGCUCUGCCACUGUUCUCUCCUUUGCCACUUCUCUAAUAACUGAGGCACUCAAACUCAGAAUUAUCGUGCUUCUUGCUUUCUUGUCGAUCUCAGCAGCCAGUUCUAGAGAUUUUGAUGAAGAUACCUCAUUCCCUUCUUUCUUGGUUGUUGGUUCUAUGGUUUCACCUAGGCCUUGAGUAAUUAACAAUGCCUCCAUUUUCACUUUCCACAUAUUGAAGUCGUUCUUCCCAUUAAACUUUUCAAGAUCAACUUUAGGAGCAGCCAUACUUGUAUCUGAUCAAGAAACCGAGCUCUGAUACCAAUUGUAGAGAUUGUCAAGUUAUGUAAUCAACUUGAGCAACCUCUUCCCAAGAUUACUGGAUUAGAUUUACAAGAUGAAUUAAAGAUGAUCUUAAUUUACAAUGAUUUUAAACAACUCAAUAUCACAACGAACCAACAGUAAGCAAUCAAAGAAACUAAAAGAAACCCAAGAAUUAACCCAGACACAGCAAGUUACGUGGUUCAGUCAAUUCAUCAUUGACUUACAUCCCCAGAGGAACAAAUUGACCAGCUUUAUUGAUUGAACCAAGUCUCUUUUACAACCAGAUUUACAGAGCCCGAAUCAAGGAACAAUAACACUCUGUUUACACAAGCUCUCUCUCUCCUGAAUCCUAUGAAAUCCUCUCGGUUUGUUACGCCAGAAUCAGCUUCAGCUUCUGUGUUUAUAACAACCCAGAAGCAGCCCAAGCCGAGCACAUGAGCAGCAGAUGUCUUUAACAGCUUUUAACAGCCUUCUUACGUCAUUAAAAACUCACGCACAUUGCUCGUGAUUAUUAUAACCCAAAACGGUAGAGUCUUAGGUCGUUUCUCAAAGAGGUAUUAAGAUAUCCUGAAACGCAGAUUGCUGUGCCUUUUUCCUUUUGACAUCAAAUGCCAAAACGCAGAGCUUCCUGUCGUCUCCUUAAAUCUCUUUUUGAUUUGUUUCAUUCUGGUCCAACAAGAUCAAUUUAUUAGAAGACGAUAUUCCUCCAUCAAAUUGAAAGAGAAAUUGAAAAUAUCAAAAAGGGAACAGUAAGACGAUACUAUAUAUAUUAUCAUGAUAUUUUUGGUUUUUGUUUUGGAAAUGGAACAUCAUGAAACCGAGUAGAGGUGCACAAAAAUGGUGAAGAUAUAUUUCAGCUUCAUCGAUUGUCUCGAAUAAAAACAUCAAUGAUGUGUUAAACAAUUAACUCAAAAAUAGAUUGCUUACCUUAAAGGUGUGCCCAAAUUAUAAAUUUCAGUUUCGACUAUUGACCUUGGUUCGUAACGCGAUAAACUAAUCCGUGGCAUUUCACAUACCCAACAAUCUUGUAAGAAUUGGUUGAACUCUCAGAUCCCAUUCCACAACAUGCAAAACUCCCUGAUAUUGCCAAUGGCGGUGAUAUGAUUCAUUUAAAGGGUUCCCCUUGUUGCCAAUUACCUUUAAAGAACAAUAAACUAUUGCCAAUGUUCUCGACACGGUUCCAUCACUCUGAAAAACUAACGCAUGUGAGCAAAACAAAGGCAGUCAAUUAUGUCACUCCAGUAUUCAGAGACAGAUCGCCGACUCAUAAGUGAUUUAGUGGGCAAUCCAAGAAAGAUGUCAUAGAUGAUAUAAUCAGAAAUUUCUUCCUCCAUCAGUUUUAUACAAUUUUUAACAUCCCUUUGAGAUUCUGGUCAAUUAAGAACUUAAUCAGUUCCUGCAUGUCAAAGUUGUUUGAGUGUCAUAAAACCUGUAGCGAAUCUACAUUUUCUGGGAAUAAUUUAAUAUAAAACUUAGCAGAAAGCUAAUACAAAUAUGCAGUUUUUAUUCGAACAAAAUUUAUGUGAACCAAGAAACAGAGCAUAACAGGGUAGCUGCAACUAAUAACACACAAAUUAACUCGUAAAAGUGACCUAACAAGCGUCAGAAUCAAUGGAUUAAAGCACUAAUCAGAGAUUGUGAACAAAACGUUUGUUUUAUAAUCAUGGAAAUUUGAGAUUACAUCAGCUAUAUGAUCCAUGAAAGAUAAGAAGCUUAAAGUGAGUUUAUGUAGCAUUGAUAGGCCUGUAUGGUGUCGCCAGCGCAGUGGCGUCGUCGGCGUGAGUGCGAGUGAAUUUUGGGAGACCUCCGGCUCCGGUUCCGUUGACUUUGCAUUAAAUUUGGUAAUAAUUUUUUUUUUAAAAUUUAAAGUGUUAAAAUAUUCUAUUUAGCAGAAAAUAGAAACAAAUUGCGAAUGAGAUUAGAAUCCAAAUUUCAUUGCUAUCAUUUGAUAUAGAGGCAUUUCAAGUAAACUUUGGUCGUUUUUCAUUACCCAUGAGAGUGAGAACAGAGAACUCGAGUUAUCAUAUUGAAAAAUGGUAAUGAGACAGAAUUUAAAUCCUUACAAACCAAUAAUUAAUUAAUCGGUGUUAGUUUAUCGUGUUUGCAGCUAUAUUUUAUUGGAAACCUUAAAAAAGAAAUGGAAUCUUUCAGUUCAUAAUGUAUUAUUAUAUUUAUCCCACUCUUGUUUAUGACAAUUUGCAUCUGAGCCAGCUGGAAUGCUAUAGACUGAAAAAAUUAACAAUGUUUUCUGAGGAUGACUGACCAAGUCAAAGUCUUUGAGGCGCACAAUUAAUCUAACCGGGGCGAGCAGAAAUUACUGUAUUUAUAAAAUUUUGAUUCACUAGUUUCAAGUGAAAGAAAUAUUAAAAUAUAUAUCAUUCGCAUUUAUGAUGGAGCCUCUAACGAUUAUUAAAUCAUUUUAAGCAUUUAUGUAUGACUAUUACAUUUAAUUAAUUGUAUUGCAUAAUUUGCAUAGGCUCCUCCACUUUGAGGCAGUUACUUGGGUUCAAAUUUGCAGUUGCAGAGCACCAAAGUUUGCUUUUUCGAUCUACUUGGAUUUUUCUUUGUUGAUCAUGUAAGUUAUACAUACAGCACUGCAAAAUGCCUCUACAAUAUUGCCAGUUUUCGUAUAACAUGUCCUUAGGAGGACUCUUGUGUACAUAAAUAUGUUGUUCGGUUAAUGUCGGUCUCGUUUAAUUGUAAUUCAUUGUAGAUCCAAAAUUGUAAACUAUUGUUUCUUUAGCCUGAACUUGUGAACCAACUGAUUUGAUCAUCAGGUCUCAAGACUUGGACGCAGAGGAAGGUCUUAAAAGAAGGCUUCUGCACGGAGAUGGUAGGCCCAGUGAUGGAACAAAAAACUCAUCAGUUGUGUCCGUAACCGGAAGAUCCGGAACGCAAGCAGUAAAGACAAGUUUUCUUCAGCUGGAAAAGAUGAGAAAUUAUGCAGCAAAUUACAGAAUCGAUUUACCAUGGUAUGUGAUUUCAAUAUUAUGGGAUCCUUUGUACUUCUACACUCUGGUGAUCAAUGAUGAAAAGCAGUGCAUUGAAAUGGACUUUUCUUUGGCUUCCUUGGUGAUUGAACUCCGCUUCUACUUUGAUUUGGCCAAGUUGAUCCACAGUUCGUUUGUGAUUUGUGUUGAAUAUUUUGAAAAUAGAAAGAUAAGCGUGUGGCUGAUGUUCGCAUGGCUCAUUGACUUUGUGUCCAGUAUAAUAUUUACCCAGGUGCGUAAUAGAUCUGAAUUUAAUUUAUUUAGUUGUCUAAUAUUUCAAUAUCAUUUAUAUGAUUACUAAUACUUCAAAUUCAUAAAACAACAUCCAGAUGGUGGUGGGAAUAACGGACAUUCUGUACUCGAGGAAUUUCUUUCUGUUUCAAUAUUUGCUGAAGAUUAUUCGAACCUACCACCUGCUUACAGCAGCAACAGGGGUUUCAGGGAUAUUUGGUGAAUCUACAUGGGCCAUUGUUGCGUUCAAUGUUCUUCUUUACAUGCACGGCAGUUACGUAAGUCAAAAGUACUAUCAUUUAUGUAAGUUAAUUUAUAAUAAAACCCUUCUCAGGCAAAAAGAAAAAUUAAAAUAGAACCACAUUCAUGCAUCCUGCUUUCUUCCUUCCUAAUUUUGAUAAAUGAAUUCUUUUAGUCCUUAAGAUUCGAGUUAAUUAUUCAGUUACUACUGUCGCAUAUAUUGUCAGACAGAAGUAAUGACAAAGACAUUUUUGUGUAAUUCUUAAAAAUAUGGAGAUUAACUGAAUAAUUAACCCAAGCCCUCGUGAAUGAAGGGAAAUUGACACUCGAAGCUUUUCUACUUUCUCAACCGCGCAUGUUUCUAAUCGAGUGGUCCUUUAGGUAUUUGGUGCCUUGUGGUACUUUUUUGCCAUAAACAAAGCGACCGCAUGCUGGAUGGAUACCUGCAUGAAGAAUACUGGUUGCUGGGGCGUCUUAAACAUUGAUGCCUAUUGUGAGGGCCGUUCAGGAGACUAUAAGUUUCUAAACGAUGUUUGCUCUGUAAAGACGGGAAACUCAACAAACAAUUUUUAUGGCUUAUAUGGUGAUGCUUUUCAGUUAGGAAUUGUGGGGUUGACCGAUGUUCCAAUGAAAAUCUUGCUUUGUUUACUAUGGGGACUGCAAAAUCUCAGGUUUGUGCCUUGCAUUGUCGUUACUGUGUGAUGUGAGGUCAGCCGUUAAUAACUUCGAAAAUUGUGAGUUCAUUGAAUUGCUUUUUGCAGUGCUUUUGGUCAGAGCCUCCAACCAAGUAACGAUUUCUGGGAAAUUAUCUUCGCAAUUUGCAUGACCAACUAUGGCAUCGUUCUGUUUGUCUUCUUAAUUGGAAAGAUGCAGGUUCACAUAUAUAAAUUCUAUAUCGUAAUUGUUAUGACAUAUGAUGAUAUAAUAAAUUAUCAUGCGUUAAUUAAUGACCGGCAUCUUACCAUCUCGCUGUUACAUAAAGAAAUAUUUUAGGGCUGUGAGAAUGCCAUGUCAAUUAGAAUUAAUACAAACUUUGCAUCCCAAUUCCUUAUAAAAUUAGCGUUACUCAUAAUUUUCUGUUUACGUCUAUAGAUUUGAAGAUUGAUGCACAAUUCAAUUAUUGACUCUGUUUCAUUUGAAAUAUCUGAUACAUAAAUAUAUAUGCAGUCUGACACAGAAAGAUCACAAAAGAUCAAACAGAUGUGGGAGGAGAUAAAGCAAUGGCAGCACUUUAAGGAUAUAUCUAAUAAAGUUCAAGAUCAAAUAAGGAAAGACAAGCGCAACAACUGGGAAGAAACCAAAGGAGUUGACAUAGAUAAUUUGGUGAAUAAUCUCCCUAAGGACACUGGAAAAAAAAUAAAACGCGAUCUCGGCCGAAAGCUGCUCAAGAAUGUGAGUUCUCAUCAUCCCUCUUUAUAAUUAUAAUAAUUGAUCACUUUUCUAUCCUGCCCGCUCUGAAGUUCAAAUGUCUCGAUGUUUCAAUCAUUUUCAUUCUUAACCUGAUCGGGCGAGCCAAAUUAAUCCUUCGUUACAUUAAAAUUACAGAUUCGUCUUAUUUUCCCUCUUUGAUUGGUACUCCUUCUGAAUCCAAGCAUCGAACCUAAGUCAUACCUCAUUGAAGUUCAUGGGCUUAACUAACACAUGGUCAAAAGCUAGCUAGUUCGUAGUUAGGUUGAGAUUUGCCUCAAGGUUAAAUACUUUAUUCAUGAUUUACUCUUAGCUGACAUGCAAUGUUUUACAUACGCAGAGAGAUAGAGAUAGUCAUUCUCAAAUGCACGCCCUCAUUUUUUUUAAUAUGAAUACUCUGUUAACAGAGUUAAUUUCCAAUAAAUUGUAAACCCAUAGCAUUAAAAAUUGACUUUAUUAAACUGCAUAGUUUAGAUAUGUGUCCGCAAGAAAAAAAAAAAAGAGGGCACCCGCACUUAAGAAUGAUUAAUAUAUAAUAUGGACGCCCUCAUUUUUUUAAUCAGAAUAUGCUCUUAAACUGUGCAGUUUAGGAGAGUUAAAGACUAACUCUCUUAAACCUCAUGAUUUAAAAGCGUUUUUGUAUGAAAAAAAUGAGCGCGCUCGCACCAAAAAAGAACUCUCGGGUGUGUGUGUGUGUAUAACUUUUUAUAAAUGUAUUUUUAAAGUCACAUGACGAGGUGGGCUUUCAUUCUUAUAACUAAUCUUUGUUAUCUCGAUUUACCCAUGUAAUGGUUGGAUAUAUUUAUACUCUAAUUCUCAUUCUUGGAUAUGUGUAAAUAUAUAUGAAGGUAAAAGAGUUUCAAAAUUGGAGCGAAACAUCAUUAGAGGAACUAUGUGAUUGUUUGAAGCCAGUGUUCUUUAUUGAACGUACUCGAAUAAUUCGAGUAGGAGAUCCAAUUGAUGAGAUGCUCUUCGUGUUGAAUGGCAAGCUUUGGACUUACUCAUAUGACUUCAUGAAUGUAACAACAACUGCCUCUAUGUUGAUCCAUCGUCGUAGCCGGGAAAAUCUUCUAGAAGAUGGUGAUUUUUGCGGACAAGAACUUAUAGCUUGGUCUCAAAAUGAAAGCUCAUCACCCCACCUCCCUAUCUCAACCAGAACCAUUCAGGCACUUACUAACGUUGAAGCUUUUACUCUUAUGGCCGACGACUUGAAACGUGUAUCAUUACUUCGACAUUUUGAUCGGGCAGCUCUUUUGUUACAAUCACGCUGGCGUUUCAAAAGGCUGUUGCGUGCUAGAAGGAAUCCAGAGAAACGAUCACGCCUGGAAUCACUAAUGUAUAAAUUUAUAUAGAGAAACAUAUAUACGUUUGUUGCAGCAUUAUAAUUAGUCCCGAUUAUGUAAAAGCAAGUACAGAAAGCCAUUUAAAUAUGGGAAACCAACGUGCUGUUGCUCAUACUACACUAGGGGUGGCAAAACGAAUUGGCAAAUCGAAUUCGUGUAGAAUCCUAAAUGAAUCAAAUCAAAAUUCGAUGGAUUCAAAUUCGAUUUGUUUAUUAAACGAAUCGUAAUCUCAUGAUUUGGACUCAAUUCGUUUAGUAAACGAAUAUUCAUUUACAAUUCAUUUACUAUACAAAGUUAAAUUAAAUAAUAAAUAAUGAAAGUUUUUAAUAAAGAAUCCAAUGGAUUAAUUUAAAUUUAUUUAAAAUCUAAUCACAAAAUCGAUUCAUUACAACUAGAUCCAAGCAAAACACAAAUACAAUUCAAAAACAAGAAGCUGAAGAAACUCAAAGGCAUGAGGACGGACGAAGCUAACAGUCCAAUCAGUGGUGGGUGUGGCUAUUCGAGACCUUGUCACUACCGUAACCAAGAGAAGUGAAGCUUGCCGAAAAAUUUUAAGUGAGAGCACUGAUCUAAUUUUUGGGAGUGUUUGGUUUGGCUUUCGUUUGGGGGAAUGAAGAAAAGGGUCACCAAAUUCAAGUGAAAGAGAACAAUGGAGGAAGGACAAUGAAGAGUGGAGCUAGGCUCAAUUAAUGAGUGAUGAUGCCCUUGCUUUCAUUUUCUUUUUUGGUUUGUUUUCAUUUCAUAAUUUCAAAACUAACCUUAUACCUUGAAAUGUUAAAACAGAUUUUUUUUUUUAAUUUUAAUGAUAUAUAAGUUUUUUAUUAAAAUCUAUUAUACUAUUUGGUUACAACCUAUUUAAUAAAUGAAUUAUAAACGAAUAAAUGAAUUGUUGGCGUCAAAUUCAUAUUCAAUUCGUUCAUUUAACAAAUCAAAUUGAAUUCACUCAUUAAUCAAAUGAAUCAAUUUUUUUAACUCAGACCAAUUUAAUUCAACUCGAAUUAAAUCAAAUUAACAAAUCCUGACCCGGCUUGUCACCCCUAAUAAUAUGCAAAGGUAAUAAUUGAGUAUUAUGUAAAUAGUCGAGGUUAAAUGGUAAAAGAUGAAAACUAUAGGGGGUAUGUGUCAAUAUCGUUUUUUAUUAAUUUAACAACCGAUGGUUGAAUGAUUCAACCUUCUUCAUCCAAAUGGAAUUUUUCUUAUGUAUAAUGUUCAUUUAUGCUGAGACAAAUAGGUUAUCUCUUUCCACGUUGUUUUUUUCACCCAUUUUGGGCCCGAUAUAGCUGAGUAAUUGUGAUGAUGUGAACGGUCUUACACUUGAAUGAAGUCACAAUGUGAGUCAUACACUUGUAAUUUUUUGAACAUUUGUAGUUAGCUAGCCUUUGAUUGUGCUGUUAUUAAAUUUCCAAUUUUCGUCUUUUAAACGAUGACUUUUAGAAUGGUACCACAAUAAACGUUCUGGUUAGCCUUUGUUUGAUCAGCUGUUGCUAAAUGCCUUGUUUUUAUCUUUUAAUUUAAUAACUUUUAAAAUGGUACUUUAGAUGUUAUGAUACCAUUUCGAAACAACAUCGUUGUUAGUCUUUGGUUGAGUUGUUAAAUAUCUUGUCUUUGUCUUUAAGACGAUAACUUUUAAGAUGGAAUUUUGAAUGAUAACUUAAAGCUUGGACGUUAUUUUGUCUAUUUUGGCCGGCCAUUACCCAUUAAAACAACACUUUAAAUGAUUAAAUUUAUUAUUUUACUUUUAAAACUCACAACACUCUCUAAACAUGGUUUACUAAAUAACCUAAUAAUUUUUUUUUUUGUUUAGCUGAUUAUUUUUGUAAACACGACAUAAGCAGAAUAUUUUGUGAGCACCAACAAUCUCCAAUAAAUAAACUUUUAGAGUGGCUUGCCUACAACGUUUCUUUCUACAUGUUUUUCUACACCCAUUUUGUGCCCGAUCUAGCUGAAGUACUUCUGAUGAUGUGAAGGAUCCUGCACUUGAAGGAAGUCAAUCGGCCAAUUUUGCAGAAACCCUAAUUUUGAUUCUUCUACUUGGUUUCUAACAUUAUCGAUCAUGUAAGUAACUGAUCUAGGUAUUGGUACAUAAUAUUCGUCGAUUAAUUUUGCCCUUGUAAUUCCUUGAACAUUUUUUUCUUCCUGGACAAAUCAAAAGCACAGACUGCAUGAUAAACAUUUUGGUUAGUCUUUGUUUUAGCAGUUGGUUAAUGUCUUGUUUCUGUCUCCAAAAUGGCUUUUAGAAUGGUACUUAAGAUGUUUCUAACUUUACAGUGGAUGUAUUUGGGCAAAGCUACGAAUUGAUCUUAAAGGACACACGCACACAUACAUCUUUAUUUUUGAACAUCCAAAAAGGUUCAAAUGAGUGGAAAGCAAGUGUGAUGAUCAAGAAGAAAUUAUUAUUACUUUUGAUGUUUUGUUAGUCUUCAAAACAGAUGAUAGGAUGAUUCAAUCUUUCUAAAGAAAAUGCAAAUGAUGAAACAUAUGUAUAUUUUUCAUUUUGGAUUCUUCUUAAUUACCCAUUGUUGAUCAUGUAAGUAAAUGUUGUUGUUUCCAACAUUGAUCAUGGAAUUUUGCCAACUUGACACUUUUUAAACAGUUUUUCUUUGCCUGGAUCACUUGAAGAAGGGUUAAAUGCUCUUUAUAUCUCUGCAAUUGAUACCGCUCCUUUUCGUUUUCUUAGAUACGCUUAGAUUUACAUUGGAAAUCCUUUUACCCCACUCGAUAGGAAGUUUUAUAAUUCAGCGAAAUUUCAUUGUGAUUUAUUUUAAAACCUUGUUUUGUUAAAGUUAAUUUGCAAGGGAGUCGUAAUUUUUUUUUGAGUUUUUAAAUAUUGUUAAUUAUACUCAUCUUGAAAAAAUUAAAAUUUUUAAUACGAAUGUAAAAUGUCCAACUUUUUAUUUUUUUAAAUUAAAUUUUCGUAAAUUUGUAUAUUUAUCAAAAAUAAAUUCUAACAAAUAAAAAAGUAAUUUAAAUUAAUUUUCUACUUAAUAACAGUUAUAUUCCUAGCAAAAAAUUAUUUUCUAUUAGGGAUCAAAUAUUUUCCUUUACGGAAAAUGAGUUUUACAUGAUUAAUAAUUAGAGUGAUAUAUAAAAACUAAUUCGUGAGCACAACAAACAUUUUCCAGUAUUUAAACAAUGAUUUUUUAAAAUAAUAGUGAAAAAUCAUUCAUUCAUUUGAAUUAAGUCUAAAUUAGAGGCAAUGAUGUUGACGUAUUUUACAAAGAUGCCAAGAGUAUUUGUCUGUUGAGCUACUACAAUGUUGUCAUAAAAUUUACGCAUUGCAAAAAAAUUCUAAUUACUCAUAACGUGUCUUGAUCAGGUCUCGGAACCCGCAAUUAGAGCAAGGCACAGCAGCACAAGCUCUCGGAGAAGAUAGUGAACCACCACGUAAAUGGCCAUUGUUCUUCUUGGUUGGCCAAAUUUUAUACUGGUUACUCUAUGUGACAUACAAAAUUUUAUACUUGUUGCUUUAUUUGACUGCCAUAAGUUUAUUCGGGUGUUUUGCUGGGAUGUUUGAAAGCAUAGGGUUGAUUGUGGCGGUAGUGAUAUUGGAUAUUUUCAGGCCGAUGAUAAAGUUGGCUAUCAAAAAAAAGAUUUUUCUUCUACUGUCUGUUAUUGCAAUUAUAUUGGAUCCUUUGUUCUUCUACAUUCCGGUCAUAAAUGAUGAAAAGAAGUGCAUUGAAAUGGACAAGAUUUUGGGAACUACAGCCAUUUCUCUUCGUUCGGUAAUCGAUUUAUUUAAGAUAAUUCAUUUUAUCUUUGAGCUGCUCACUAAAUUACCCGUAAAAGGAAGGAUGCGUGUGUGGUUGGUCUUUCUCAUUGACAUUUUGGCCAUUCUUCCCCUCCCUCAGGUAUGACAAACUAAAUAUCCGGAUACUUAAGCUAGCACAUUUGUUAUUUUAUGAACUAUGACAGCAAAUAUAUAAUGCUGUGCAAAUGAUAUUCGGUGCUAUGUCCAUUCAGGAGGAGAGAGUCUUUCAUGAUCCUAGAGCAUUUCUAAUUAUAUAUUCACCUACUUCCUAACACAUGUGUAUAAAUAUUAUUACAAUUGUUUGAAGCAUACACGUGCCAAAGAAUGAAUGAAAAAGAAGCAGUUCUACUAGAGCACCCAAGACUUUUCCCCAUUAUUUAUAGCCACUUUCAAGGUUUAAAUUCUUUUUUAGUUCCGAAUGGUUUGGCCAAUUACCUAUUUAGUCCCCUUUUUUGGGGAAAUUAAUUAAAAUUAUCUAUUGUUACUCUUAUAGCUAUUAGAUCUAAUCUUUUAAGAGUAAAUUAAUAUUUUUAUCUGAUGUAAUUAAAAUUUAAACAAAUAUGACAUGUCAUAGGUGAAAAGUAAAGAAUAAUUGAGUAGAAUUUAAUUGAUACAUACAUACAAUAAGUACAUUUUGGAUAAUUUUCUAAAAUACCAGGAUAAACUUUAGAGGCUAUAGUAGAAUUUACCUCAGUUUCAAGCUAUACAUUGUACAAAGGGUUCAUAGUCCGGAUUUUGAAAACGUGCAGUCAUAUACAGAGGGGAAUUCUCAUACUAUGCAUUGUAUGAGGUAUUUAAUUAUCUACAUAUAAUACUGACUACCACUCAAUUGUCCAGGUGCUUUUGAACUUACAAAAAGUAAGAGGCACGGAAUUUCUAUACGCAAUGAGCUUCUCCCUUGUACAAUAUUUGUUGAGGGUUAUUCGAACCUACUACUUGUUUACAGAAGCAACAGGUGUUACAGGAAUACUUGCCGAAGCUACAUGGGCCAUUGUUGGGUUCAACAUUCUUCUUUAUAUGCAAGGCGGUCACGUAAGUUAUAAAAGACCAUUCAUUCAAUUUAAUUCCUAAGAUAUGCACGAGCCGAAUGAAUAUAUCUUUAUGCAUACUUUAUAUUGUUGGCACUGGGACAUACAGUUAUUUCUGAAUCAUGCACCCUUUUCAGGUAUUUGGAGCCUUAUGGUACUUCUAUGCCAUCGGAAAAUUGACAGGAUGCUGGAAGAAAGCGUGCCAAAAUAAUACUGGAUGUCAUCAUAGUUCGUUUUAUUGUGAAGACAUGAUCAGUACAAGAGAUUACACGUUUCUAAAUGAUUUUUGCAGUAUAAAGUCAGGAAAUACAUCAGAUUACAAUUUUGGAUUAUAUAAUGAUGCUCUUGAGUCUGGUAUUGUGGAGGUGACGAAUUUUCCAAAGAAAUUGUUACAUUGUUUACAAUGGGGCUUGCAAAAUCUCAGGUUUGAGCAUAAUCCAAACUUUCUCUUUGUGAUGUUAUGGUUGAAAAGAAAAAAGAAUGAAACAAUAUUGGUUGAAAAAAAUAAAAUACUUUGGUCACUCUUAGACACUAUUUUACCACUUAGGUCCCUGGUAAAAUUUUAAUAUCUUAUUUCAUACUAGAAUUGGAAUAAAAGUAUAGAAAAAAACACAUUGUUGAAAGUUAAACGUCACAUUUUAACAAAUAGAUUAAAUAACUUUAAUUUGCAUUGAUCUAAAAUAAUCAUGUUUAUUCUGGUAUUGUUUUCAAGGAGCAAAGUAUUACAUAUUCCCCUUUCGAGAAAACUGCCGAUUCUUUUGCAUAGGAGAGUGACUUUAUUCUUUUGUGUAUAUCAUUUCAAAUAAAGCGUAUAGAUUGAACCCUUUGCAGUGCUUUUGGUCAGAACCUCCAAACAAGCACCGAUAUCUGGGAAAACGUUUUUGCAAUUUGCAUGACCAACUUUGGUGUGGUACUGUUUGUCUUUUUAAUUGGGAAGAUGCAGGUUCGUAUACAUUUUCUAUUUCUUAUAUCUGAAUUAACCUCAAUUCCAAGUGUUAUAAUUAAUAUUGAAGUACAUUUGAAAUUAAUGGAUUGUAACUGCAGUCGGACACAGCAAGAUCACAUAAGAUAAAAAAGAAGUGGAAGGAGAUAAAGCAGUGGCCGAAUUUUGGGGAAAUUUCUUCUGAUCUAAAAGAGCAGGUGAGGACAUACAAGCGAGAGAAAUGGGAAGAAACCAAGCGUGUUGAUGUUGAUAAUUUGGUGAAUGAUCUUCCCCACGAACUUGGCAUCAAAAUAAAGCGCAAACUUUGCAUUAAACUAAUCAAGAAUGUGAGUUCCUAUUACUUCUUUAUCCAGUAAUAAGUCACUUGUGGUUUCUUUAUCUAUUGAAAAAAAAAAAGGAAAAGAAAAAAUGCUAGGCAACAGUUACGAGUUCAUUGCCACAAAAUUGCCACUCCUUGUUUAUUACAAGAAAUUGAAACAACAUUUGUUAUAUUCCGUUACCCUUACUAAUCGUUUGGAUGCAUCUAAUGUAAUUCUCAUUUUUUGGUCCGUACCUAUCUAUGUACACAGGUAAAAGAGUUCGAAAAUUGGAAUAAAAAAUCAUUGGAGUUUCUGUGUGAAUUUCUGAAGCCAGUCUUCUUUAUUGAGCGUACACGCAUUAUUCGGGAGGGAGACCCAAUUGAAGAGAUGCUAUUUGUGCUGAAAGGCAAUCUCUGGACUUACACUUCCGGGAAUGUAGCAACAACUAGCAGCAAUAGUAGUCGUUAUGGAAAGAAUCGUUUGAAAGGUGGUGACUUUUUUGGAGAAGAACUUAUUGGUUGGGCUGAGAGUGAGCACUCUUCCAAUUUGCCUAGCUCAACCAGAACUAUUCAAGCGCUUAGUGAGGUUGAAGCCUUUGUUCUUAUGGCAGAUGACUUGAAACAUGUAUUCUUACUUAGACAUUGUGACCGGGCAGCUCUUUUGUUACAAUCACGCUGGCGUUUCAGAAAGCUUUUGCGUGAUAGGAGGGCUAAGCAAAAAUCAAUCUUGAGAAGAGUGCGGAAUUGGGCAGCAGUACUACAGACUAUAGAAUAACAAUUUGAGACUGGAUUUGAAAUUAUUAUUUGUAUGAAUACUACCAAAAUGAAAAUAGGUGGUAAAAUCUGAAAAAUUAAGGGGAAAAUUGUCGAUCUCCCUUGUUCGAUUAUGCAGUCAACAAGAUCAGAAACAGUAAUCGCCAAGUUCGAUUUGGAAAUCUUAUCCAACCAAUGGUACCUUUUUCUUUUUUCUUUUUUUCCCUGAAUCAAGGACUUCACGCUUCGUUGAUGGGGAUACCAUUCCUAAAAUUAAAAGAUAUUGACCAUUACUAUCUCAAACAACAAUUAAUUAUACAUUGCCAGCACGCAAAAAUGAGCGACAAACUUCUUCAUUAACUAAUCUAUUUGAACAACUGCAUUUCUAAGCAUAUAUAUGAUCAUUUCAGAUGAAAAUAGUUUAAAGUGGCGAUAGAAGAACCGGUAGAUCACAGUUGAGAGAGUGAAGCAGAUCAUCAGGGGGCAAUCUUAAGUGUGUCACGCGGGUAGAGUGAUGUUUUGCGAAUGUUGUUGAGAUCGCAGAAAAGCAUCACCACACUCUUCAAUCCCACUUCACAUCCACUAUGUCUCGAAAGGAAUCCAAUGAUAACAUAAAGCUAACAGUUUUUAGAGGACCACACUGUUUUUCUAUUUGCGUACAAAUGGACAGUGGUUUCAGAAUAACCUUAGCAUUGUCAAGUUUAACCAGAGAGCAUGGAAACCAAAGCCAGAUCAAAAGAGGAGGAAGAGAUGCUCAAAAAUCCGGUCAAAUGAACAAUCACAUGAUAUUUUCAUCCAACAAGUAUGAAUGUUUGCAAUGAAAAGAAAAAUGAAAACCCGACAGAAAAUUCUUCAACACAAGGAUUUUGAAUGUGGUUAUCAUUAUAAUUAAGCAGUCAACCUAAUACAACCUUCAACCAGAGGUGAAUUCAUUUAUGCCAGUCACAUGACCACUCCUAUCAACACCACUGCAAAAAAAGCGCAUCCUCUUUAUUAAUAAAUGAAGUUUUGUUCCUGCUUUACUUCACCAUUCAUUUUCAUCUCAUAAAAGAGCAAUUUAUUGGAAUACAACAUACCUCGAUUAAACUGAAAGAGGAUUAAGAUAAUUUAAAAAAUGAAAACUGCGAGACAAUACGAGUAGUAUCAUGAUAAACUUAACUCCAGAUGGACAGCCAUUUUUUAAUCGUAAUUAAUGAAACAAAUGUAGAUCGAGAUUUCCCCAGAACAACACCACAAAUACAAGUAUAUGUGCAUCCAAAAUGAAGAAGAAAUGUUUCAGCUUCAUACAUUACCUCGAAUAAAGACAUCAAAUUAGUUUCUGUAAAGAGCAUUGUCAGGAGGGGGCGCCUAACAGCCCAAGGAUAACGAUGGAGUAUAUAAAAUUCGGCGCCAUACCUACAAUAGGAAGCAACAAUCAGGCACGCAUUGAUGAUAUACAUAGAUAUUUAAGCUUAAAAAUGAGAAAACACUUAUCAUGAGCUAAGAGCAAUGAGGCUCUUAAUUGUUUCAAAAUUUGAAACUAAUAAUAGAUGUAUGUUAUACAGACAAAUUCAGACUUCAAUACUUGUAAGAAAAAUCAAGUCAGUAAAUAUGGAACCUACUUAUCUCCGUUCCAUAGGUUUGGUUGUCUUUUUUUUUUUUUAAUUAAUGUUCAGAAUCGAUUAAAAAGUUUUUUAAUUCGAGUUCUUGCUAAUUUCAUUUUUUGAUUCCAUUUUGAAAUUCAAUUUUCUUAUUUAAUUUUAUUCCGAUCCUAUCUACCCAUUCGAAUUUUGGUUGCUUAAUUGUUCAGGAUGUUGGAGUUGAGAAUGAUCCUCUUGAAGACUUGAAUACUGAGGCAGAGAGGAAGUUGAUCCAACUAUUUUCCUACGAUUCUUGGGAACAGUAGAUACUACUUUUAAAGUAUUCAACCUACUAAAUGAUUCCUCCACACUACUGUUACCCUUAAAAAUCAUCUAAUUAGUUAUUCAUACACUAAUCUAAAUAAUGGCGUGAUAAAUCAGAAACCUUUCUUCAUGAAACAUGAACUGAGGGGAUGAAAGAAAUUAAGUUACCUUGAGCAUUUGAAUCCCUUUUCCGAAUGUAAGACAAAGAGUCUUUGCCUUGUACUGCAACAUUUAGAAAAUGCCACAAUCAGGUUCAAGAAUAGAGAAAAGCUGAGGUGAUAUAUAAUUUUCCAUAUUCCAAAUAUAUCUAAACUAUACAAGCACUUCAAAAAUUAUUAUGAUAACAGAAUUUUAAGAACAAUUCAAAAUAAAUAAUGACCUUCAGAGGUUCAAACGGACACUGAUUCGCCACAUAUUCAACUUCCUUUUUGCACCUCUCAUUCAAAUCAUCAAAAAUUGUGACAAAUAAGCGGCCCACAAUAUCCAUCACCUGUGUUCAGGUGCUUACCUUAAUAGAACCAAAUAAAUAGUAACACGCGUCUCGGCGCAUACCUUUCAUAUAAUCACAUUUGUAUAUGUACGAUGAUAUCACCGCCACCUAAAUUUCUCAUUUAUUAUAUUUGAUUAUUUUCUUUUUAUUUCAUUGAUUUUCUCGUAUAAAAGUAGAUUUACUACGAUUUACCAUUGUGUUGUUGUGCAAUGGUCACCCUUUUUGUUCGGGCUGCCUAUUGAUUUAUUGCUUUUAGAAGAACUCUCAGAAUAGCUUUACAUUAUACUUUUCUAAUUUGCAAUGAAUGCGUCCAGGAGUAUAAAGCCAUGAACUGAUUUUUGAACAACUUAUAUCUUACUUGCUAAUGUCGAUGGAAUUCAUAAAUUCAUAAUACAUCCAAUAAAGGGGGAGAAAAAUAGGAAAGAAAGAAAUACUCCCUGUGUAUCAUCUAGACUAGUUUUAAAACUUCUUGAAUUGGACAAGAAUAAGUUGGCUGACAAGCUUUCCUAACUUCUCACAACUUUUAUUAUUGUUACCUUAUAUUUUCAUAGUCGUUAGAUUUUUAUACUUUGAAUUGGUACCAAUCUCUUUUUUAUCAAAUUUAAACAGAGAUAAUUGAUUGAAUGAUUCAGUCUCCUUCGUCGAAACAACGUUCUUAUUUGCUCAAACAGAUGGAAUCCAGAAAACUCAUCCAUUUGAUUCUCUUCAAUUGAAAACUCAUCACUUCCUGCAUGUAAGAGCAAUUUGAGUGCCAUAAAGCCUGUAGUGAAUCUACCUAUUUAGGGAAUAAUUUAAUUAGAAAAGUUAACAUGAAGCUCAUACGCCCUAAUUACAAAGCUACUCUUAAAAUAACAUGAAUCAAGAAACAGAGCAAAACAGAGUAGCUACUAAGAAGAACACCCAAAUUAACUCCUAAAAUUGACCAAACAUAACAAGCAUCAAAUCAAAGCAUUAAAGCACUAAUCAGAGACUUUACACUAAAUUGUUUGUUUUAAAAUAAUGGGAUUUCAAGAUUAUACUUAAAACUCAAGUAAAAUCAUCUGCAUGGUUGAAGGAUCAGAAGCUCAUGGAUGGAAUAAUAGAGAAAUUAAAGUAAACAAUGUAACUAACCGGUUCCUUGAAGAAGUUGGUUAUCGACGGAGGCCCAGUGACUUUGUCGGAGUGGUGGCAUCGCUGGCUUAGGCGUGAGUGAAGAGUGAAUAUUGGGAGAUCUCUGGCUUCGGUUCUUUGACCUUACGUUAUUUUAUUUAUUCAUUAUUUUUUUUUUCUAGUGUAUGCAGAUGCUCCGCUCACUUUAAACUCUAGUGGAUGCAGUGUGGCAACUGAAGUGAUCAGUUGCUGCCCAAGAUCACAAACCAAAUCUGCCAAGAUGCUUCCAAGAUCAAACUGAUUUGAAGCUUAAUUGAUAUGAAAUGCAAACGAUGAUGAUGAUGAAGAACAUAAAUCAAUUUAGAGAUGAAUAGAAUCAACGAAUCAAAAGAAAAACGGAGGAUAAAUCGAUUUGCGUGGUUCAGCUAAUUUUUGGUGUUUUUAAAUAAUUACCUCAGCGGGUGGAAAUUUCUGUUCAGCUUUUAUUGAUUGUUCAAGAUGUAUUACAGGGUUUUUACAAAGUACAAAGCAACGAACAAGAGUGCUUCAAUUCUCUCAGCAAUCUCUCCCUAUAAAGCUCACACAAUCCCCCCUUUUUGUUGCACCAGAGCGAGCGGUUUAACGGCUUUGUAACCAACCCAGAUGAAACCCAGAAAACCACGUGACAUGCAUGUGCGUUAACAAACUAUAACGAACAUAAGCAGCUUUCUUUAAGCACGUGAAGCGUCCGCGCUUCAUUAAACCCAAAACGGUGUUUCCCGAAGUCGUUUCACCAUGCAAUACCACCCAGUACGCAUCAAACGGCCGCAACUCAUGUCGUUUAGCUUAAGUGUCUUAAGCCCAAAAGGCGACACUCGAUGUCGUUUUGCUUAUUUCUGAUUUGCUUCACCUGUCACACAACAUGCAGUGUAGAUGCUGUUUUAACUUUUGAAUUUUAUAUGAUUUUAUUUUGUCUUCUUAAAAGAUAUCUUUUAGAACUGAAGGGCACUUUCGAUGUUUCUUAUUUAUUUUACAGUGACCUCUUCUGGCUCUUUCUGCUGAGGGAGGGUACAAACAAUGAAUCAUCAUCAGAUUAAUCAAAAUAUAACCCCACUCAUAACAUAAAAAUUAGAAAACGUCUCUUCAGAUGAUUUGAGUCACACACAUCAACAAUCAGAAAUCGUUAACUAAGUAUACAAUUUCUUUUUGGACUCGUAUUUUCCCCAUUGUUGAUCACGUAAGUUACUGCUGUAUAUGUUGUUUUGAUGAGUAAUUAAUGAUCAUGGAAUUUACUUAAUUUGCCAACUUAAAUCAAUCAUUAGUCUUAAACUUUUCCGUAACAAAACCCUGAAUUUAUAUUUUGAUUAGGAAUCAGGAUUUGCAAUUAGAGGAAGGUGCAGCAGGCCAAGUUCCUGGAGAACGAAUUAGCAGUGUUUAUGGAACUUUCUCUCUAAUAUUGGCUACAUUUUACUAUUUUUAGCACCAAUAAGAAUGAUAGGGACGAUUAUCGGGACAAUUAUAAAGAUUUUUCUUGUAUCGUGUGUGAUUGCAAUCAUAUUGGAUCCUUUGUUCUUCUACAUUCCGAUAAUGGAUGAUGAAAAUAAGUGCAUUGAAAUGGACAAAUUUUUAGGAAACAAUGCAGCUUUUUUUCGUUGUGUGUUUGAUUUGCUCAAGAUACUUAAUUCAUUUUACCUUUGAGUUGCGUAAUUAUCAAUUUCGUUUUAAAGAAAGGAAAAGUUUGUGGCGCUGGCUGCUCUUCUACAUUGACAUUUUGGCCGCUGAUCUUCCCCUCCCUCAGGUAAGUCACAUCACGUAUUAUUAAUUUUAUCUUAAACCUUAUAGUUUAUCGAACUGAAUGUGGUUAUUUAAUUACUUUGAUUUUCUCACAUUUGAUUGGUGAUCUCUCAAAGAAUGAGAGGCACAGAGUUUUUGUAUGCAAUGAUAUUCUCACUUCUGUAAUAUUUGCUAAGGGUUAUUCGAGCAUACAGAGUGUUUUCGGAAGCAACAUUGGGCUCAGAAAUACUCGCUGAAGCUACAUGGGCCAUUAUUGGCUUCAAUAUUCUUCUGUACAAGAAAGGAGGUCAUGUAAGUUGAUAAAGCACCAUUCAUGUAAGUCUAUUUAUAUUGACUUAUAUGCACAAGCCUAUAAUACAAACAGCAUCAUUGUAAUACAAAUUUGUUUAGAAAUUCAUGGCCUAUAAUACACCAUUUAUGUCCUAGACUUACUUGUCAACCUUGCAAAAUUUUUGUGCUUGGCAACUGGUUUUGUUGAUGCCGAAAUCCGGAUGAGUUGGUUAGUGACUCGAUCUCAGAUUCCUACAUCAACAUUAAAUUUAUUUGGUGGGAAGCUACUGGUUGAUCUCCAAGAAAAUCCUCCGACUAUGAGCAGAACAUUCAUGAGCUGUUGAUUAGUGAGCACCGAGAGCAGAUAAUUGAUGAGCAGACGACCAAUGAGCAGAUGAUCCAUGAGUAGAUAAUCCGCGAGCCUGCGAGCACAAAGAACAGUCAGGGGGCGCCGGAAGUUUUUCCGACAUAAACCCUCCGACACUCAAGUCAGCGAUUUGGGUCUACUUGGAAAAACUCAUACCACAAUUCACAUGGUUUAACUAUGAUUGUUUUAAACAAAAAGCUUUUAAGUAAAUUUAAAUGAAAAUAAUUGAAAAUAAUCAAUUUUAAAGAAAUCAUAAGCGAAAGAGAAAUUUCCCAGUGGUAGAGAGAGAAAAAGAUUCAAUGGAUUCAGUCACCCAAAGGGACAGAGGAAAAAGAAUCCCCCAUUUCCCCUAUUUUCCCAUGGUUUUUAUAGGAAAUUAUAGCGGUUUUUAUCCUCUUAUUUAGAAUUCUCAAGAAAAUUACUAAUUUUGAGCCCAUUAGAAUAUGGUUCCUAAUAUUUCGGAGAAAAUAAGUGAGAUUUGUUUUAACUGAGUCGUGUUUUCUAAUAACAUCCUGGUCGAGUGUUUUCUAAUAACAUCCUGGUCGAGGUGAUGUGGUCGAGAUGACCAAAUAACAUCCUGAUCGAAGUGUUGCUCAUUUUUUACUUAGAGGGGAGCACAAUAAUGUAUGAACAAACACCUUAUCUUGGUCACCUUAUUCUAUUCCCCAAACAGGUUUGUCGGUCCUCCAGGUAUUUGGAGCCUUAUGAUACCUUUUUGCCAUGGAAAAAGUUCGAGGAUGUCGGAAGGAAGCCCGCAUAAUUAAUCGAGCUGGAUGCAAACACAGUUCGUUUUACUGUGAAGACAGAGUUUAGGAGACGACAGAAAAUUCUAAAUGACUUGUGCGGCAUAAAUAAUUUUGGAUAAUUUAAUGAUGCUCUUGAGUCUGGCAUUGUGGAGGUGACUGAUUUUUCAAAGAAAUUGUUACAUUGUUUACAAUGGGGCCUGCAAAAUCUCAGGUUAAUUUGCUCAUACAAUAAUAUAUUUUCCUUGUGUGUGUUGCAUAAUAUGAUUAAUUCUUGCGUUGCAGGUUCUUCAUUUUGGAAAAUUGAGUUAAAGAAGUAAUGCUAACAGUACAUUAUAUCUCUUUCAGAUAUUUAAUAACACUUAGGGGCAAAAAUUUUAACUGAUAGUUGUGUUAACGGCACAAUCAAUUUGUUUGAAUGUCAAAGGUAGUCAAGGACUUGAGUGAUAGAAGUUUUUUCUACAGAGGAUGUAAGUGAGGAAUUUAUGAAACUUUUUGAUAAAAAGAAUUAUCUAGGAUAAGCAAUUGAGCAGAAUUCUUUUACAGUGCAUUUUUGCAAUUCACAUAACCAACGUAGGGGUGGUGCUGUUUGUGUUUUUAAUCGGCAAUAUGCAGUUUGACACAGCAAGAUCACAGAAGAUAAGACAGAAGUGGAAGGAGAUGAAGCAAUGGCCAAAUUUUGAGUAUAUUUCUUCUGAUGUGCGGGGGGCAGUUAAGGAAAUACAAGCUAUACAAAUGGCAAGAAACCAAACGUGUUCGUGUUGAUAAUUUGGUGAAUGAUCUUCCUGACGAACUUGGCAACAAAAUAAAAUGUCUGCAUUAAACUGCUCAAGAAUGUGACGUUGAACUAUUCAAUCACUCAGCGACAUUGAAGCCUUUUUACUCUUAUGGCUGAUGACUUUAAACAUGUAUUAUCUACCAUUCACAAAUUUCGAUCGGGCCGCUCUUUUGUUACAAUCAUACCGGCGUUUUGGGAAGCUUUUACGUUGAUAGAAGGAAGGCUAAACAAAAAUCAUGCCUGAAUUGUUGGACUUGGGCAACCAAAGGAAAUAAACAAAGUGGUACAUGUAACAACGCACAAUACAAGAAAAUUUAACAGUGCUUGUGACUAAAUCAUUGAUGACAAACUGUUUAUUCUUUAUAUUUACAUGUGAAACCGCAGAAAAGGGCCAAAAUUGUAGUUUGAAAUUUUACAUUUGAUUUUGUCGUCAAUUGAUGAGCUCAUAGCAACAUUAAUUUAUUGAAUGAUAAAACAAUAAUUUUAUAUUCAGUAAAUAUAUGAAAUAUGACUUAAAUUGAAAUUUUGAGAUCUUAAUACAUUGGAGCUACAUUGAGUUGGGAGACAAACUUUGACUCUGAAUGAGAUAGCACUUAAUGUGUCAUUUAUUUAUUAAAUUUGUUAAUGGUAUGAUAUUAUCUCAUUACGCAGAAAUAUUAAAUUGCAAUGAGUCUAGUCAAUUGGGAAAACAAUUUUUGCGCGAGUAUCUCAAUUUCCAAUAUAAAAAUUACAAGACAAAAUAAAAAAGGAGAAUGAUACUUUAUACCUGUUUAGAAGCCAUUGGUUAUUUGGUCAUAUUCAAAACCUGUUUUAACCACGUAAGUCCAUGAUAAAAGUUACAAGAGAAAAAGAAGAAUGAUACUUUAUAGUUUAUACCUGUUUAGAAGCCAUUGGAUAUUUUGAUCAUAUUUGAUAAAAGUUACGGGACAAAAUUAAAAAGAAGAAUGAUACUUUAUACUUGUUUAGAAGCCAUUGGAUAUUUUUAUCAUAUUUGAUAAAAGUUACGAGACAAAAUUAAAAAGAAGAAUGAUACUUUAUACCUGUUUAGAAGCCAUCGGAUAUAUUGGUCAUAUUCAAAACCUGUUUUAAUCACGUAAGUCCAUGAUAAAAGUUUAAAAUACCAUUUGUGGAAAGGAUAAGUAUGAUAUUUUUUAAUAAAUAAAUAAAUUUAUUUAGUAAAUAGAUUAGGUGAAUAAUUUAGCGAGUUCAAAUAAUUUCGAUUAAUUUAUACGUGAAGAGUGAAGCUAUUGGCAUCCUUCAUUAUUCUUAUAAAUCUCCACUUUAAAUAAAAUUACAUUGAAGGACAAAUAAGAAUUAAACACAUUUAAGAAUUUUCAUAAUAAAUUACUUUCAUAAUCAAUUCUUUUUUUUUUUUUGCAUUCAUAAUCAAUUCUUUUUUGCUUUUUCUUUUCUACUUGCCACUUCUCUCUAAUUAAAAUAAAUUACAAAAAUUUAUAAUAAUUUAUUUUUCUUUUCUUAUUUCUUAAUAAUUGAGAAUUUUUAUACCUAUUACUUUCAAAUUAUAAUUUAAAAUGUGUCAUAUCUAUAACAUAAUAAUGUUUUGAGUUUUAAUAAUAUACAAAUUCAAUUAAAAAAUAAAAUAAUGUAUUUAAAAGGGAAAAAAGGACGUUUUUGAAAUUAAAUACAAAUAUUCCAAUUGUUACUGUGAAAAUGUGAUAUUUUCAGCACUAGAGCUACCACUUUAUUGCAUAUCCGACCCGAAAGGAACUGAUGUGGUCCAACCGUGUUCGGAUCGGAUUGGUUGCCGUCAUAAUCUGAUCACAUUUAGGUAGCUUUUCAGUUUUGUCCAGGAGAAAGGCUGUCAAUUAUGUCUCCAUAAGAAAGACGUCACAUAGAUGAUGUAAUCAGAUUUUAUCAUGCGUUUGUUCCCCUUCAAACGUCACAUAGAUGAUGUAAUCAAAUUUUAUCAUGCGUUUGUUCCUCUUCAAUCGAGUACUCGUCACAUCCUGAGUGUUUGUGAAUCUACGUUAAGGGUAUGUUUAUGUUGGAACCGCUUUACGGUGGAGUAUUUUUUUGUAACCACAUAAUUAAAAAAUAUAGAUUAACCUCAGAUUUAAAAUAAAUGAAGUCUUUGUUUUUAUUUGUAAAACUUUUAUAACACAUUAAUAUGUAACUGGAACAUCCCAGUCCAAAAUUUAAGGACAAAUAUGUCCACAACUCAUAUAUGAUUUAAAUAACUCUUUUCUAAAAUUAUCUCAUAAAUAACCUUUAUUUAUAGUUUAGUAUCCAUUUUCUUAAUAAGGGUUAUAGGCACCUAUAAUUCCCAAUGAAAACCCAAUUUCCUUAAUUUAAUAUUAUGAAAAUUUGUGGCGUUACAGUAACGCUUCAAAUUUCACAGCAGAUUAGAUACAAUUUUUUUAUCCUUAUACUAGACAUGUGCAGAGUAGUAAGAAACAAGUUAAAAAAUAAUAAAAACACACACUUUGAUGUUGUUAUCUUUAUCUUAAAGUAUUAAAAUCUAUAUUUCUUUUAAUCUUUUAACUUGUCUUUUACGAUAUUAAAAUAAGAAAAUCCUUUGAAAAUAAGAAAAUCCUUACUAAAAGUAAAAGGGGACUUGUCAUGUGCACAGUGUACAAUAUGUUUCAAAUGUUACUUGAUAGAAAUUACUGAAAGCAUUGUAUCAUUGGAAAACUCUUGCUGCAUGCUCUACUAAUUUGACAGUUUAUCAAAUAUUUUUUUGCUGCUCGCUACUUAUGAAUCACGUUUAGUCCCCUUUGAAUUGUGUCCAUCCACCAUCUGUUAAAUUUAUCUUUGAAUUUUCUCCCUUCCAAAAGGGACACAAAUAAGAAACAGACAAGGACGUUCAAAUCCCCGAGUUGUAAAAUUUACAAGAUGCAUCGGGUAGAAAAAUCUUGUAGAAACCUCAGCUGAUGAACUCUGUAAAGAAUAUCCUCAUUCAUUCAGCUAACCCGUUGAACCAAAAUGCAAAAUCAUCCUCAAUAAGUACAAGAAACAAAAACUUUACAAGAAUAACUUAUGAAACUUGAUAAAUUUCUGCGGAGACUACAACGUCAUUUCAAUUUGUGAGGUAAUUAUUUGAUGCCAUGAUGCUGACUGAAUCUCAUUAAAUUAAUGAAAAUAAUACAACAAAUGAUACGAUAACUCCAAAUUAGCUAUCACAUUAUGUAUUUGAUUCAAAUAAGAGAACAAAAUUUGCAUUAUUGAUAGAUAUUAUAUUGUUUCUUGAAACUGUCUCUUGACAAAUCGCCCAUUAAUGUAGUCAUUGCUGACAAAACAACUUUGUGAAAAAGUUCAACUAGAUAGCAAGCUGAUAGAGAAAUCUGACAAUGCAAUGCAUGUCAUCCUCACACUUCAAUUUCAUCGAAAAUGGAUAAGCCAUUUUGUUCAACUUUCACCUCCGGAAGUUGAAAAGGACAUGAUUGCAAUUAUGCAAGUCCUUAUCAAAGAUGCAAUGAAUGACGCCUAAACUCCUAUAGAGUAGAGUUAAGCUAUUAAUCACUGCACCGAUACGUCAAAAAUUAAGUAUAUGGAUCAAAGACGUCUUCAUUCAAGAAUCUCAAAUUUCAAAGCAGUGCUUGUCAUUUACAUACCAAGCAAAGGGACCAAAGAUGGUGGUGCUCUAAUAUUUUGUCUAGUCAGAUUUACAUUAUUCAUGUCUUUUUCUUUGGUGCAGAAGUUGACCGCGGCCUAUUUCAACAUCAUUCGUCAUCCUCUCAAUCUCCUCCUUUUUCACUGGCAGAACCAAAAAUAUCUUGCACCUCAGUGAAAUAUCAUUGGAGACAAAAAAGUUUCUCCAGCUUAUUCAACAACCAAAACCAGCCAAAUAUCAUCUCCAGCCACAAAGCAAUGAGCCAAGUAAUUAAAUUUCCUUCAUGCAGGCUGAGGAAAGCCAAUAAGCAAUCAAAGGAGAUGGAAGAAUAGCACUAUUAAUUCAAGACCAACAAAGUUUGCAGCAAAACUGAUAGUAUUUAUGAUCUUGCAAAAGUCAAUCUUGUCUGGUUAUCAACACUGCAAUUAUAGCUUUUGUGCACCUCAGUUAGCCUUAAAUUGUGAAAGUUUCAGCCAAACCAACAAUUUCUAACCUACAUCUCAUGGUUAUACAAGCUAACUAGCAUCUGCUUCACUGCAUUAUGCUUCAAAAACAAUCAUACUAAAUGUCACAAUUCUGGUAUAUAAAAGUUCAGCCGCCUACACCAUUCAAGUUGAGCAUUUGACUGCAUCUCUAUGGGUACUAUUAAGGGAUGGCAAUAAUCAGUUAUGAUACGAAUAAUUGACAUCCAUAAUCCGAUAUAUCCGUCCGCACCCAUGUCUAAUUUUAGAGGUUUGAUAUGGAUAUGGAUUUUUGUUUAUAUGGAUAUUGAUAAGCAUAGAUAUUCGGGAAAAAAAAUUCUACUUAACACUAUAACGAAUAGGAUACUUCUUUUAUUAGAGCGUUGUCAUGCUGAUGAUGUGCAAGAUAUCAUAAAUAAAGGGGAUCGUAGGGAACGAAAUGAAAUAAGUUUAAAGAAUUUGAAAGAAACUGAUUAUUCUCUUAUUCAACAACUCGGUGUGCAAUUACAUUUUACACGAGGUCCAUGUAAUUAUAUUUGUCAUUAAGAAUGAGCAUUUGCCAAAAGAAGACACACAUGUCAUGACAAUGAGUGAUUGACAAGUGACAAAAUUGAUAGACACCCGCCGAAUAUGUCACAACACAAACUUCUAAAAUUGCUACAGGAAAUGAAAUAUAACGAUGCACGAUGCCCAUCCAAGUUGUUUACUUGUAUUGUCCAACUGUAAAUGAGUACAGACAUGGUACCAUCAAUCGUUGUUAUUAAACUAGUCAUUGACCUCAGUCACUCCUUCAUAACCACAUAAUAAGGAGUGGCUAUUUAUUUAAAAUAUGAAGUGGAAAAUUGAAUUAAUUUAUUUGAAAUAGAAAUGGUCACAAGAAAAUUUUGAAUUAAUUUCUUGAAACAGGAUCCUACAAAUGAAGUGUUUUAAUUUUGUAAUUUAUUAUUAUUAUUGUUAUUUUGUUUUUAAAUAUUAAAAAGAAAAAAAGAAAAAAUUGGUUUGUCUUUAGUUUCUAGCGGACAUCAGAUUCAUCAUAAUAAGCGUACCCUUGUCCAUGUAUAAAUUGCAUUUGCCUCUGUUGUGAUGUGAAGCAAAUCUGUUGGUGAAAACGUCAGCUGAUGCUGCGUUUUGGGAAGUCAAACUCGUGCUUCCUGGAACGACGUGAAUGAAGGUCGUUUUGGUUAAGUGAUGCACGAGAGUUUCACGUGCACGAAUAAGUUGUGUUCUAGGUUCGUUAGAAUCAGUUAACUCACAUGAUUGUCACGUGAUUUUCUGGGUUGGUUGCUGAUUCGUUAACGAGCUGUUAUAUACAGCUGAUUCUGGCAACAGAGAGCGAGGACGUGAGAGCUACUGUGAGUUGAGAAGAUUGAAAACCAAAGGCUUCUUGAGAGACUCUGUAACAAGCUUGAUAAACUCUCUGUAACUUCUUUGAACAAUCAAUAUAAUUGGGUUCUGUUUCUCCCGUGGAUGUAAGCUAGACUGAAACUAGCUGAACCACGUUAAUUCUUGUUCUUUUCUUUAAUUCUUUCAGUUCUAAUAAUCUAUGUGUAUUCUGCUGGAUUGAUUCUUGGUGCAUCUUGUUUGUUUGAUUGUGAUCUUGGGAAGUGUUUUGAGUUGAUUGGGAUAGUUAGUCACUCUUAAACACUACAAUUGGUAUCAGAGCCUGGAUUACAAAUCAGACACAAGUAUGGCUGGUUCAAAGAUCGAUCUAGAGAAGUUUACAGGGAAGAAUGACUUCAAUAUGUGGAAGGUUAAGAUGGAGGCACUACUGAUCACUCAAGGGCUAGGUGAUGCCUUAGAACCUAUCAUCAAGAAAGAAGGAUUAGAAGCCUCCACAUCAUCAUCAUCACUAACACCACAACAAGCUGCUGAGAUUGACAAAAAGGCAAGGAGUACCAUAAUCUUGAGUCUUGGAGACUCGGUGAUCAGGGAAGUUGCUAGAGAAAGAACAGUGGCUGAUCUGUGGGCAAAACUUGAAAGGGUGUAUAUGACUAAAUCAUUAGCCAACAGACUUUACAUCAAGAAGAGGAUGUUCACGCUAAAAAUGGCUGAAGGAUCAUCUCUUGAAGACCACAUUGAUGAAUUCAACAAAGUCUGUGAUACACUGGAAAUAAUUGAUGAAGGUUUAGAUGAUGAAGGUAAAGCAUUGCUUCUGGUCAGUUCACUUCCACCCUCAUAUUCAAACUUUGUCGAUGCACUCAUGUAUGGGAGACAAACUUUAUCAUUGGAUGAAGUUAAGGCUGCCCUAAAUACUAGAGGGCUGCAAGAAAAGUCAAGGAAUAUGAACUCUGGAGAAGUGCUGGCAGUAAAAGCAAGAACUGAUAAGUAUGAUGGAAAAAAAAAGAAGCAAGGGAACAACAAACAAAAGACUAAAGGCAAGAAAUGUUUUCAAUGCCAGAAAGAAGGGCAUUUCAAGAGAGAUUGCCCAGAACUCAAGAACAAGAAAAGGGAACAAAAUGGAGCUGCUGCUACUGCUGAGGAAGAAGGGUAUGAGUCAGCAGGAGUAUGUGUGGCUACAGAUCAUGUGCAAAAAGGUACCUGGAUUCUAGACUCAGGUUGUACAUUUCAUAUGUGCCCCUUUAAAGACUACCUAUUAAACUAUCAUGAAACUGAUGGUGGAAAAGUUAUGAUGGGUAACAAUGCUGUCUGUAAGAUUGUGGAGAUAGGAAAUGUAAACCUAAAACUGCAUGAUGGAACAAUUAGAGAAUUAAAGGAAGUUAGGUAUGUGCCUGAACUUAAAAGGAACUUAAUAUCUCUAGGUAUGCUUGACCAAAUGGGGCUUAGUAUUAAGCUUGAAUCUGGUGAGCUGAGAAUCUCAAAUGGAGAUGGGGUAGUUAUGAAAGGUUACAAGAGAAAUGGAGUUUAUAUUUUGAAUGGGGAAACUAUAACUGGUGUGUCAGGAGUAUCAAUAAGUUCAAGUUGUGAUAACACUUUGCUGUGGCACCUUAGAUUAAGACAUAUGAGCUUGAGAGGUCUGAAAGAAUUACAGAAGCAAGGGGUUCUAGGCAGCAGUCAAAUCUCAGAACUGGAUUUUUGUGAAGACUGUGUACUAGGCAAAGCUACAAGAAAUAGCUUUGGGAAAUCAGUUCAUUCCACCAAGGGCAUCCUUGAAUACAUACACUCAGAUUUAUGGGGACCAGCACAGACAGUUUCACUAGGCGGCAACACCUAUUUCUUGUCUUUAAUAGAUGAUUAUUCAAGGAGAGUAUGAGUUUAUGUCUUAAAACACAAAGAUCAGGUAUUUGGCAAAUUCAGAGAGUGGAAAUCCCUGGUUGAAAAUCAAACUGGAUUGAAGGUGAAGAAACUCAGAACUGACAAUGGUCUUGAGUUUUGCAAUCAGGAGUUUGAUAGCUACUGUGCAGAUAAUGGCAUUGCAAGGCAUAGAACUGUAAGGUUGGCUCCUCAACAAAAUGGAUUAGCCGAAAGAAUGAACAGAACCCUGAUGGACAGAGUAAGAAGCAUGAUGAUCCAGUCACAACUUCCCAAAGGAUUGUGGGCUGAGACUCUGUUAACAGCAAGCUAUCUGGUAAAUCUAAGUCCCUCUGCAGCACUUGACUUCAAAACCCCAUUUGAGAAAUGGCAUGGAAAACCAGCAGACUAUGGCAGCCUCAAAGUAUUUGGAUGUCCAGCCUAUGCACAUGUGAGUUAAGGGAAGUUAGCUCCAAGAGCCCUUAAAGGAAAGUUCAUUGGGUAUCCUGAAGGUGUUAAGGGAUUCAAACUAUGGUGUACAGACCUUAAUCCUCCCAGGUGUAUUAUCAGUAGAGAUGUAAUAUUCAAUGAGAAAGCUGCACUGGAAAUGAAGAAAUCUACUGACACAGAUGCACAAAAGGAUAAGGAGAGAACCAAGGUUCAGUUUGAGGUGGAGCCCUACACUAGAGAAGCUUCAAAAGAUAAUGAGGAAUCUUAUCAAGGAGCUGCUGAUGAAGAAACUGAUCAUGGAAAGCAGACUGAAGCUCAACAUCAGGAGUACCAACUAACAAGAGACAGAGAAAGAAGGAAAGCAAAAGCACCUGUCAGAUAUGGAUAUGCAGAUCUGAUAGCCUAUGCAUUGACAGCAUCUCACCAAAUUGAUGAUGAACCCAAGAACUACAAAGAGGCUAUCCAAGGACCAUACAAAGAUGAGUGGAAAAAGGCCAUGGAUGAAGAAAUAUAUUCACUGAAGAAGAACAAUACAUGGGAGCUGGUUAAAAGACCUGCCAACAGCAGAACAGUAGGAUGUAAAUGGAUUUACAAAGUCAAAGAUGGACUAACAGCUAUUGAACCUAGAAGAUUCAAAGCUAGGUUAGUAGCUAAGGGUUACACACAGAGGGCUGGAGUGGAUUUCAAAGAGGUGUUUUCACCAGUAGUCAGACACACAUCAAUCAGAGUGCUACUGGCUUUAACAGCUGUAAAAGACAUGGAGCUUGAUCAACUCGAUGUCAAGACAGCCUUUCUACAUGGAAGACUAAAUGAGGACAUCUUAAUGACACAGACUGAAGGGUACACAAGUCCUGAAUCUGUUGACUGUGUGUGUCUGCUAAAGAGGUCACUGUAUGGGCUAAAACAAUCACCCAGACAGUGGUACCUUAGGUUUGAUGAGUUUAUGGUCACUCAUGGGUAUCUAAGGUGCAGCUAUGAUGUAUGUGUUUACUACAAGAUCAUACAAUCAGGUAACUACAUAUAUCUGCUGUUAUAUGUAGAUGAUAUGUUGAUUGCUUGUAAUGAAAGGGAAGAGAUUGAGGCUUUGAAGCAACUGCUCAAUUCAGAAUUUGAUAUGAAAGAAUUGGGUCCAGCUAGGAAGAUUUUGGGUAUGGAAAUAAUAAGGAACAUGAAGAAGGGUACUAUGAUUCUGUCUCAAGAGAAGUAUCUAGAGAAGGUACUGGGAACUUUUGGGAUGUCAAACAGCAAGUCAGUAGUAACCCCUCUUGCAUCUCACUUCAAGCUGUCAUGUUCACAAUGCCCCAGUACAGAUGAAGAGAGAAAUGAAAUGACAAAGGUUCCUUAUGCAAAUGUUGUUGGUUGCAUGAUGUAUGCAAUAGUACUUACAAGACCAGACUUAGCUCAUGCUUUAAGUGUUGUAAGUAGGUUUAUGGCUACACCUGGAAAGGAGCACUGGAAGGCUGUUAAAUGGGUGCUGAGGUAUCUGAAGGGUACACAACAGUAUGGGCUGGUAUACGGAAAAUCAGCUGGGAAGGUUGCAGGUCUCUGUGGUUAUGUUGACUCAGACUAUGCUGGGGACUUAGACAGAAGGAGAUCUUUAACUGGCUAUAUGUUUUUCCUGAAUGGUUGCCUUGUUAACUGGAAGGCAAGUUUGCAGCAUGUUGUUGCCUUGUCAACAACAGAGGCUGAAUAUACUGCUGCAACAGAAGCUGUCAAGGAAGCUCUGUGGCUGAGAGGGUUGAUAACAGAACUGGGGAUGACGCAGGAGACUGUGGAAGUUCAUUGUGACAGCUCAAGUGCAAUUUACUUGAGUAAGAACCCAGCUCACCAUGAAAAAACUAAACACAUAGAUAUCAAGUUACAUUUUAUCAGAAAUGUGAUCUCUAAAGGUGUGCUUAGCAUGGUGAAAGUGCAUACAGAUGAUAAUCCUGCUGACAUGCUUACUAAGGUUGUAACUACAGCUAAGUUCAAGAGUUGCUUGGACAAAGCUGGGCUGAGUGAAUUCUAAAUACUCAGGUUGGAGAAAUCAGGAUCAGGAAGUGAUUUGUUCAAGGUGGAGAAUUGUUGUGAUGUGAAGCAAAUCUGUUGGUGAAAACGUCAGCUGAUGCUGCGUUUUGGGAAGUCAAACUCGUGCUUCCUGGAACGACGUGAAUGAAGGUCGUUUUGGUUAAGUGAUGCACGAGAGUUUCACGUGCACGAAUAAGUUGCGUUCUUGGUUCGUUAGAAUCAGUUAACUCACAUGAUUGUCACGUGAUUUUCUGGGUUGGUUGCUGAUUCGUUAACAAGCUGUUAUAUACAGCUGAUUCUGGCAACAGAGAGCGAGGACGUGAGAGCUAUUGUGAGUUGAGAAGAUUGAAAACCAAAGGCUUCUUGAGAGACUCUGUAACAAGCUUGAUAAACUCUCUGUAACUUCUUUGAACAAUCAAUAUAAUUGGGUUCUGUUUCUCCCGUGGAUGUAAGCUAGACUGAAACUAGCUGAACCACGUUAAUUCUUGUUCUUUUCUUUAAUUCUUUCAGUUCUAAUAAUCUGUGUGUAUUCUGCUGGAUUGAUUCUUGGUGCAUCUUGUUUGUUUGAUUGUGAUCUUGGGAAGUGUUUUGAGUUGAUUGGGAUAGUUAGUCACUCUUAAACACUACAGCCUCUGAAUUCUUCAAUAAUUGAAAAAGAUGGGUGCUCGUGGGACACUCUCAUUUAUGAUACAAUUUAGGAAUAAGAACUUAAUGACGCAACCAUCACCAACAGCCUCUUUUUUGGAGGUACUCGGAUGGCUAUUAUUACCAUUUAAAAGAUAGCAUAAAUUUUGUAGAUUGCCAGCUAUGGCCGAGCUUUUAAAUUUUUUUUAUUUUUUUUAGAGAAGAAGAAAAAUAGCCAUUUAAAAGAUAACAUAAAUUUUCUAGAUUGGCAGUUAUGUUUGAGUUUUCAAAUUUGUUUCAGAAAAAAAGAUACUUAUGCCUUUGAGAUUUAGAAAAACAAUCACACAAAUUCUCAAAUUUUUAAUAAGAUUAAUCAAGACCUCUUUUUAUUAUAAUAUCUUUUAAUUUUAUAACUAAAAAAUUUGGCUAUAAUAUUUUAUAAUAAAAAAUAACUAAAAUGACCCGCCUCGAAUCUCCAGGACAAGUCUAUCUAAUCUCGCCAACCGAAUUAAUAAUAAUCUAAUAUCUAGAAUUCUACCAAAAAUUCGGCAAAAUCUCUUAUAUAAUUAUGACAUUCCCAAACUUGCAAUUUAUAAAAUUUAACACUCCUAAAAAAUGAUACAAUAUUCAAUCAACCUCCACAACCAACUUGUUCAAUCAAAUACCAAUAUCCUUCAAACAUAUAAUGUCAAGAAUAUAAUAAUUUAUCUUUAAUCACAAAUAAGUAAUAAAUUAUACAAUUCAAAAUAUCCUAACAAAAUAUCUAUGAUUCCUAACAUCAUCACAUGACCAUAAUUUUAAAUUUAACUAUCGUUGUUGGGUCGACUGAUGUACCUGCAUAUCUUUUGGGAGGGGGGGGGAGGGAAUAUAAUAAAAAAAUGUGAGUAUAAAAUUCAGUGAGCUCAGUUGAGUAUAUUAUGAAAAAAAAUAAAUUUACUUAAAAUAAUCUAAUCUUUCCCAAAUCAAUUUCAUCAAAAUAUCAUAAGAACUUAAAUAAACUUAUUUAAUUUAAAUCAUGUUUUAAUAUAACAAUAAUACAUAAUACGGCAUGAAAAUCAAGGAAAACAUGAUACUUAUAAUAGCAAACACCAAAUACCGAAUCUAUCACCAAACAAGUACUCAGGGGAAUAAUCUCAUCAUAUCCAGACCUCGACGGAUCGGCAAUCAGAGAACCAUCAUGGCCCGAAGCUAUACGGAUAGACGGGGAAGUACUAUCUCAUAUCUCAUCAUAUAUGUGCAUGCAUAAUCUAGUCUCCAAAGGACAAGGCGCCCAAGAAUACGGUCCAAAGCUUGUGUGUGUACUCAGAGGAGCCCCAAAGACCUAUAUUUCAUCUGUAUCAUCAUAUCUCAUCUGUAUCUCAAUAUCUAUAUCUCUGUAAUCAUCAUACUACAUGCAUAUGCCCCUAAAAGGCAAAAAUGCCCAAACACAAGACCCAAAGCCUCUAUGUGUGUUCAAACGGGCCCUAAAAGCUUCUCAUCUCAUCCGUAUCACUGUAUUUAGAUGGAAAGAGUAUUGUUUAAUGAGUUUAAAAACAUCUUAUACACAUAUACAUAAACAUAAAAUGACACUUAAAUCUCAUUUCCUUUUCAUGUAACAUACUUUAAAUCUACUUUAUUCUCUUUAAAACCAUUACCGUGCAUUUACUGAAAAAUGAUAAUAAAAUCAUUAAUCAAACUCAUUUUUUGUAAUAAUAAAUAUCAACAUAUAGACAAAAAUCCAUUUUUUAGAAAGUUAUUAAAUUCGAGUGUUAAAUACUUAUUUAUCAAACAUGUUGUACUGUAUCAUAAAAUCAUAAUAUAUUAUGAAAAUCGGUUUUGUAUAUUCCACUCAUAGUGACGAUAUUCGAGUUCGAUAUCGUCAAUGUCUGUGGGUUGAUUCUUGUUCAUGGAUCCUCCUAAUAUAAUGAAAUAACAUAAUCAUUCUCUUAAAUAUGAAAUACAACUAAUUUUACGUAAUAAAUUUCGAAACGAAUAUCUAUCAAUAAUAAACUAUUCCCGUAUGCAUAAAAUUACCAAAAUACCCCAUGCAUGCCAAAAUUACCAAAAUGCCCCUGAUAUCAAUAUUUACCAAAUUAUCCUCAUAAUCCUAAAUUACCAAGCUGACGUCAAUUCAGAUCACAAAAAUAACCACAAUGUUAGAAAUUAUGAAAUUACCCUUAGAGAAUGUCCUUAACAACGUAAAUUACUGAAUUACCCCCGUAAUCUCAAAUUACCUAACUGCCUUAGUCCAAAAUUACUAAACUAUCCACCAAUUUUGGAAAUCACAAAAUUAUCCCCCACCGUUUUGUGAAAUUACCGAACUACUCUUGGCAGUUAACGGUGACCGGACUUCGGUCGACGGCGACGAGAAGAUCAGAUCUGAUAGUUCUUAUCUCAGUGAGUCCAAUGGUGCCGGCGGUGACCACCCACGCGCGCCGACGGUGGUAGAUCGAGCUUCCCUAGUCGCGAGCUUUUCGGUGGUCGAUCGGUGGAAUUCCAACUGUUUCAGGCAGCGAGUUUGGUUGGAAAAUGAUGAGGGUGAGCUGAGGAACAAGAUCCAAGCAGUGGCGCGGCCUAAUUCCGGCGAAAUCAAUGGCGACGAAAACGAGUUGAGAUGUGGGUUUUUCAAGCUUGAUCGCCGGCAUUCUACCCAUUUUCCGAUGAGGUGACCGGAAUCGGUGGCUGGAGUUGGGUCGGGUUGCGCGAUUUCGGGUCGGGUCAGGUCAAACUCUGUCAGCUUCUCUCUUUCUCAAUUUAUACAACCAAUUCUCUUUUUUUUUUUUCAAAGCUUAAUACAAAUUAAGCUAAUACUGAACCCAUAUUGAGAAAAAAAUCUGACUACCCAACCUUUUAAUCACGCUCAAUUUGUCUUGAUUUAUUGUCGCGACAAAUUUAAAAUAAUCCAAACACAAUAUAUAUUAAUAAAUAUGUAACAUUUAACAACCAUCCCCCAUAAUAUCGGGAAAAAUUUGAGUUGCAUCAACUUCACUGUAAAAAUUCGUAACGAGUCUACUAAAUUUAAAAUUAAUGCCAAAGGAGAAAAAUAAAAUGAUACACUUAAUUAGCAAAUUUAAAGCGCAUAUAUUACAAUAACAUUAAAAUAAAUGAAAUAAUAUAUACAUUUAAAUAUUUUAAUAUUUAAAAAUUAUUUUAAUAUUUACAAUCUAUUAGAUAUAUUUUAUUAUAUUAAAGCAAAUUUUUAAUAAUAAAUAGAAACAUAAUAUUGAAUAUUUUGUACAAUUUUAACAUUAUUAAUGAAGAGAUUUUGUUAACUUUAAAAUCUAUUUAACUCAAAUAUUUAUUUAAAAUUAUUUUAAUAUUUACAAUCUAUUAGAUAUAUUUUAUUAUAUUAAAGCAAAUUUUUAAUAAUAAAUAGAAACAUAAUAUUGAAUAUUUUGUACAAUUUUAACAUUAUUAAUGAAGAGAUUUUGUUAACUUUAAAAUCUAUUUAACUCAAAUAUUUAUUUAAAAUCUUUGUAAUAAAUCCAAAUAUAUUAUUAAAUUUAAUAAUUUUAAAUGUAAAAAUAUUUUAAUAUUACUACUCUAUAGAUAUAUUUUAUUCUUUUAUAUUAUUUUUGUAUUAAAUAAAAAUUUUAAAGUUAAAUUUUUAGUUACUAUAUUCAAAGUGUAUUAUGAUUAAAAAAGGAUCCUAAAGUCUAUAUAAUCAUUUUUAAAAAUUUUAAAAGUGUAAGUGUCGAUUUUUCUUUUUUGUUUUAUAAUUCUUUUCAUGCAAAAAUUAUAUUCACGUUUUUUUAACUUCUCAUUAAUGCAUUUUCAUUGCCAGGGUUUCUGCGUUUUCAACAAAAAAUCUAGUGAAGAAACUGGAAAAUGUUGGAGGAAACGCUAAUGCAUAAUACGUACAACCUAAUAAACAAGUUGUUGGAGCGUACGGCUAUAGCAAUUUGUUUAUGGUCAUCUGUGCUUCUGUAUACUAUUAGUAAAUCUAUUUUGCAAUGAACCCAAAUAAUCAAAUUGUCCCGUGGCACUUACGGUCCAUGGAUCUAAUAAUUUUUGCUUCUUUUUAUUUAUUUAUUUAUUGCAUAUCAUAACCUGUCAGUCUCAUAAUAUUGUCCAACAAGAUUGCCUUUUUGAAAAAUUUCACAUAAAUCGGACACGGAUGAUUAUGUUAUCCUUUAAUUUUUCUAACGAAUAUAAUUUUCACUGUCAUUUUGUGUUUUGGAUAGGUGGAAUGACAGUGACCUGACUGAAAAAUAUGUUAUCUGGACGACGAACGACCAAGUCAAAGUCUUUUAAGUGUACAGUCCAACUCCUUUUAAAUAGCAAUUGAAUUCUGCACUUUAAGCAAUAAGUUACUCGGCCAAAUUUGCAGAAAUAUUUCAAAGUUUAAUUCUUCACUUGGAUUUUUCAUUGCUGAUCAUGUAAGUUAGUUGUUAUUAUUAUUAUUAUUUUUUUCACCACGGUAACUCCUGUGCUUACACUUUUCGCGGAGCUAGUUCUAUUUUCUUAAUGUUCUAAUUUUCAAUGAAUGUAUUUGGACAAAGCCACGAACUUGUCUUUUAGAGGACUUAACUUGUAUUAAUAUUGCUGAUAUAUUCCUUAUAAAUCAAAAAGAGCAAACAAAGUUCUUAUAAAAACGCAAGGAUAGCAGAGAGUGGUUUUUAUUUUUUAUUUUUAAUGUUAUCUCAAUUUUAAUAAUAGAUGAUUGAUUGAUUCGAUCUUCUUCUUGUCCAUAAUUAAAAUAACUACUUUCUACUUCCUAAAGGAAUUUCCUGCUCAUGUUUUUUAAUCCUACUCCAAAAUUCUCAUCUUAUUUGGUGAAAAUUUUCUUGAUGUUAACAAACUUAUGUUAACUGUCAACUAUUGUUAAAUUAAGUCAGUUUGUUUUUCAACUAUCAGACCGGAAAAGAGUACCUAAUAACAUGUAACUUUAGGAGAGUUUUGGUGAGGUUUAAAGCAUGAAAGGAAAUGGCUAAUUGCCUAAUUCCAAUAAGAAGGAAGAUUUGGUAAUUUUCUCCUUUUCCAGUGUAUGCAAAUCCACGACAGCCACCCUACGCCUCCUCCCCUUAUUUUUUAAGGAAGUAUGUGAUUUUUUAAAUUGGGCUUUGACUGCAAGCAACUGUAAUAUGUUGGACUUCCGUAAUAGGCUUGUUUCUACUGUACGGAUAUUUAUGUACUAUAAAAAUAAAAUAAAAAACAUUAUGACAAAACCUUGACUUGCGUUUCGAUCAUAUCAGGUCUCAGGAUCCAGAGAAAGGUUCAAAACAUGAACAACCUGAAGUGCAUUGUAAUGGAACGAACUCGGCCGAUAAAAAACGAACAACAUGCUUCCGUUGGGCUAAAAAAUUUCUCGGUAUCAUACUUCUGUGUGCGCCGCUAUUAUGCCUGCCUGCGGUAUUGCUAGUGCCAUGCCUGUUGAUUAUAAUAAUUAUAAUAAUUACAAUAAUUUGGUUAUAUCGUAAAGCGAUAGCGGCUGCAAUCAAGAAUACAAGAUAUCUUCUACUGAAUGUGAUUGCAAUGAUCCUUGAUCCUUUUUUCUUCUACAUUCCGGACCUGAAAGAUGAAAUUAAAUGCAUUCGCUGCAACGUUACCUUGGGGAUUACCGCUACUGUCAUCCGUUCCAUCCUCGAUUUCCUUAAGCUACUACAUAUUAGCUCUGAGCUUCAGGAGGCGGAUAAAAAAGAGAACCAAAGAAAAAAAUUUAAACAUUUAUGGCAGCAAUUAAAAAAUUUCAAGGUAUAAUUUACUUUCGCUAACUAGUUGUUUCUUCAACUUCCAUAAUUUAUAUAAAAAUAGUCUCCGUUAUCUUCUUUGCUCCGUACGAAGUAUUGAUUCUUUUUUUUUUUUUUUUUUUGCCUUAAAAGGGAGGAAGAGAAUUUCUUGAAGAUCCAAUGGUACGUAUGUGGACGCUAGUCUUCAUUGAUCUUUUGGCCAUCCUUCCCAUCCCCCAGGUAAAGGCACUGUCUAAUUUACUAUUACGUAUAUAUUGUUUAUUGAUUUCUUAUGUAGUUCAAUCCUUCCCAUCCCCCAUGUGCAUAUCGUAGUAGUAGUUUUGAUUGUGAUAAAGAUAGAUCUUUAUAUGAUUCAUGUCAAGAAUAAUGAUUUCAAUGUCAUUUUUCCCUUUUCUUUGAUUAAAGUUGUAUUUACACGUAAAACCCUAAAUGUUUUGCAUUGAUAGUAAUUUUGGUUAGUGUGUAGUGUUAAAUUUCAGCCAUAUGAAUUCGAUACUUUUAUUAAACUUGUUUAAUAAUUUCAAACACUAACUCAACCUGUCUAUUAAUAAUUAUGUCACAUGCUUAAUAUGCUUUAAAAAUAUAUUUUUAAAAUUUGACUUGUUUACAUGGGUUUAAUGUAUUUGUUUAAAAUAUUUAGAGUACUACCUCUCAAAUUCAAAUCAAUUCUAGUCUUAUCAUAACUGGAUAAUCUUGAAAUAUAUACAAAUAUAAACUCGGUUCAAUCGCAUCCAAAAUCUAGUCAAUGCAACAUCUUUAUUAAUCAAAUUGUUAAUUAUGUCAUAAUUAAAUAGGUUCACGUGACAGGAACUUUAAACUCACAAGAUACUAAUUUGUGUCUCUUUUCGCCAACGUGAACAAACUAUUAUUUUCAUGCCAUUAGGAUCAAUUUCGCGGGUUGUUUCAAAAAUUGCCAUCCCGCCUAUACCAUCGGUUUGCGCAAAAAUAAAUAAUCAAUUUUGUUCGUAUUCAAUAUCAUUCAAAAUGUUUAUUUACAUUAAUUAUUCCAUAUCAUCUAAUAGGACUUCAAUUAAUAUCGUUCAGGUUUUUGUGAUUUUCCCAAUAAGAGACACAGCAGGAAUCUCGACGGCAAUGACCUUCUUUGUUUUUCAAUAUUUGCUAAGGGUUAUUCGAACGUAUUUCCUGUUCACAGAUGCUAUAGAGGUUUCAGGGGUGAUUGCCAAUUCUACAUGGGCCAUUGUUGGCUUCUAUGUUUUUCUUUACUUGCAAAGCGGUCAUGUAAGUUCAAAGUAUCAUCAUUUUACCGACAUAUAUAUUUUUAGGGAGAUUACAAUUUUUCCACCCUACAGAUGGCAAAAAUUUCAAAUUUACCAUUUUUAUGCCAAAAGUUUUCAAAAUACCAUUUUUAUAUUCAAUUUUUGGAAUCAGAAAAGCAUGAAUUAUGAUAUUCACUAUUUUGUAAUUUAGAAAAGCACACUCAAUUAGUUUUUUUGGAUGUAAAUUUUAGAUAUUGGAAUCGUCGAUGUACGAUUUUCCCUCUGCUUUGCAAAUUAAUUUUUCUGAUAAGUGAUCUUUCAGACGUUUGGAGCCCUAUGGUACUAUUACGCCAUAAAAAAAGCGACUGAUUGCUGGAGGGAAGCCUACGAAAAUCAUACCAGACGCAGUCAUAGUUACUUUUUUUGUAAGAUUUGUUUCGCAGACUACAAUCUUCUAAAUGAUUCUUGCCCUAUAAGUACAGGAAGUACUACCAACUAUAGUUUUGGAAUAUAUGAAGAUGCUCUUCAGAAUGGGAUUGUGGUGGAGACAGAUUUUCCUAAGAAAUUGUUGCGUUGUUUACAUUGGGGCCUGCAAAAACUCAGGUUUGCCGUUUUUCAUUUGGCUUGGAUAAUCAUUACCGUGCAUGUUCAUUUUGUAGUUCUUUUUGCAUGCAUGUGUUUUUCUCUUUCUCUUCAUCAAUUUAUUCUUUUCUUUGUAGCUAUAUGCAUACUCUAAUGGGAACAUUUCACUGAGAGAGGGCUAUAUCUGAUAACACCAAUUAAAUCAAAACAUAUAAGAUUAAUCAAGUUUAUAUAAAAUUGAAGCAAAUUUGUUAUUUUUAUUAAAUUAAGAUGAUAUGUGAAAGUUAACAUGGGGCGUAAAAAAUAUUGGUUAAAAGUAAAAUGGAAACUAAAUUAAAGAGUAUUGAUUACUCAACCUUAUUUAAAUAAUUUUUAAUUGAAAAAAAGUAUGUCAAUGUAAUAUAACAUUGUCACUAGUAUUAAAAAUACUUAAAAAACAUAUAAUAACAAUUAUUAACAAUUUCAUAAAAAUUUUAUGUGAAUGUUGAGAUUUAUUUAUUAGUUACAUUAACUAAGAGGAUAAGUUAGAAAGUAAAAUUUGAUAGAAGAAUCAUUAGCAUCUGAGUUUUCAAAGAGAGUCAAAGUGCUUGGCAAAGAAAAAUAACGGCACACAAAUACAUUUUUGUUGGGUUAGAGUUUAGUUUAUUAUUGAAACUCUUGACUAAUAAUAUUUUUAUAAUUUAAAAAGAUGAAUAGAUUUUAAUUGUUUAAUUUAUUUAAGCUUGGUAUUUAAGUACUUUUAAGAAUAAAAGUUCUACUUGCAAUUUUUAAUUGAUUAUAAUUACAUGUAUUGAUUUAUUUAUUCUAACUUGAAAUUAUUAAUUAUUUAUUAAUUAUUUAUUAAUUCUUAUAUAAUUCGAUGUUAUUAUAGGUUGUAGUGUUAGAUUCCAUAAUUGAAAAAUAAUAUUUCUAUAUUUGAAUUAUUUUUUGUUUUCUACUCUUUUUGUAUCAUUAUUUUUGUUUAGAGUUCAUAUUCAUAGGGUUUUUCGUAUCCACCUUAUUUGAUGUACUUUUUUUUUACUCAUGAAUGUUUAUGUUCAUUUCAAAAUAUAAAAUUUUUAAUUUAGCCUGGGAUAAUAUAAAGUUAUGGGUCCACUCAUGUAUAGGGGUUUAUUUCAACCAAAACUCUUUUAUUCAACCAGAAGGGGAAAAAAAAAAGUAAUAUUUUUGCUAAGGUCUCAAAUAAAAAUUUCACGGGUUAUACUGAAAAUUUUCUUUCCACCGGACUGGUCAUUAGGUAGGUCCUCAACGUAACAAGGUGUUCAAUCCUGUUGAUCGUGUUAAAAAAAAAAAAAAUGAUGUCUGCAUUGGAAAGAAACUCUAUUAUUUGUUUUCUAUCAUUUCAAUUGUUGUUAAAUACGCAGGAAAAUAUAUAUAAUAAUUUUCAACUGAAUGAACCUUUUGCAGUGCGUUUGGUCAGGACCUUGAAACAAGUGAUGAUGUCGGGGAAAACAUCUUUGCAAUUUGCAUGACCAUCUACGGCGUACUGCUGUUUGUCUUUUUAAUUGGAAGGAUGCAGGUAAUUCGCAUUCAUUUUUCUGUUUCUUAUCGAUCCAUCAAUUUAUAUAGUUGCUCACCUCUAAAAAUCCCUGAUUUUUAUAAAAUCUGGAAUGAGUUGACAAUGAUGUUAACAGACUUUUUUACCGUUUCACAAUAUUGUCAAACAGUUUACAACAUUAUAACAUUAUGUUCACAUUGGUGUCAACUCGUCUUGGAUUUUAUGUUCUAAUUGAAAAAAUUUCAUAUGUAUAGUUUUUAAUUAGAUUUUAAACCUAGAAGUUACUUGUGUCAAUGUAUUAAUGACUAUAUGUACGUACAGUCUGAGACUACAAGAGCACAAAAGAUAAACCAGAAGUUGCGGCAGAUCAAGCAGUGGAAACACUUUAAGGAUAUCUCCACUUUUGUCCGUGCCAAGAUAAGGGAAGCCAAGCGUGAAAAUUUGCUAUUCAAACAUGAUAUUCACAUAGAUAGUUUGGUAAGCGAUCUCCCCGAUGACACUGCAAAGCAAGUAAAACUCCAUUUCGGCAGAAAUCUGCUUGGCCAGGUGAGUUUCUAUUGCUUUCUGUACAAUUAAUAAUCCUUAUAGUUAUUUAUCAAAAAAGAUGUCAAUUUUGUUACAAAUAUUUUGAAUGGGCGUCUUAUAGCAACAUCCAGAGUCUUCGUUGUAUGUGCUUGAUUGUUAGGAAAAAAAAUUAGAAAAUUUAUAAUAAAUUAAUUAAUUAGUACCUAUUAACCAUAUGUAUUAAAUGAUUAUUAAAGAAAAAAUGGGGCUAUUUGCAUUUUAAACAUUACUUUAAAUACUCUUAUUAAAAUAUUUUAUUACAAAAAUCUAUUAUAACUGAUAAAAUAGUUUAUAAUUCUUAAACCUUAAAUCCUAAAACUUCUUGUUCUAAUAAUAACUAAAUUUGUAUUACAUUUUUUUUUUUUACUUUUUUACAAAUUGUAAACAAUUAUCUCCUGAUUCAAGGGAAUGAAUAAACCCAACGGCUGGAAAAAAUUUCUUGGGAGAAGUCGUUUGAUCUCAUCAUGUAAACGGGAAAGAAUUUUGAAAGUCAAAAUUAUCAGGAGGUAUGCUUGGCAUAUUUUAAAGAGUGUAUAAAUUAAGUAAAACUUAAUUUUCAGAAUUUAUUGAAUGAUUGUAAGUGUUUAGAGUAAUAUAUAUAUAGAGUGCAAAUAGCCUCACCCAUUACAAAAAUACUUAUAAUGUAUUUUAUAUUUAAGGACAAUUUAUUAGUAUAUUAAAUAUAAUAUUAUUAUUUUAGACACCCAUCAAAUACACCCAUUUAUUUAUAAUUAUUCUUUAUUUAAACCCUAAAACUUGCUUCUUCAUGUCUAAUAAAACAAUUUGAAAAUUGUUCACAGUGCAUGUAUGAAAAAAAAAGAAAAAAAAAGGUAGUACAAUUGUCGUAGUACAAAAUGGAAUAGUGAAAACGAAAAAAAGAAAAAAAAAAGAAAGCAAUUAUAUGAACGAAAUGAAAGAAAAUGCUAAAUAGCAAUGGAUUGAAAUUAGUUAAGAAAAAUGUGAUUGAAAUUGGAGUCCUCUCAAUAUAGAUGUAAAGAUGUACCGAAUAUUCUCAUAGGUAUAUAGCGUAAAUAAAGAUGAUUAAAUUAAAGAUUUAAGUAAGGACUUUUUUGGUGUUUUAAAAUAGUGGAUAGAGCUAAGCUCAAAUAUAUAAAUUUUAGAGAUAAGUGUACAAAGUAAUAAUCGAGUACUCAAAAGUAAUAUUUAGAGUACAAAUAGCCUCACCAUUAAAGAAAAGAUUAACAAUAAACAUCUCUAAUGAUGAGAGUUCUAAGUAAAUUAAUUAAUUAUAUAUUAUCUCACAAUCGACAAUCCACUUCAUACUAUGCGACUAGCCAUGCAUUAUCAAAUUGGUGAUUAUGACGAGUUGUGAUUUUUAAGUAGUAACUUAGUUAUUUAUAACCUUAUGAUAUAAUCGUUGCAUGAGUAUUGACGGCUCUGAUUCUCAUUAUCAAUUCUCAUUCAUUCUUGGAUGUACAUCAAGAUGCAAAAAUUUGAAAAUUGGGAAGACUACUCGUUGGAUCAUCUAUGUGGUUGUCUAAAGCCAGUCUUCUUUAGUGAACGUUCUACAAUUAUUUCGGAGGGAGAGUCAAUUCAUGAGAUGCUCUUUGUGUUGGAAGGCCAGAUUUGGAUCUACUCAAAAUUUAAGUUGAUUGGAUUGAAACGUCAGGAAGAUGGUAACUAUUGCGGAGAAGAAAUUAUAGAUUGGGCUGAGAAUCAGAGCUCGUCUCACGGCCACCUCCCUAUCUCAACCAGAACCAUUAUAGCACAUACUAAUAUUGAAGGUUUUACUCUCAAGGCUGAUGACUUGAAACAGGGUGUAGCACUUCACCGGCGUUUCGAUCAGUUAGUAAGAUUCGUACAAUCAUCCUGGCGUUCUAAGAAGUCCAAGCAAAUGCAGAUGAAGAGAAGGCAAAGCCGAAGUCAUGAGUAACUAUUUGGGAUUGGACUUGUAGUUCUUAUUAUACUACUAUGUCUACUGUUUACGUUGGGUUUCUGUUUACUUGCUUAGGUACCAGAAAAUAAUCUACUUUUGUUGUGACAUAUUAGACUAUAAUUAUCUGGUACAUGAUUUUAGAUGAAAAUAAUAAGUAGCACCAGGACAACCUAUAGAUCACAGUGAAGAGCUGAAGCAGAUCAUCUCAGGGCAAUCCUAAGUGGGUCACGUGGGUAAAGUGAUGUUUUGCCAACGGUGUUGAGGCCACAGAAAAGCAUCACCAUGAAGAGGUGCACCGUAUCCGAAAAUCAGUAUCAAUCAUAACACAAGGUUAAACAGAUUUUAAAGAUUAACAGAAUGCUUAUGCAAACAUAAAGCGACACAUCAAGCAACAAACUAUAUUUCUUCUCGCUUAAGUACAAACUGAUAACUGUUUCAGAAUAAUCCAGCAUGAUCAAGAUUAAAAUCACUCAGAAAAAUCUAAGCCAAAUGCAUGUGAAAGCUUUUAGAGGAACACGGGUUGAGCUGAUAUGCCCUUCGCGUAAUAGGCUCGCGGUUGUUAGCAACAAGAUCGAAGAGGUAAAAUCAAGGUGACAAGGUAACAAUACCUGAAAGGAUCAAUAAAUGUUGUUGAUAUUGUCUUGACAUAUGAAUGCCACAUGCCUGCACGUUCGCUCUGCCAAGAACUCUGGUAGAUGAGUACAUUGAGCACCUGAAAUUAUCUUUUCACCUGAAAGGAAGGAACAUAUGCACAAAUUCCAAUCAACUGAAUAAUCACUGGAUAUUUUCAUCCAACAAGUGAUAGUGAUUAUAAAAAAUAUAAAAAUGAAAACCAAGCAGAAAAUUCUUAAACACAAGUAAGAUGACUGUGAUUAUCAUUAUUAAGCAAUCAACCUAGUACAACCUUCAACCAGUGUUUGAGACAAUGCAAGUAGUAUCAUGAUAAUAAAUCUUUACUUCCAAACAGAACAUCAUUUCUUCAUGUAAUAAAAUGAAUGAAGAUAGAUUUCAGGAAGACAGCAGCACGAAAUCAAAUAUAUGUGCACAAAAAAAGUAGAAGAAAUAUUUCAGCGUCAUCUAUUAGCUCGAAUAAAAACAUCAAUGCGGUGUAAAACAAACUGAUGAAGAGAUUACUGGGCAUGAAAGUGUACCCAAAGUGUAAACAUGAGUUUCAACUUUUGAUUUUGGUCGCUUCACAUUCCGGAAUGCUCUUGUGAGAAUUAGUUGUACAAUCAAAUCCCAUUCCAUAAAAUAUCAGAUACUCCCUGAAAAUGCCAUGCCACUUGAUACAGCCAAUGGCCGUGGUAUCUCUAAAACUUUUCCCCUUUGAGGAUUGCAUAUAAAGAGUUCCACUAGAUGCCAUUUAUUUCAAAAGAUCAAUAAACAUUAACACUGUUUUCGCCAGCAUUACAUCCCUCAGAGAUCUCAAGAUCCUUGAUGACAUUACCAUUGCAUAUAAAUGAAUGCAUGGCGUCCUCAAGAACAAGAAGCAGAAUUUGAGGUUCUUCAGCAGCAGCCGCAGCCUGUGUUGAUAAACGCUUGUUAGCAAAAGAAUGGCUGUCAAUUAUGUCAUUCUAGAAUUUAGAAACAGAUCACAAACGCAACUGAUUAUGCGGGGAAUCUCAGAAAGAUACCAUAGAAAAGAUAAUCAGAAACUUCUUCCUUCAUGUGUCUUAUACAAUUUUUAGCAUCCUUUCGAUUAUCUUCGAUUGAAAAUUUAUUACUUCCUGCAUGUGAAAGUUAUUUGAGUGUCAGAAAGCCUGCAUUGAAUAUAGAUUUGAGGGAAUAAUUUUGACAUAAAAAUUAACAUGAAAGCUAAUACAAAGAAACAGUUCUUAUAUGAACAAAAUUAACAUGAAUCGAGAAACAGAGCGUAACAGGGUAGCUGCAACUAAUAACUCACAAACUAACUUCUAAAGUGACCUACUGGGCAUCAAAUCUAAGGAUUAAAGCACUAAUUAUAGGAUUUAACAAAAGAUCAGCCAAACAUUAUUUAUUUAUUUUCUCUUUUAAAAAAAAAGGUCAGCUUUUUCGAGAUUUCAGGAAGACAACAACAUAAGAUCAAGUAAGUAUAUGUGCACAAAAAAUGAAGAAGAAAUAUUUCAGCUUCGUCGAUUACCACAAAGAGAACAUCAAUGCUGUGUAGAACAAACUGAUAAAGAGAUUACUCACCAUGGAGGUGUGCCCAGAGUGGAAACUUCAGUUUCCACUCUUGACCUCGUAAGCGACGCGAUAAACCAGUCCUUUGCAAUUCACGUACCUGAAAAAUCUUGAAAGAAUUGGUUGAACUAUCAAAUCCCAUUCCAAACAUGUUGGUGUUAAUAAGUUGGUUAAUGAUCUUCCUGACGAACUUGGCAACAAAAUAAAGCGCAAUGUCUGCAUUAAACUGUUCAAGAAUGUGAGUCCCUUCAUCAUAUAUUAAUUGUUAAAUAAAGUUCCGGAUGUACCCUUUAUUGGUCAAAUAUUCUACCCUUUUAGUUGUUUGAUGUCUGUGACACAACUUAAAAGUAAUUUUUAACUUCCAAGUAUAAGAGUGUCUUGUUGUAUUAUAACUCGGUGAGUCCGAGGUCGAUCCACAGAGAAAAGAUUUAAUUUGUUUAUUUUAUUUUAACUAAAAAUUGAAAUUAAAACUUAAAUAUAAACAACUUAAUUUAAAUGAAACUAUGAAAUUAAACUAGUUAGGGUUAUGGAUCCACUCAUAGAAGUAAAUAAAAUUUAAUAAAUUCUUUUUGCCUUUUUUUUAGAUUUAUUACCCAAAAGAUUAAUUAUAUAAAUUAUUAUUAUUUUCCCUUUAAUUUUAUGAUGGAUUAAGAAUUUAUUGUGCCAAAAUUUAAUUUGUCUACAAUAAGUCAAAAUACCAUUUUACCAUACCUUAUAUUAAGAUAUUAAGAAUUUAUUGUGCCAAAUUUAUUUGUUUGUUCACAAUAAAUCAAAAUUUCAAAAUAUAAAAUUUGUAUAAAAUUAAAUAGAAAAUAAUUUAAUUUAUAAAAUUAAAAAUAGAAUUUGCUUAAAUCAUAUUUAUUUCCUAAGAGUUUCACCUUCCUCUAACUAAUAUUAUUUAGUUAAGCAUAAUUAAAAUACAAAGAAGUAAUAAAAUUGAAUUACUUAUAAUUAAAAGUAAUAAAAACAACUAAAAUUGGAAAUAAAACUAAUUUUAUUUAUAAAAAUAAUUAUACAAAAUAUUAAAAACACACCUGGAAAUGAAGAUUACAAGGAGAUGGAGAGAAUUUGAGAAGAAGAGAGUUGUAGAGGGAUGAUUAAAAACAUAAAAAUGAGGCUCUAUUUAUAGAAAAAUAAAUUCAUAAUCCAGUGCUUUGUGGUCCAUCAUAAGCUUCAUGCAUGUGCUCCUCAUACCUUUAGAUCAAGAUCCAAUGGCUGGUCAAACUUCAAAAGUCAACAUCACACGUGGCAUCGUUUGACUCGUCCGAUUUGCCCAAAGAACGGUUGAGAUUUGGCGAGUUAAUGGGUGGAUCGGGUCGACCCGAAUACAAGGAUUUGGAUCCUACAACUUGCUUUACCAACCAUUGCCACGUGGCACAAUCAUAGCCAUUGAAUCAUGAACGGUUGAGAUUUAGUCAAAAUUGCCAGCUAUCCCAUACACUCAUAUAUAUUGUAAGCUCAUUUCAUCAUCCAAUCAGUGGUCGGUCAACAGGAAAAGUCAACUUUUUUUACACAAGCCCAAUUUUAAGCCGAUCUUGAUUGAUCUUAAGGUUUUUCGGACCUUUGGAAUCCAAAUUUGACCUCUGUUUAUCUGUUUGGAGCCUCGAAUUACGUGAAAUUAAUAUUUUUCCUAAUAAACACAUAAAAAUACACAAAAUUAAAUAUAUUUAAAACAUAAUUAAUAAUUCCUAAUAUAUUACAUAAACACAAAUAUAAAUUAUAGCAUACGCAUAAACUAACAUAUUAUCGCUUGAUAAUUAAACAAUUUUUAAUACUAAUCGGUCUGAUUUAAUUUUGUAAUUCUCAUUCUCAAAAUUAAAUGUAUAUGAAGGUAAAAGAGUUUAGAAAUUUGAGCGAAAAUCAUUAGGGUAUCUGUUUGAAUUUCUGAGGCCAUUCUUAUUUGUGGAGCAUACUCGCAUUUUUAAGGAGGGUGACCCAAUUGAUGAGAUGCUAUUUGUGUUUAAAGGCAAGGAGCUACUCCUACACCUCCAGGAAUUUUAAUGUAACAACAACAGCCGCUUCUAGAAGAAAUAAUCGUAUGAAAGAUCGAUGGUGACUAUUUCAGAGAAGAACUUAUCACGUGGGCUCAGAGUGAACGCUACUCCAAUCUGUCCAUCUCAGCCAGAACUAUUCAAGCGCUUAGUGACGUUGAAGCCUUUACUCUUAUGGCUGAUGACUUUAUCACUCAGUCAGACAUUUCGAUUGGGCGGCUCUUUUGUUACAGUCAUACUGGCUUUUUAGAAAGCUUUUACGGGACUAAAGGAAGGCUAAGCAAAAAUCAUGCCUGAAAUAUUGGACUUGGACAACCAAAGAAAAUAAAUAACGCGGGACAUGUAUCAGCGAUACAACGCAAAAAAUUUUAACACUUGUGAUAGAAUCAUUGAUGACAAAUUUUUUUUUUUUGAUAUAAAAGGGAGCCAAACAAGGCUAAGCCGAAACAAAACGCAGGAAAGCAUUCCCGUACAUGUUGUGAAUUAAGCAAUUGACAACACCACAAGGAGGAUUGUGAAGGAAAUGGAAGCCAAGAGGUUGAUUCAUUGCGAAAUUCGCAAGAAAAUCCGCUGCAAAAUUUGCUUCACAAUAAAUAUAGUUAAUGCACACAUUCCAGUCCCUAUCAAGGGGCCUCCUGAUGCUUUGAAUCACUGAAGAAAAACUGUUAGGACUGUUGCUUGUGUUUGCAAGUAGAUCAAUGGUGCACUUACUAUCAACUUCAACCAACAAAUUCCGAACCCCAAGCUUCCAAGCCAGAUCAAGACCAUAGAAUAAACCCCAGAGUUCAGCAUUAGCAACCGAACUAAUGCCAAUGUUCGUACAUAAUCCAGGAACCCAACUCCCAUUAGCAUUUCUUAUCAACCCACCCGUAGCUGCCAUGUUCAUCUUCUUGCAGGCCCCAUCGGUAUUCAAUUUGAAGGCAUUUUCAGGAGGCGGUUUCCAUCCAAAGUGUUUCACAAUCUUUGAAGAUCCAGGUUUGAUCAAAGUCAUCAUAGUUUUAUGGGAAUUUUCAGCUCUAGUAAUAAUAUCUAAAAUAAUGUUGUGAUUACUCCUCUGCACAUUCCUAAACAGAGCUUGGUUCCUCCAAAACCAAAAGCUCCAGAUUGCUAUGCCAAAAAUUACAGACCAAUCCACUCCAUUACUAUCAUAACGAUUAGGCUUUCAAUUAGUAAGAAUCCAAUCCUUUAAGUCUAAAGAGAAAAAACUAUCUCGUAGGCUAAAAGGGACAAUAUCUAGCCAAAUAUACUUGGCUGCCACACAAUCUCUAAGGGCAUGAAGAGAGUCUUCCACGCAAACUCUGCACCUUACACAUUGAUUCUCUGCCAAAAUAUGUCUUCUAGUAAGCUCAGCUUUGGUCUUUAACUUAUUUUGAAUAGCAAACCAAAGAAAAGUUUUAACACUUUGUGGUCCUUUCCAGCUCCAAAUAAGGUCCCAUUUUGAGCCGAUACGACUGGAGGAUUUGCUUGAAAUACUUUAGUAUGCUGAUUUUACUGUAAAGUUGCCCUUAGUCGAGAAGCCCCAAAAGAUUCGGUCUAUACCCCCCUCGACACAUGGAGGCAUAAUGGCAGUAAUAGCAAGCGCUAAACUGUGAGGGAGAUAAUUGCUGAAAGCAACCCAAUUCCAUUGACCAUUACUGUCAACAUAUUCCUUAAAAGAGUUGUCAAGCAUAUUACUCGGAACCGGCAUCACAACAUAAUCCUUCAAAAUGACAUUUUGCAUUACCCAACAAUCUUUCCAGAAACGAAUCUUUAAGCCAUCUCCAACUUGCCAACGAAUACCAUUCAAAACUUUUUGCCAAACCGUACCCACUGCACGCCACACAUAAGAACCAUACUUUGUAGGUAGUUCUGUUUGGGGAGAUUAUCAUUCUUGACACCGUAUUUAGAGCAAAAAACUUUGAUCCACAGGCUUGUAGGAGAAACAAUAAUAUUCCACCCAAUCUUCAUCAAUAGUGCCUAAUUGAUUUGGAGAAGAUUUUUUAAGCCAAGACCACCUGCCAUUUUAAGUUGACAGAUUUUAUCCCAGCUAGCCAUGGACAUGUUAUUCCCCUCGUUAUUCCCACUCCAUAUAAAACGAUGAGAAAUGCGAUUGAUUUUUUCUUGAGUGCCUCGCGGAAUCAUUGUGGUUUGCAUAGAAUAAAUUGGCAAGGCUUGGAUUACCGCUUGAGCAAGUGUAAGCCUUCCAGCAAAAGAAAGAUGCUUCGCAUUCCAUCCUGAGAGACGUUUAUCUACUCGAUCUAUAAUCUCUUGAUAGGUUUUAUUGGUAAUUUGACCAUGAAGAAGCGGCAUACCCAGAUACUUCCCUAAAUUUUUUGAAGUUGAAAAGCCACUUAGAUAACUGAUUUUUUUUUAUAAAGCAGGGUCCACAUUUUUUUAGAAGUAUAAUCGAGUUUUUUCUGUGCUAACUUUUUCUCCCGACAUAUUGCAAAAGUUAUUUAGAGAUUUGAUCACCAUCUUCGCCUGCUCAGAGGAAGCUUCUGCAAGAAGAAGAAGAUCAUCAACGAAAAAAAGGUGAGUCAGAUGUAUACUUUUCGGAGACAGCCUUAUGGGUUUCCAUCGCUUCUGUUGCACUUCUCGAUUAAUGAUGUGGCUAAGUCUUUCAAUACAAAGAACAAAUAUGUAAGGAGAGAUUGGAUCCCCCUGGUGAAUCCCUCCAGAGGUCUUGAAAAGAAUCAGUAAGUUCGCCAUUCCAAAUAAUCUGCAUGGAAUAAGAGGUGAUGCACUCCAUGAUGAUUCGUAUAAAAUUCGUAGGAAGACCCACAAAAACCAAAGUCUCAUUGAUAAAAUCCCAACUUAAUCUUUCAUACGCUUUUUCCAAAUCUACUUUGAUGGCCAUGAAUCCUCGUUUGCUCGUCUUCCGUCUUAUACUAUGAAUAAUCUCCUGGGUGAUUAUAAUGUUUUCGAUGAUGUGCUACCUUGGAACAAAGCUAGUUUGAUGCGGACCUACAAGAUCAGGGAGAAAAGUCUUUAAUCUACUAGCGAUGAUUUUAGUGAUAGUUUUGUACAUAAUCGUGCAAAGACUAAUAGGUCAGAAAAACUUUAAACUAGUUGGAUUGUCAAUUUUUGGGAUAAGAACGAUUAAUAUCUUCAAGAAAUCUGCAGGAACGGUCUCGCCAUUGAAAACAUCUUUGAUUUGCUUGCAAACCGACUUGCCCACCACCUCCCAUUGAGAUUGGUAAAAAAUAGCAUGUAGGUUGUCAAUUCCCGGCGCCUUUAAAGGUUUCAUGCUAAAAAUAAUGUCUCGAAUUUCCUCAUCAUCCACUGAUUUUUUCAUGAUAUGGUACUUAUCUGUAUCAAGGCAAGGAAAAUCAUUAGGAAUAAAAUAAUUUUCAAAAGAAUUAUUGUCAGCCGUGUAUAAAUUAGUGAAAAAAUUAAUAGCAUGAGCCUUAAGCUCAUCCUCAUCCAAAAUCCACUAGCCCCCGUCAUCUUUCAUCCAGACAAUUUCGUUUUGUCUUCUCCUAGUCAUUGUUUUCUAGUGGAAAAAGGAAGUAUUUCUGUCCCCAAAUUGAAUCCAGUUGCUGCGAGAUUUCUGAAGCCACAAAAGUUCUUCUUGAUUGAGAAUAUCGUUGAGCUCCUUGCUGAGAUGAGUCUCCAACUUUAGUCUCCAACUUUAACAAAUUAUCCAAAUGGUGACUCUCCAAAGCUUUUUGAAUUCCACCUAGUCUAGCUAAGAUUUCCCUUUUUUGUUUAAAAAUAUUUCCAAACUCAUUCUUGUUCCAAUUAUCAAUUUUGUCAGUAAACUCCUUCAUCGAAACAUUAUAAUCAACAUCCUUCUUCCAAACUUGAGACACAAAACCAGAGAAACGAUUAUCAGUAAGCCAAGAUGCAAAGAAUCUAAAUGGUUUCAAACCUUUGUUCCCAGUACCCUCAUUAUUCAAACUAAGAAGGAUAGGCCGAUGGUCAAACCCCAAUCUUAGUAAGUGAAAAACUCGUGCCUUGUUAAAAGUGUUGAACCAAAUAUCAUUGCAAAUGGCUCUAUCCAAGCGUUUAUAAAGCGAUCCCCUUUUCCAAGUAAAUUUUGGUCCAGUAAAAUGGAGAUCGCAAAAUCCGUGUUUGUGGAACCAAUUUUGAAAGUUUUUACAAGGUCGGCUACGACUAUUAGUACUUCCUUUACUCUUUGAGGUUGAAAGAGUGGCAUUGAAGUCGCCUGCUAGCAUCCAUGGACCUUGAAUAGUCUCAGCCAAAUAAUUUAAAUCCUUCCAAAGAAAUUUCGGAGAGAAGUAACUGGACUGGCAUAAAUCACGGUGACCCAGGUAAUUAACCCCCUUGUAUCAGACACUUGGAAGUGAAUAUAUUGCUUAUGAUUAAUAAGGAUUGUGACAUCUAAACCCGCUCUCCAUAAUAACCAAAUUUCACUUGAGAAACCAGCCACCUCAACUCGAUGGGAAUGCUCAUAACCACUGAAACGAAUAAAAUCAUCCGUUUUAAUUCCACUAAUCCGAGGUUCACAAAAAGCCACAAGUUUGGGUUUAUAGUUUUGAACAGACAUCUUGAAAGUUCAUCUAAAGGACUGCGAGGCCGCCCCCUGGUAAUUCCAAAACAAGCACGACAAAUUCAUUAGCAAAAAAAAUUGAAAGAAAAGCACAUACUUACUCCAAAUGCUCAGAGCCUUGCUGAUUAACAUCCAUAUGAUCCUCCUCAACAAAAAAAUGAGACUCAUCUGAUGUCUCAGAUUCGUCAUCCUCUGAUUCCUCCAUAUAUUCACUAUCUGAUGAGUCCUCCUCCACCUUAUCCAUUUCCCUAUCGCCUAUAUCAGGAGGCUCCUCAUUCGGGUUUGGUUCGGGAGGCAUCGAAGGGGGGGCCUGGACGGUCCCAUUUUUUGAAUUGUUUUUUAAUAUUAUUGCUUAAUGAUAUUUAGGAUCCAAAGAAGUUGGGAUGAAAGUUGGUUCAAGAUAAUGGGUUAUAGAUGACUUGGAUUUGUUACGUGAGAUAUUUUUUUUCCAUGGGCUCAAAAGGGUGUUGAUUUGAUGAGCUAUGACCACUUGUGGGGGGGGUGUACUGUGUAUUUCCCGUGAAGGUUUGAGGGUAGUGUGUUCAGAUGUGGCAACCUUCUUGUUUCUUGUCACGGGUUUUCCCUUGCUUCCAAAUAUCAUCGUUUGGGUGGAGCUUUUAGAGUCACGUGAGAUCAUCUUUUCCAUGUUUUUAGGAGGAGCAACAGUCUUCUUGUGAUUAUCCAUGGUGAUAGCUGCGUUUGAAAUCUCCCUAGAAUCAUUGUCUAACUCACUUUCCUGUCGUAAGACAUCGAAUCUGGAACCUAGACUCUGUUUCCCAAAAUUAUUUUGAUUAGUCUCCUUUGCAUCUGCUCUUCCCUUAUUUCCUCUAUAAUUUCCUUUCCUAGCCAUGAUCAUCCAAGGACCAAAUCUUGGAUUGUCCAGAGUAACCACCGCCGGCGAGACAUCUGAAAUUCCGUUGAUAGUUUCACCUGAAGCCAUAUCAUUCAUCUUCUCCCCUCUUGCCUCCAAAAUCAAUUUAUCCGGGCAUGAGGAAGAGGUGUGUCCAUACUUUCCACAUCCAAAGCAUAUUGUUGGAAGCACUUCAUAUUCAAACCUUUGGAUUCGUCCAUCCAGUAAAAAUUGAGAGAUUAAAGGACUCUUAAGGGAUACUUCCACUGCAUUACGGGUAAACUUACCCUUCGUCGCCAAUUCCGUAUUAUAAUCAAUUUUGAUUACUUUUCCAAUGACAUGCCCCAACAUUCUAAUGAUCUUUUUAUGGUAAUAAUGUAGAGGCAUACCUGGAAGCCUUAUCCAUGCAGUGAUUUCAUCAAUCUUUUCAUUCGAGCUAUCGAAAUGAGGCGACCAUAGUUGAACGGUCAGGUAAUGCCCCGAAACAAUCCAUGGCCCUUAUGUAAGAACAAACUUAGCAUCACCUUCCUUCCUGAACUUAACGAGAAAAUAGGCAUUAUCUAAAUCUAUAACAGAGUAUCCGCCAAUAUUAGGCUACAAGAUUUCCAGCUGUGAGCAAAACGCUUUGUAUCCAAUCAUGCGGCUAAGAAGUUUCACCACCACAGUAGAUUGCCAUGGUUUUAUGAGUUGCUCGUGGACUUUUUGUGAAAAAGAAAUCGAAGGUAAAAAGCCUUCCCGUUCAAUGACCACAUCCUCAUUUUCAAUUUCAUUAUCAUUUUCCUUCCCCAUGAAUUCUUCUCUACCGACUUCAGCAUCAAUCACCCCCCUUUGUUGUUCCAUUAGUUUAUCUCGAAAGAACAACAUAGAUGGAUUAUCUCCAUCCUCCCCUUGUGCUUUGAAUUUGGUUUUCUUGGUCGAUCGAUCAUCCUCAAGGGGAGGGGGGUUGUUCUUGUUAAGAGAGUUUUUGGUUGAGAGCAUUUUCCAACGACUAGUUUUUUCUUUUCUUUCGCAGAUAAUUAGACGUUUAAAUCACCGAAGCUGUGGAUUUGUCAUUUGGUAGUUGAUAGUUACAAAUUGUUUAUUCUUUAUAUUUAGAUGUGCGCAGAAAAUGGCCAAAAUUUAAUUUGAAAUUUGGAUCCCUCUAAGUUACAUGUAAUAUAACUUACACCCACUCACAUGAAUAGUGAACAGUGGGUGAUGUGAGGCCCACUCAUUGUUCAUGUGAGUGGUGUAAGUUACGUUACAUGUAACUUAACACUUGCCUUGAAAUUUUAAAUUUGAAUCCCUCUAAGUUACAUUACAUGUAACUUAACACUUGCCUUAAAAUUUUACAUAUGAAUCCCUCUAAGUUACAUUACAUGUAAUUUAGCACUUGCCUUAAAAUUUUACAUAUGAUUCUAUCCGGCUUUGUCAAUUAAUUCACCAGUGAUGAUGAAUAAUGAUAGAUAUUAAUGUUUGAAUUCAAAUUGAUUUGACAUUCAUUUAUUAGAUGAUAUAAUAAUAAUUUUAUUUUUGUCAUAUAAUAGAUGUGUGAUACUUAACAUUUACACUCAAAUUAAAAUUUAAAUAUUGAAAUUCUAAUAUUAGUGGAGUUAUAUUGAGUUGGGAUACAAAUUUUGACUAUUAAUGGUGUAACACUUGAUGUGAUGGUAUUAAAUUAUCUCAUUAUGAAAGAAAUAUUAAAAUUGAGUAAAGUUUAUAGGGAAAAUCAUUUUGUGUGAGUAUUCUCAAUUUUCAAUAUAAAAAUUACGAGACAAAAUUAAGGAGGAGAAUGACACAUUGCACUGUUUACAAGCUAUUGGAUAAUUUGGUCAUAUUUCAAAAAGCGAUUUAACCACGGAGGUCCAUCACAGAAGUUUAAAGACCUUUCGUUGAAAGAACAAAUGUGAUAAUUGAUAUUAUUAAUAAAGAAAUAAAUAAAUGGGAUAAAUCUAAUUUUUCAAAUUUCUCCGGAGGAAAAGGCUGCGAAUUAUGACUCUCCAUAAGAAAGACGUCACAUGAAUUUAUUUAUUUAUUUAUUUUCUUGUAAAUUUUACAUGAUUGGAAGUGUGGAGGUGUGUGAUUAUCAUUUCUGUCCUAAAAUACCUGUCAACCUUCCACAAUUUUUGAGAUUGCCAAUUAGUUUGUUGGUCCUUCAGGUAUUUGGAGGCUUAUGAUACUUAUUUGCGAUAGAAAAAGUUGGCGGAUGUCGAAGGAAGCCUGCAUAAUUAAUUAAGCCUUAUGGUACUCAUCUGUCAUAAAUUAGGAUUCGUCUAUGAUGCAACUGUGGUGUGCUACCACAAUUUUUGUCCUUAACCCAACUAACCGUUGGUUCAAAAGUUAAAUAAUCUAACAUGUUUUUAAUUGCCACACAUAUUUUCAAGUAUACUGGUGAAAUUAGGACAGUUAUGACUUAAUUUUAAAGAUCUCUUGCCUAAUAAAACUUACUUUCAAUUAAAGGGUAUUGCUACCUUUUUUUUUGUAUUUGGUAAUUCAUCAAACACGAACAAAUUGACGAACACAUAAUUUCUUUUCUUUUUUACAUUUUGCUUUUCAUCAAUUCCUUCAACGUCCUCUGUACAUCAUCUUUCUUUUUUUCUUUUUUUGUUGUUGCUGGAAUCAGUUGGUCGUUGAUGGUAUUGCCCCAAAAUUUCAUCUUUACAUCUUCAAGUCCUUCAUCUUUUUUUUUUUUUUCCUGUCUAAUCCUUCAAUGUAAUGAUCCAUUUCACUUAUGCAACUUUUGCUAGGACUUCAAGAUUGAUUUUUGUGUGUUAACUUACAUUUGAGUUGAAAACAACUUGGAUGUAUUUCAUGCCUGCUACCUGUUUGACGAAAUUCCUCACAGAAGAAACAUACAGUUUCAGAUGCUAUUCUUGCUAAAGAGUUCAAUAAGAGAGAUAUUUCUGGUAUUGAACAUAAAAAAUAGAGCAAUAAAUAGAAAAUUAAUUAAUGACAACUUCUUCUGAAAAAAAAAAAUUAAUUGAAUUUUGCUAUUUUUGAUUGAUAUGAUGAUGAUGGAAGUCAAGUGUGUUAUGUAAGACGAAAGACGAGAAAUCAAUGGUUAAUUUCAGCGCUCAAAAGAUUGUAUUUCAGUAUAAUGCACGCACCGAGGACGAAAAUGAAAAGAUGAAGUCAAUUAAUUGCAACUCACUCAAAAGGUUACCUGUGUCAGUCCAAUUUAUCCAAUAAUUAAGUCCAGCCCUUAGAUUAAAGAAAGAAGUAUCCAACGGUUUUGUUUGAUAUAUACAAAAGAAUGCGGUAUGGUGCAACUGUUGCAACAAGACACCAUAAAUUAUCUCAUUAUGACAGAAAUAUUGAAUUGCACGAGUUAAUUAGGAAAAUAAUUUUUGUGUGAGUAUUCUCAAUUUCCAAUAUAUAAAUUAAAAGAAAAAAAUUAAAAAGCAGAAUGACGCUUUACACUUGUUUAGAAGCUACUCGAUACUUUGGUCAUAUUUCAAAAAAUAUAUUAACUACGUAGGUCCACAUAUAAUAAAAGUUGUAAGAGAUUUUUUGUUGAAAGGAUAAAUGUGAUAUUUUAAAUAAACAUAUUUAAUAAAUGGGAUAAACCUAAUUCUUCAAAUUUCUUCCUAGGAAAGGCUGUCAAUUAUGGCUCUCCAUAAGAAUGACGUCACCCAGAUGAUGUAAUCAGAAACUUUUUCCUUCAUCAGUUACUACGCAAUUUUUAACGUCCAUUUGUUCCACUUCAACUGAAAACUCAUCACUUCCUGCCUGCAAAAGUUAUUUGAGUGUCCAAAAAACUAUAGUGAAUCUACAUUUUUAUUGUUAAGGGAGUCAUUUAAAUAUGAAAUUGACAUGACAGCUAAUACAAAGCUACAGUUGCUACUUGAACAAAAUUAACAUGAAUAAAAAAAGUGUAGCUGCAACUAAUAACAUUAAAGCAAAGGAAUAAAGUAUUAACUAGAGAUUUUAAACAUAACUGUUUGGUUUAAAAUUAUGGGAAUUUUAGAUUACACUUACAGUUUUUAUUGUUUUUUAAUUUUUGAAGAGAAAGAAAAGAAAAAAAAAGAUCAGCUAUAUGAUUAAAGAAAGAUAACAUGGUUAUGCAUGGAGGGAACAAAAGAGUAAUUGAAGUGAGUUAUUUAACGGACCACCGCAGCAUUGAUCGGCGUGUACGGUGCCGCCGGCGCGGUGACGUCGUCAGAGAGGUGGCAUCGUCGGCGUCAUUGUAAGUGUGAGUGUGACUGUGCGAGUGAAUAUGAGAGUGACUCAUCGUGGUUUUAAACUAGAGGCAGACUCAAAAUGUACAGUUGUCAAUAUAUAAUUGCAGUGCCCUUGCUCUCAUUUAUGAUACAAAUUAAUAAAAACUAUGAUUCAUUCAACAUUCACCAACCUUCCUCCAAUCCAAUUUUUUGGUCAUAUUAGGAUGGCUAUAAAUGCCAUUUAAUCGAUCGAUAACCUUAAUUUUCGAGAUUGCUAUGGCCGAAACUUUUUAAUUUUUUUUUUAAGUCUUUUAUUUCGUGCAAAAAUUAUAUAUCACGUUUUUUUAUUUCUCAUUAAUGACUGUAUUUUUGUGUCAUAAUUCAGGAACAACUUGUUGUUUCAAAGGGGCAGCAACAAGGAAUAGCUAUUUAUUUAAAAUAUGAAGUGGGGAAAAACUGCAAUACUUCAGAUCAUGAUCCAUAAAUUAUUCUCCUUUUUUAUCUCUAGAAAAAAUUGAAUUAAUUUCUUGAAAAAAGAUCCAACAAAUGAGUGCUUUAAUUUCGUAAUUUAUUAUUAUUAUUGCUAUUUCUGUUUAAAUAUGAAAAAAGAAGAAGAAGAAUUGGGUUAUUUUUAUUUUGUCGUAUAUCAGGGUUCAUAAUAGAUGUACUCGUGUCAAUAUAUAAUUGCCUUUGCCUUCCCUCUGGUGAAUUCAUUGAUAAUUGAAAAAGAUGGUAGCUGCUUGUGGUUGUGGGACGCUCUCGUUUAUGGUACAAAUUAAGAAUAAAAAUUUAUAUUUAAUUAACUCAACUGCUUGUGGUUUUGGAGGUACUUGGAUGUCAUUUAAACGAUAACCUAGAUUUUCUAGAUUGCUAGCUAUGGCCGAGUUUCUUAAUCUUUCUGAAGUCUUUUCGCGCAAAUAUUAUAUCCACGUUUUUUUCAUUUCUCAUUAAUGCAUUGUCAGUUCAAUAAAAAAUCUAGUGUGGAAACUGGAAAAUUUGGGAGGAAUCAUUAAUGCGUUGCACGUGCAACCUAAUCAAGAAUGUGCUUGUGUAUUAUUUUAAUAAAUCUAUUUCCAAUAAACCGAAAUAGUCAAAUUCUUAGUUCUCCCGUGCUAUAUAUUUGGUCUAUGGAUAUAUUAAUGUUUGUUUCUUUUAAUUAAAUUUUUUUUUUUUUUGCAUAUCAUAACCUCUCAGAUCACUGUCUAACAAGAUUGCCUUUAAAUUUGAAGAAUUUCACAUAAAUUGGAUACGGGUGAUUAUGGUGUCCUUCCAUUUUCUAACGAAUUAAUUUUCACUGUCAAUUUGUAAUUUGGCUAGCUGGAAUGACAGUGACCUGACUGAAAAAUAUGUUAUCUUGACGUCGACUGACCAAGUCAAAGUCUUUUAAGUGCACAAUCCAACCCUUUUGAAGUGGCGAUUCAGUUCGGCACUUCAAGGAAUAAGUUACUCGGCCGAAUUUGCAGAAAUAUUCCGAAGUUUAAUUCUUCACUUGGAUUUUCAUUGCUGAUCAUGUAAGUUAGUUGUUAUUUUUAAUUUUUUUCGGCGUUGUCACCCAUGUGCUUACACUUUUUGCGGAGCUAGUUUUAUGUUCUUAAUGUUCUAAUUUUCAAUGAAUGUAUUUGGACAAAGCCAUGAGCUAGUCUUUUAAAGGACUUAACUUGUAUUAAUAUUGCUGAUAUAUUCCUUAUAAAUCCAAAAGAGCAAACAAAGUUCUUAUAAAAAACGCAAGGAUAGCAGACAGUGAUUUAAUUUUUUUUAUUUUAUUUUGAUGUUAUCUCAAUUUUAAUAAUAGAUGAUUGAUUGAUUCAAUCUUCUUCUUGUCCAUAAUUAAGAUAACUACUUUCUACUUCCUAAAAAAAUCUCUAAUAUGUCGAAAUAAGUUUAUAAACAUUUGUAGAAAUCAAUAUCUUGGGAUUGUUGCUUGUUAAUUAUAUGUAAGUUAUACCAUUUUUAUGUUUUUUUUAAUCUGCUCGGCAUGUUUGAUAUAUUUCAACCCAAAUCCCCCUUGAUUGGGAAAAUAAACCAUUUCCUGCUCAUAUUUUGAAAUCCUACUCCAAAAUUCUCAUUUUAUUUGGUGAAAAUUUUCUAGAUGUUGAUAAACUUAUGUUAACUGUCAACUAAUGUUAAAUUAAGUCAAUUUGUUUUUCAACUAUCAGAUUUGGUAAUUUUCCCCUUUUUCCAGUGUAUGCAAAUCCACGACAACCACCCUACGCCUCCUUCCCUUAUUUUUUUAAGGAAGUAUGUGAUUUUUUAAACUGGGUUUUGAUUGCUGGCAACUGUAAUAUGUUGGACUUCCGUGAUUGGCUUGUUUGUACUCUACAGAUAUAUAUGUAUAAAAAAAAAAGGAAAAAAAUAUGACAAAACCUUAACUUGCGUUUCGAUCAUAUCAGGUCUCAGGAUCCAGAAGCAGGUUCAAAAGAUGAACAGUAUUCUAAAGUGUAUGGUACUGGAACGAUGUCGGCCGAUAAAAAACAAACUACAUGCUUAGGUUGCUUUAAAAAUCUUCUAGUUAUUAUACUUCUUUGCGUUAAAAAUCUUCUAGGUAUUAUACUUCUUUGUGUGGCGCUAUUAUGCUUUAUAAUAUUUGGUGGGACAAUAAUGCUAGUGCUUUAUUACCUGUUGAUUACAAUGAUUGUGUUAUAUCAUAAAACUGGUAAAGCGAUAGCGAGAGCAAUACGCAGGAUUAAAACAAUCAAGGAUAAAGAAUAUAUUGAUCGUCUAAUGAAUGUGACUGCAAUGAUCCUUGAUGUGACUGCAAUCAUCCUUGAUCCUUUAUUCUUCUACAUUCUGGUGCUGGAUGAUGAAAAGAAAUGCAUUCACUGGGACAAAACCUUGGGGAUUACAGCUACCGUCAUCCGUUCCGUCCUCGAUUUCCUUAAGCUAGGCCAUUUUAUCUCUCACUCUAAGCUGCAUAUGGCAAAGGGGAACCGAAGAGAAAAAUUUAAGGCCAUUUUCAAGGUGUAAUUUACUUUCGCUAACUAGUUGUUUCUUCAACUUCCAUAAUUUAUAUAAAUAUAGUCUCCGUUAUCUUCUUUGCUCCCUACGAAGUAUUUGCUUUUUUUUUUUUUUUUUUUGGCCUUAAAAGGGAGAAGGAGAAGUACCUGAAGAUCCAAUGGGACGAAUGCGGAAGCUCUUCCUCAUUGAUUGUUUGGCCAUCCUUCCCAUCCCCCAGGUAAAGGCACUAUCUAAUUUACAAUUACGUAAAUUCUGUUUAUUGACAUAUUAUGUAGUUCAAUCCUUCCCAUCCCCCAUGUGCAUAUCGUAAUAGUCUGCUUGAUUCCUGUCAUAUGUACAUCACAAAGUGGUUUUGAUUGUGAUAAAGAUAGAUCUUCAUACGAUUCAUGUCAAGGAUAAUGAUUUCAAUGUCAUUUUUCCCUUUACUUUGAUUAAAGUUGUAUUUAGACAUACAACCCUAAAUGUUUUGCAUGGAUAUUAGGGGUGGCAAUUUUCGCUAGUGAGUAGUGUUAAAUUUCAGCUAUGGGAAUUCGAUACUUUAUUAAUCUUGUUAAUAAUUUCAAACACCAACUCCACCUGUCUAUUAAUAAUUAUGUCACAUGCUUAAUAUGCUUUGAAAGUAUAUUUUUAAAUUUGACUUGUUUACAAGUUUUUAAGAUAUUUGUUUAAUUAAGAUAUUUAUAGUACUGCCUCUCAAAUUCAAAUCAAUUCUAGUCUUAAUAUAACUAGAUAAUUUUGAAAUAUAUACAAAUAGAAAGUAGUUCAAUUGUAUCCAAAAUCUAGUCGUACAACCAUUAUUGAUCAAAUAGUUAAUUAUGUCAUAAUUAAAUAGGCUCACGUGACAGGAACUUAAAACCUGAAGAAGUGAACACAACACAAAAUAUUUGUGUUCCUUUUCACCAACGCGAACAAACUAUUAUUUUCAUGCCAUUGGAAUCAGUUUCGCAGGUCAUUUCAAAAUUUGUCACCCCAGCUAUACCAUCGUUUUGCACAAAAAUAAAUAAUCAAUUUUGUUCAUAUUCAAUAUCCUUCAAAAUAUUUAUUUCCAUUAUUCCAUAUCAACUAAUAGGACAAACCGUCCAGGUUUUGGUGAUUUUUGGAAUAAGAGGCCCAGGAUUUUCAACGGCAAUGACCUUCUUUGUUUUACAAUAUUCGCUAAGGGUUAUUCGAACGUACUUUCUCUUCACACAUGCUACACGGGUUUCAGGGAUACUUGCCGAUGCUACAUGGGCCAUUUUUGCCUUCUAUCUUCUUCUUUAUCUGCAAAGCGGUCAUGUAAGUUCAAAGUAUUAUCAUUUUACCGAAAUAGUUUUUGGGAAAUUACAAUUUUUCCACCAUAUAGAUCGCCAAAUUAAAGGCCAAAAACAUUACAAAAUUUUGAAAUUUACAUUUUUAUACAAGAAGUUUCCAAAAACACCAUUUUUAUAUUAUAUUUUUUGGAAUCAGAAAAGCAUGAACUACGAUAUUCACUAUUUUGUAAUUUAGAAAAGCAUAUUCUAAUAAAACUAGAAUUUUAGCAACGCCCAGUUAUUACACAUAUAUACGCACAGUCAGUUAGCUUUUUUUUAUGUAAAUUUUAGAUAUUGGAAUUGUCGAUGUAUGAUAUUCCCUCUACUCUGCAAAUUAAUUUUUCUGAUAAGCUAUCUUUCAGAUGUUUGGAGCCUUAUGGUACUAUUAUGCCAUAGAAAAAGCGACUGAAUGCUGGAGGGAAGCCUGCAAAAAUCAUACCGGAUGCAGCGGUCAUAGUUAUUUUUCCUGUAAUAAAAGUUCCAGAGACUACAAUUUUCUAAAUGAUUUUUGCCGUAUAAGUACAGGAAGUACUACCAGCUAUAGUUUUGGAAUAUAUAAUGAUGCUCUUCAGUCUGGUAUUGUGGGGGAGACAGAUUUUCCUAAGAAAUUGAUACGUUGUCUGCGAUGGGGCCUGCAAAAUCUCAGGUUUGCUGUUUUUUAUAUGGCUUGGAUAAUGAUUAUUGUGCAUGUGAUCAGGUCCGUUACAGGUUCUCUUAGUCCGGUGCAGGUUUAUUUUGUAGUUCUUUUCGCAUCCAUGUAUUCUUUUUUUUUUCCCCAAUUCUCUUUUAUUCUUUUCUUUGUAGCUUCAUGCAUAUUGUAAGGGCUAAAUUUUAUUAAAACCCACUAAUUAGCCAAUGCAGACCAAGACAUUUUAUUGAAAGGGGCUACAUCAAAUAAUACCAAUAAUAUACAUAACAUAAGGGAUUAAUUAAGUUUAUAUGAUAAAAUUAAGUAAUUUCAUAUUUUUUUAUUAAAUUAAGAUGACAUGUGAAAGUAAAAGAGGGAUAUUGUUAUUAUUUUUAAAAGGUUUAACAAGGAGAGUAAAAAAUACUGUUUAAUUUUUUUAUAAAUUCAGAAUAAUUGAGGGGUACGUUUUUAGGGGUUUAUUUCAAACGAACUCUUUUAUUCAACUCAAAUAUUUAAAAAAUCAUUGGGGGUUUAACUAAUAUUUUCUGCUAAGGUCUCGAAUGAAAUUUCAGAGGGGUUAUAUGAAACAUUUCUUUUCUAUCGGCUAGUCAUUAGGUAAGUUCGAUCUUGUUUGUUCUCAUAAAAAGAGUACGAAUGUCGGGGCCACGCACAUUAUUUAAAUACGCAAUUAUGGGCUUUAGUUACCUUACAUUAUUAUGUAAAUUUCAUAAUUUUUUGAUAACUAUUUGAUGAAAAUCUAAUGGUUGUGAGAAUAAUAUGAUUUUAUUAUUUUAUAUUUCCAUAACCGUUGGAUUUUCAUCAAACGGCUGUGAAAAAAUUAUGCAACUUAUAUAAUAAUGUAAGGUAACAAGCUCCCGCAAGUAUGUAAUACUUAUGAACUGAAUUGAACUUUUUGCAGUGCAUUUGGUCAGAACCUCGAAACAAGUAACGAUGUCGGGGAAAACAUCUUUGCAAUUUGCAUGACCAACUACGGCGUAGUUCUGUUUGUCUUUUUAAUUGGAAGGAUGCAGGUCACAUACAUUUUUCUGUUUCUUCUCGAUUUCUCAAUUAACUUUCUUCUCGGGCUGUUAAUUAACUUUGAUCCUUUUAACUCAUGAAACACGAUAUAUAUAGGUUUUAAUUAGAUUUGAAAACACACAAGUUAAUUAUUUAGGUCAAAUUAAUUAAUGGCUAGAUGUACAGACUGAAAUUGCAAGGUCACAGAAGAUAAACCAGAAGUGGCAGGUGAUAAGGCAGUCGAAACACUAUGCGGAUAUCUCCCGUGAUCAAAAUGUCCGAGGGCAGUUCAAGAAAGCCAAGCGUGAAAAUUUGACAAACAAACACGUUGAUGUUCGCAUAGAUAGUUUUAUAAGCGAUCUCUCCCUCGACGCUCAAAAAGAAGUAAAACGCCAUAUGGGCCGAAAACUGCUCAGAAAAGUGAGUUUCUAUUUCUCUGGAUAAUAAUAAUCCUUAGCUACGUACCUGCCUCUUAUUAAUUAGUUAUUCAUCAGAAGAUGUCGAAGGGGGAAGUUUGUUAGAAUUUUUUUUGUGUUGACGUCUUAUAGCAACAUCUAGAAUGAUUCUUCAUUGUAUGUCCUUGAUUGUUAGAAAAUUAAUGGCAAAUGAAUUAGUAAAUAUGAACCAUAUAGGAGCAACAAUACAUAUAUAAGGGAAAAGGACAUUCAACCCCCCAACGUUUAGGAAAAGAGACAAAAAAACCCCUCAACGUUUCAAAAAGGACUUAUAAUCCCCUUUCCGUUAACAAACACCGUUUGUUUUAACAGUAAAUUUAUUUUUAAUUUUUAAUUACUAUUAUACCCUUAUAAUAAAAAAAUUAAUAUAUUAAUUUGAGAUAUAUCACAAUUAAUAAUUUUUUAAAAGCUUAAAAUUGAGAUACAAUUAUUUUUUUGCCAAAAUUAUUUACUAUAAAUUAUACCUUUCUAACAAUAAUAAUAUGGUUUUGAUUCCUCAAAGAAAAAGGGUUUAAUCAAAUUUCGUUUUAUUAGUAAUAAUCACAUAUGAAAGGUUUGAUCAUUAGAAAGGUAUAAUUUAUAGCAAAUAAUUUGGGCAAAAAUGUAAUUGUAUCUCAAUUUUUAGUUUUAAAAAAAUUAUUAAUUGUGACAUGUCUCAAAUCAAUAUAUUAAUUUAUAUUUAUUAUAAGGGUAUAAUAGUAAUUAAAAAUUAAAAAUAAAUUUACUGUUAAAACAAACGGUGUUUAUUAACGGAAAGGGGGUUAUAAGUCAUUUUUGAAACGUUGAGAGGUUUUUUGUCCCUUUUCCUAAACGUUGGGGGGUUGAAUGUCCUUUUUCCUACAUAUAAUGACAAUUUUUGAAUGCUGUCAAGAGGGCACCGAAUACGAAAGCAUUUUUAUCUUAUUAUCAUUUUCUUCUUAGUAAAUGAUAAUUAAGGAAAAUAGUAAUGACAGAGAGUACUGAUCUGGUCCAAGAUUUUGAAUCUUAUUAAAGUUUGAGAUAAUUAUUAAGUUAUAAGAUCAAAUAAUAAAACAGCAUUACACUCUUAAACAUAAGUUUUCACAAGUACGCAGUAGAUGGUGAGAUAAUGUGUAAUUAAUAGUGUAAUUAAGUAAUGAUGCUUCUUGAUGAGCCAUCAUCAAAUGGGUGAUUUUGACAAAAGUUAUAGAAUUUAUGUAUUUCAGUAUUCUAUAACUUUAUAAUCGUUGUAUAAAUUUGUAUUGACUCUGAUUCUCAUAUAUCAAGGUAGAAGAAUUACUUAAUGUAUUUCAAUAUUCUAUAACUUUAUAAUCGUUGUAUGUAUUUGUACUGACUCUGAUUCUCAUAUAUCAAGGUGGAAGAAUUACUUAAUGUAUUUCAAUAAUCUAUAACUUUAUACUCGUUGUAUGUAUUUGUACUGACUCUGAUUCUCAUAUAUCAAGGUAGAAGAAUUUCAAAAUUGGGAUGAGUUCUCUUUGGACUCUCUGUUUGGUUGUCUGAAGCCAGUCGUCUUUAGUGAAAGGACUGUAAUUAUUCAGGAGGGAGAUCCAAUUAAUGUGAUGACUUUUGUGUUGCAAGGCAAGACUUGGGCCUACUCCAAGAAAUUGUCAAUCACUAGACAGAGACAUCAGGACGAUUGUGAUGUUCGCCGAAAAGAACUCAUAGACUGGGCCAAGAAUGAAAACUCGUACCAGCAGCUCCCUAUAUCAGACAGAACCGUUCGAGCACUUACCGACGUUGAAGCCUUUACUCUUAAGGCUGAUGACGUGAAAUGUGCAUUACUUUUCGGUCCUGUUUCCAAAGAGGCAGCAACUCUCAUACAAUCAGUCUGGCGUUUCAAGAAGCGCAAACAUGCUAAUGACAAGAAUGCAAAGCCAAGAUCAUGCAUGGACCGCUGUUUCAGGACACAGGACAAAGUUGUACUGAAUUAAAUUAACUAUUUGGGAUUGGACUUGGAAGUAUUUAUUACACUACUAUAUCUGUUAUUUAUGUUUUGUGUUUCUGUUUAGGUACCAGAAAUAAAGUACUUCUGUUGAGUGACAAAGUAGACUAUAAUUAUCUGGUACAUGGUUUUCGAUGAAAAUAGUGUAAAUAGCAAUAGAUCACAACCCAUAGAGCACAGUCUAGGGAAGGAACAGAUGCACAAUUCCAGUCAAGUGAAUAAUCACAGGAUAUUUUCAUCCGCUUUUAAUAAAUAUAAAAAUGAAAACUAAACGGAGAAUAUUCUUAAACACAAGUACUGUGAUUGUGAUUAUCAAUAUUAAGCAAUCAACCUCGUACAAUCAUCAACCAGUGAUAAUGUAACAUAUGUGAAUUAAAAAUGAAUAAGUAUGAGGCGGUUAAGAAGUUAGUAAAAGCAAAAGAAUAAGCUGGUGACAGAGGAAACAUAUGCACGUGUAACAGAGAGUGAGAGAGAAGCUGCCAAACCGACCCAACUACAGACCCGAAAACCCGACCCGGGACCCGACACCUUGACCCGGCCAUAUCUCCCAUUUCUGGCCACCGUUUCGGCCGAGCUUGAUACCAAUCUGAAGCUUAGAAGCUGACCGCGUUCCUUGCCAUCCUCGCCGCCGAAAACCAACCGGAACGCCGGCGAUCGAAGCUUGAAAACCCGCGACUGUUUCGCUUUGCUCCGCCGGGAUUUUCGCCGGUUUUGGGUGACACCACCGGCUGUAUUUUGUUCCUCACGACUCCCUCUUCCAUUUCCGACCAUCCAUAGCCACCGGGUGUCACUGUUUUUCCGCCGGUCAAUUGUUGGAAUUCACGGCUGUCGAGCUAGAUUCCGGCGCCGUUGCCGCGCGUUGGAACUCACCGCCGGUACCAUUGAACUCAGCGUGAUUGGAACUUUCAUAUUUGAGCUUCCCGGCCAGCGUUGACCAAAUUCCGGUGACCGUUGACCGGCGAGGGCAUUUCGGUAAUUUCACACUAUAAGGGCAAUUUUGUAAUUUCUGAGCCUGUGGAUAUUUUAGUAAUUCCUGGAAUUGAGGAGUGGGUGUAAUUAUGAUUCCGAGGGUAAUUCGAUGAUUUACGAUUUCGAAGUAUUUUAAUGAUUUACGGACUCGAGGGUAUUUUAGUAAUUUUACCGACACGGGAGUUGUAAAUUAUGGAUAGAUGUUCGUUUCGAGUUUAUUGCAUAAAUUUAGUCGUAAUUCCGAUUUAUAAAAAAAUAAUUAUGUCAUUUCCUUGAUUUAGGAGGAUUCACGAGCGAGAACCGAUCGCGGACGUGGACGAUAACCGAGCGUGAACACCAUCACUGUGAGUGGAAUAUAGAAAACCUAUUUUCCUACUUAAUUAUGAUAUUAAAGCAUGUUUGUGAAAUAAGUAUUUUAAAUGUUCUGAUUUAAUGAUUUCCUCGAAAUGGAUUUUAUACACGCAUUGAUAUUAUAUUAAAAUGUUUUAUUAAUGAUUUUGCGUAUCGACUUUGAAUAAGCAUGAUAGUAUUUUAAAGAUGAAAAAAGUGGAUUCAAAUGUGGUAUGAUUUAAAGUAUGGUUAAAAUGUAUGUGAAUAUUAGUAUAAUGAUUAUUUUUGAAAUCAUUAGACAGUACCCUUACCCUCCAGAUACAAUGAUACAGAUGAGAUGAGAUAUAGGCUUUUGGGGCCGUCUGAACACACAUAGAGGUUUUGGGCCAUGUGUUUGGGCGCUUUUGCCUUUUGGGGGUAUAUACAUGCGGUAUGAUGAUUACAGAGAUACAUAUAUGAGAUAUAGACAUAUAUUGAGAUACAGAUGAUACGAAUGAGAUACAGGUCUUUGGGGCCCGACUGAGUACACACAGAGGCUUUGGGCCGUGUGCGUGGGCGCUUUUGUCCUUUGGGGACUAGAUUAUGCAUGCAUAGAUAUGAUGAGAUAUGAGAUGGUAUUUCCCUGUCUAUCCGUGUAGCUCCGGGGCGUGCGGUACCCAGAUAAUACGUCAUUGCCCAUCCGUUGAGGUCCAGAUAUGACGAGAUUAUUUUCCUGGAUACUUGUUUGGUGAUGAUUUUCAAAUUUGUGUAUUCUAUUUGAUAUUGUGAUAUGAUUUCUAUGGUUAUUGGGUACGAUAUUAUAUAUGUUUUUCAUGGUUAGUAAUAUGAUUUAAAUGUUAAAUGAUUUAUUACUGGUUUCUCGCAUAUGGUUUGAUAAAAUCGUGUUUGGAAAUGAUAUGAUUAUUUCUUUUAAAGUAAGAAUUAAUUUUCAAAAAUUACUAUCCAAUCACUGAUCUCACUGAGUUUUAAACUCACCCUGUUUUUAUUAUAUUUUUCUCCCCACGAGGAGGUUGCAGGUACACUAGACUGACUCAGCGACUGUAAAUAUAUUUUGAGUCUCGGCCACGUGAUGGUGUUAGAAGAUAAAAAUGUUUUUGUUAGGACAUCUUGGUUAUCUCGUUCUUUUGGGAUUGUAUAAUUUUGUUAUAUUAUUCUUUUGGGAUUAAGAAUAAAUUGAGAUAUUAUUAUUAGUUAUAAUAUUAUUUUUUAAGACUCUGGAGAUAUCUUGAGUAAAAUUCAGCAUUUUGGUUGAGGAUAUUGAUAAUUGGAAUUGUUGUAUAUUGAAUUAUAUUGAGAGUGUUAUAUUCAUAUUUGUAGAUUGGGAGUGUUAUAUUUAUAAAGGAGAUUCUGUCGAAUUUUCAGCAGAAUUCUUACUAAUAGAAUUAUUAUCAAGUCCGUUUUGAUGAGACUACAUUGACUCGCCCAGGGGGUUUCGGAGUGGGUCGUUUCAGAUAAACUAUUCAUGCCAGUAACAUGACCAUCUUAUUAAUUUCAGUCCACUGCAAAGUGCAAAAAAAUUACUCACAUCCUCUUCGACUAAAAUUGAAGUUUAUUCCUGGCUCCCUUCAACAAAUUUUCUUUUCUAGUACUCUACCAUUCACAUUCAUCCCAUAAAAGAUCAAUUUAUUAGAAGACGAUAUUCCUCCAUCAAAUUGAAAGAGAAAUUGAAAAUAUCAAAAAGGGAACAGCAAGAUGAUUCUAGUAUCAUGAUAAUAAAUAUAUCUAUAUCUAUCUAUCUAUAUACAUAUCUAUUGGUUUUUGUUUUGUAAAUGGAACAUCAUUUCUUCACUUCGUAAACUAAUGUUGAUAAAACUUUCAGGAAGACAACAACAUGAAACCGAGCCGAGGUGCACAAAAAUGAUGAAGAAAUAUUUCAGCUUCAUCGAUUGUCUCGAAUAAAAACAUCAAUGAUGUGUUAAACAUUUAACUCAGAAAUAGAUUGCUUGCCUUAAAGGUGUGCCCAAAUUAUAAACUUCAGUUUCGACUAUUGACCUUGGUUCGUGACGCGAUAAACUAAUCCGUGGCAUUUCACAUACCCAACAAUCUUGUAAGAAUUGGUUGAACUCUCAAAUCCCAUUCCAUAACAUGCAAAACUCCCUGAUAUUGCCAAUGGCGGUGAUAGGAUUCGUUUAAAGAGUUCCCCUUGUUGCCACGUACCUUUAAAGAACAAUAAACUAUUACCAGUGUUCUCGACACGGUCCCAUCACUCUAAAAAUCGAACGCAUGUGAGCAAAACAAAGGCAGUCAAUUAUGUCACUCCAGUAUUCAGAGACAGAUCGCCGACCCAUAAGUGAUUUAGUGGGCAAUCUAAGAAAGAUGUCGUAGAUGAUACAAUCAGAAAUUUCUUCCUCCAUCAGUUUUUUACAAGUUUUAACAUCCAUCUCAGAUUUUGUUCAAUUAAGAACUUAAUCAGUUCCUGCAUGUAAAAGUUGUUUUGAGUGUCAUAAAACCUGUAGCGAAUUGUGAAGAGAGCUCACUGUGCUGAGUUAAAACAAGAAAGGAAGCCAACAGUCAAGAUUCUUCAGCAAUGCCACGUCAGUGCUGAGUCAGCUGAUUCUGUUAAGGAUUGUUGAAAGCUCACGUGACUAUUAGUUAGUUAAUUAGCUUUUAGUUAGUGAUGCAGGAUUCUGAUUGGUUGAUUAAUUGCAAUGCUUAUUUGAUCAAUUGUAGCUUGGAAAUAAACUGUAUAUAAACAGAGUCUGUAACGAUUGCUUCUAUGAAAAAAUAAAAAAAAUAUUCCAGAGAGUUUAUCUAUUUUCUCAGUAACCAAACAAGCAUUUAGCUUAAUUUGCUAUUAUUUUACAUGGUAUCAGAGCCACAAUAUGGCAAGCUCAAGCAAUCCAAACGGAAAUUCAAACACAAUCACUGCAAAUCAAUCAAUACAAACCACAUUCUCCUUCAUAUCACCAAUCAAGUUAGAUCGAUCUAACAACAUGCUCUGGCGAAAUCAAGUUCUAGCCUCUAUAAGAGGAAACAGACUUGAAGGUUACAUUAAUGGAGAGAAGGUUGCUCCCAAUCAGUUUAUCACAACUGGAGGAUAUGCUGGAGCAGCAGGUAGUUCUACUCAACAGAAUGAAAAUCCAGAAUAUACAGUCUGGAGAUCACAAGAUCAGACAUUACUAAGCUGGCUGUUGAGCUCAGUCACUGAAGGUAUUCUCAGCCUUGUUCAUUCUUGCAAUACUUCAUAUGAUAUAUGGAAAACAUUGGAGAAAAAGUUUGGUGCAAAAUCUGAAGCAAGAGUACUUCAACUUAGAUAUGAAUGAGUGUUUUAAGAAAAGAUUCACUGAAUAUAGAAGAUUAUUGUUUGAAGAUGAAACAAAUAGCAGAUAAACUAGCAUGUGCUGGUAAUCCAGUUUCAGAUAAAGAUUUGCUGCAACAAAUUCUAAAUGGUCUUGGACAAGGAUAUCUUGAUUUAGCUACAUUCAUAACAGCAAGUAAACUUGAUUAUGAUGAUGCAUAUGCACUACUACUUACUCAUGAAACAAGACUUGAACAGAGUAUGAAUGAAAAACAGAUGUUCAAUGCAAAUUUUGCCAAUUUUACUUCUAAUAACAGUGGAUAUGGUAUGAUGAAUGCCUUUUAUGCACAAGCAAGAGGCAAUGCUCGAAGAGGUGGAUAUAAUGGAGGUUUUCACAGUGGAAAUCAAGGUGGAAGAAAUAAUUUUCAUACUGGAAGGGGAAUGUUUGUUAACUCUCAUCCAAGAGGUUUUCCCUCUGGAACUGGAAAUUUUGGUAACAGUCAUGGUAGAGGUCAGAUGAUUGGUAAUAAUAAACAGAUGCAAUUUAUGAGAGGUCAAUACAGUGGUAACUCUGGUAUGCCAAACUCUGAUGGUAAUGAUGAGCAAAGUGUUGUAUGUCAAAUUUGUUUUAAAUCUGGGCAUACAGCAACAGAAUGUUGGCAUAGAUUUGAAGAGAAUUAUGUACCACAAUACAUGAAGAAAGGAAGAAAUUAGAGAUCAGCUUAUAUGGCAUAUUAUGAUGCACCAACUGAAAAUUCAUGGUCAACUGCUUGUUCAGGAAUGCCUCAAAUGCACAAUCCAUCAUUCACCCCAUACAUGUCUGAUUCAGUGAACUUGUCAGGAGCUGGAGCUGGAGCUGCCUAUGUUGCUAAUUUUGAAGGUCCAGCAGAUGAAGGAUGGUAUCUUGACAGUGGGGCUACACAUCAUUUGACAAACAACAUGGCAAACAUGCAUGUCAGAGAUGAAUUCAAUGGUAAUGACAAGCUGAUUAUUGGCAAUGGUAAAGGUCUGUCAAUCACACACAUUGGUAGCACUACUUUUUCAGUUCAAGGUUUUAAGUCACAAGCUGCACGUAAAUGCAUUACACUUAAAGAUAUACUGCUUGUUCCUUCUAUCACAAAGAAUUUAAUAAGUAUUUCUAAACUUACUGCUGAUAAUAACCUAUCUAUUGAAUUCUUUGGAUCUAUCUGUUAUGUGAAGGAUUCACUGAAGGGGAAGGUUCUGCUACAGGGUAUUGCUGAGAAAGGUCUAUACAAAUUGCUGAUCAAAUCAUCUUCAAAAUCAUCACUACAACCUACAUACACCUCUUUUCUUUCUCAAAGCUUAAUAAAUCAACAUUUGUCUAUGUUGUCUCUCUGUCAUUUCAGUUCUGCAACUGAUAAUACUUGUUUUGCAAAUUGUUUUCAUUCAAAUAAAAACUCUUGUACUGAUUCAUCAUCAAAUAAAAUGUCUCUAUUUCACAGAAGAUUUGGUCAUCCCAAUGCUCAAAGUUUCAUUCACUUACUUAAACUUAUGCAUCCUAACUUGUUAUCUACAAAUAUGCUUAAUUAAGUAACAAAGCAUUUUUGUAAAGCAUGUCAGCUGGGCAAAUUUCAUAGACUUCAUUUUCCCAUAACUGAUAUUAAGUCUAAAUCAGCACUAGAACUAAUUCAUACUGAUCUAUGGGGCCCUUCACCAAUAUGUUCUAGAGAAGGUUAUAGAUAUUAUAUUAGUUUUGUGGAUGAUCACACUAGAUACACCUGGAUAUACCUUCUGAAAUUAAAAUCAGAAGCUCUAGAAGUGUUCAAAUUGUUUAAACUUCAAGUUGAAAAUCAGUUUCAAACCACCAUCAAAGUUCUACAAUCUGACUGGGGGGGGGGGGGGAGAGUAUAGACCAUUCACUAUUUUUCUAAAUGAAUGUGGUAUUCUUUUCAGACACUCUUGUCCCUACACACAUCAUCAAAAUGACCUUGUUGAAAGGAAACACAGACGGAUUGUAGAAUUAGGCUUGACACUUCUAGCACAAGCUAAACUUACAUUCCAGUUUUGGUGGGAUGCUUUUCAUACCUCAGUUUAUCAUAUUAACAGACUUCCUACCUCUGCCCUUAAGAUGUCUAUUCCAUAUGAAAAAUUAUACAGACAUAAAGCUGAUUACAACAUGCUGAAAUGCUUUGGUUGUGCUUAUUAUCCAUACUUGAGAGAUUACAAUAAGCAUAAAUUUGAUUAUCAUACAACCAAGUGCAUCUUUCUUGGUUAUAGUCCUUUUCAUAAAGGUUUCAAGUGCUUUCAUCCCUCUGGUCGAGUGUAUAUUGCUAGACAUGUCAAUUUUGAUGAAACUUCAUAUCCAUUCUUUUCAGAUCCUGAUUUUCAUUCUUUGAAUAAAUCUCAGUCCAACUCUUAUGAUUCCAUUACACCUAUACAAGUAUUUCAAUUGUCUACCUUACCUGUCAUAUCAGAUUUUUUGAAUAACAGCAGUGAGUCUCUUUCUCAAGCAUAUACCAGUGGUGAUAACUUUCCUUCAGCAGUAGAUUCAACACAAGUACAUGUCUCAGAUCAAUAACUCUCAAACACAAACAAUGUCUCAGAUCAACAACCAAUUUUACCUGCACCUACAACAUUACCUUCUCCAGAUGAAAUUCCACAAACUCAACAUAUUCUAAACUCACCAUCUCUAAACCACCAUCCCAUGAUUACUAGAGGAAAGGCAGGUAUCUUUAAGCCAAAGCUAUAUACUGUAGCUUUGUUGCACAAAGAACCAGAAACUAUUCAGGAGGCUCUCAAUAAUGAAAGGUGGUUUCAGGCAAUGAAAGCUGAAUAUAAUGCAUUGAUAUCAAAUGGCACUUGGACAUUGGUACCAAGAACAGAAAAUCAUAAGCUUGUUGGCAACAAAUGGGUUUUCAGAAUUAAAACCAAUACUGAUGGAAGUGUUGAGAAAUAUAAGGCAAGAUUGGUUGCUAAAGGAUUUCAGCAGAUUGUGGGUGUUAACUACUUCGAGACUUUCAGUCCAGUGGUAAAAUCAGCAACAGUUAGAGUGAUCUUAAGUUUGGCAGUGAUGAACCAGUGGCAAAUACGACAAGUUGAUGUGAAUAAUGCAUUCUUAAAUGGAGAUCUAACUGAAGAAGUUUAUAUGAGACAGCCAGAAGGAUUUAUUGAUCCACAAAGAUCAGACUUUGUAUGUAAACUGCACAAAGCUCUUUAUGGCCUGAAACAGGCUCCUCGUGCUUGGUUUGACAAACUGAAAAGUAGUCAUAUACAAUGGGGAUUCAAGAAUUCUAAGUCUGACACAUCUCUAUUCUUGAGAAGAACCAAGAGCUCAAUCAUUAUAAUUCUGAUAUAUAAAGAUGAUAUAUUGAUUACAGGAUCAGAUUGUGUUGAGUUGGAAGAGUUUAUUAAGUUGUUCAGCUCCACAUUUGCAUUAAAGGAUCUGGGGAGACUAUCUUACUUUCUGGGUAUAGAAGUAUUAUAUGUUCAUGAUAGUAUAUACCUGUCACAAAAGAAGUAUAUCCGAGACUUGCUUGCAAAAGUUGACAUGCUUGAAUGCAAGGGAACAGACACACCAAUGAGUAGCAGUAAAGAUUACAGAUUGCAGAAGAGUGUUGAGGGAGAAAUGGGCUACUAUAUUGAAGAUCCCACUCAUUACAGAAGCAUAGGUGGAGGACUGCAGUAGUUGGUUUUAACUAGACCUGAGAUAGCUUAUUCUGUUCACAAACUAAGUCAGUAUGUGUCUUCACCAACUCUUCAACAUCUUAUGGCAUGUAAACGAGUGCUGAGAUAUUUGAAGGAAACACAAGAAUAUGGUCUGAGGUUUGUUAGAGAAGGUGACAUGAAGCUUAUAGCAUUUACAGAUGCUGAUUGGGGAAGUGAUCUUAAUGACAGAAGAUCAGUUGGUGCUUAUUGUGUAUACUUGGGAAACAAUUUAAUCUCAUGGUCCUCAAAGAAACAAUCAGUGGUUACCAAGUCAUCAGCUGAAAGUGAAUACAGGGCUCUUGCUGCAGCUAUUUCUGAAAUAACAUGGCUAAAGUCAUUGUUCCUUGAAAUUGGUUUAUGUUGUGAUGAAAAACCAAUCAUAUGGUGUGACAAUGUGAGUGCUGCUGAACUUGCUCGCAAUCCAGUAUUUCACUCAAGAACAAAACACAUAGAAAUUGAUCUACACUUUAUCAGAGACAAGGUUUUGGCUGGGGACUUGAAGAUACUAUAUGUUCCUAGUGCAGAGCAAAUAGCUGACAUAUUAACUAAGCCACUGAACUCUUCUCAAUUCAAUUACCUAAGGCUCAAACUCAAUGUGGAGCUAUGUCCCUUGAGUUUGAGGGGGGCUGUGAAGAGAGCUCACUGUGCUGAGUUAAAACAAGAAAGGAAGCCAACAGUCAAGAUUCUUCAGCAAUGCCACGUCAGUGCUGAAAAAUAUUUGAGAUGCUUGAAUAUGGUGAAAAUAGUAAUUUUUUUUAUUACCUUUACAAUUCUUGAAUUUUACAAAUAUAUAAAGAUGUUCAAGAUGCUGUACAAGGAAAGACAAUAUUUACAAUAAUUAUAAUAAUCAACUAGCCGUUGUGAUGAAUCCACCAUGACAUGUGCUGCUAUAUUUUCCAUCAAUUAUGGCUUAGACGAGAUGUUGGAAAUCCUCUUGCCAUGGCGGUACAAGCUACCAUAUUUGGAAUUGCUAGUGACUUGUCCUUAUCAGCCCCCCUCAAGCUAGGCAGUGACAUGCGAUGAACGCCUAGCUUGGUUCGUAGCGUGAGAAAUUGAUGCUUCCCCAAAGGUUUUGUAAGAGUGUCUGCAAUCUGAAGAUGAGAAGGCACAUAUCGUGUAAAUAAUGACCCUUUAGCAACCUUCUCACGAACAAAAUGCACGUCAAGCUCAAUAUGUUUCAUUCUAGCAUGAAACACUAGGUUCUUAGUCAUAUGAAUUGCACUCAAAUUGUCACAGAGAAGUGUGGGUGCUUUCGGAAUACAGAACCCAAUGUCAUUAAGUAGAUAUGUGAGCCAUGUUAACUCGGCAGCGGCAGAGGCCAUGGACCUAUAUUCGGCUUCGGCACUUGAGCGAGAGACUGUGUGUUGUUUCUUGGAGCUCCAAGAGAUACAAUUGCUUCCAAGAUAAAUGCAAAAUCCUGUUGUACUUCGUCUUGUUAUCGGACAUCCAGCCCAAUCGGAAUCGGAAAAGGCAUAGAGCUUGAGAGAGCUUUGAGACAAAAAUCUAAGGCCAAAGUCAAGGGUACCUUUAAGGUAACGAAGGAUCCUUUUCACGUCCUUGAGGUUGGCUUUUGUUGGCGCUUGGAAGUGUUGAGAGACUCGAUUGACAGCAAAUGUGAUAUCGGGCCUUGUGUAGGUGAGAUAUUGAAGGCUUCCAACAAGGCCUCUAUAUUCGGUCGCAUCCACAGGUUCAUUAUCAUCCGAACACGGUAUUGAUCGUAUAGCCAUCGGCGUGUUGAUAGGAGAACAAUCCUGCAUUCUUGCCUUGGAAAGAAGGUCUUUAGUGUACUUCGCUUGAGAUAGGAAGAUGCCAUGCGUGAAUUGUUGAACUUCAAUGCCUAGGAAGUAAUGUAGGUUGCCAAGAUCUUUUAAAGCAAACUUUGAGCUCAGAUUGUUGAUGAUUGAUUGAAUUUCCUUCUCAUUAUUUCCUGUAAUGAUCACAUCAUCAACAUAAAUUAAUAUAAGUAUAAGAAUGGAUUUGUUAUUAAAUAUAAAUAAAGAGCUAUCAGCUUUGCUACUGGAAAAUCCAAGAGAAAUUAAGGCUUGAGAAAGACACUCGAACCACGCUCUAGGUGCCUGUUUCAGGCCAUAGAGCGAUUUUUGAAGCUUGCAAACAUAUGUUGGAUGACAUGAAUUGCGAAACCCAGGAGGCUGCUCCAUGUAGACAAUCUCCUUUAAUAGUCCAUGAAGAAAAGCAUUGCGAACAUCCAGCUGCUUGAUAAGCCAUUUUGAGCUCACAGCAAUUGCAAGGAUAAGGCGAAUAGUUGUGGCCUUUAUAACGGGACUGAAGGUUUCAUCGAAGUCGACUCCUGGAACCUGUGUGAAUCCCUUGGCAACUAAUCGAGCUUUAUAGCGAUCAAUGGUUCCAUCUUCUCUGUAUUUGAUACGAUAUACCCACUUCGAUCCGAUGACAUUAACAUUGUUAGGCCGCGGCACAAGGACCCAUGUCUGAUUUUGAUGCAAUGCUUGAAGCUCUUCUUCCAUAGCUUGAGUCCAAAGCGGAUUCUUUAAGGCAGUUUUGAGUGUUUUGGGUUCAAUUUCUCUACUGUGGCUGGCUUGAAGGGCUAAUUUAGGAUUUUGUUUGAGUUUAUUGCGUGUCAUCAUGGGAUGAGUAUUUAGGCUUUGCGGUUCUGCAGCUGUGUUUGGUAUCUUAAGUUCCAUAAAUAAGCGAUUGGAUAUGUCAGGAUAAUCUGGUUGUGAAUUUGUGGCAGGGCUGUUGUCCGUAUUUAUGGACAAAUUAGGUGGUUCAGUUGCAUGUGAACUACUAGAAUUUGAAUCAUUUGUUGUCAAAGGUUGCAUUGCAUGUGGAGACUCCAAAAUAUUUGGAAUUGCUUCUGACUUGUCGUGUGGAGUUGCUGAAUUCAAAUUGUCCUCUAAAUUGUCUUGUGGGAAAUCUGAAAUAAUUGGAGAAGUGGCAUUUGAGUUGUUGUCCAAGUUUACGUCCUUGUGGGGCAUGAAUUGCACAUGUGGUGUUGAUAUUGUAGCGCCUUUACAAUUGUUUACUUUGACAGCACGUGAAUCAUUAAGAUUCUCACAAUUGGGAGAAUUCUUUGGGAGCCACUCAUCUUGUUGAGGGAAGGUGGUCAAUGUACUAUGUUCCUGCACAUUAAAAAAUGAUGUUAAUUUUUUGAAUGGUAAAUAAUUUUCAUCAAAUACAACAUGCCUUGAUAUAUAUACACGAUUAGUCUCAGGUUGUAGACAACGAUAUCCUUUAUGGAGGGGACUAUAGCCUAUGAAAACACAUGGAUAUGAUUUUUUAUCAAAUUUUGUUUUACUGUAAUCCCGAAGAUAAGGAAAACAUCUACAACCUAGGACUUUUAACCCUCUAUAGUCCGGUAAUUUUUUGAAAAGAAUUUCAUAAGGGCUUUUAUUUUUUAAAGGUGAAAGAGGCAGCCUGUUAAUGAUAUAAGUGGCUGCAAGAAAAGAAUCCACCCAUAAUUUGAGUGGCAAAGAAGCAUGAAACAUCAUCGUCAAGGCUGUCUCAUUGAUGUGCCUAUGCUUUCUGUCAGCAACACCAUUUUGCUCCGGAGUGUAUGGACAAGAAAUUUAUCUUGUGAUGCCGCAAUUUUCAAGAUGUUUGAUGAAGGCCGUAGAAUUAAAUUCCCCUCCUCCAUCGCUUUGAAAUAUUGUGAUCUUUUUGUCCAAUUGCUUUUCAACUUGUUUCUGAAAUUUCAAGAAGCACUCCAAGAAAUCAGAUUUUUGUUUUAAGGGAUAUAACCAACUAAAACGUGAGUAAUCAUCUACAAAUAAUACAUAGUAACGAAAAUGUUGAGUAGAAGUAAUGGGAGCUGGACCCCAUAUAUCACAAUGCACUUUUUGUAAAGGAAAAUCUGCUUUAUUAUUAGAUAAAUUAAAAGAUUUCCUACAACUCUUGCCUAAUUGGCAAGAAACACAAAUACGGGGUUCUUUAGACCAACUAGAAAAGUCAAUAAAAUUAUUGCGUUUUAAGGCCUCCGAGAUUUUAGGAUUGGCAUGGCCAAGCCUCUUGUGCCAUAAACUAAAACCGCUAGAUUCUCCUUGAAUUGCGUUGAAGGCAGCAUGAAAGUCUCCUUCCAAUGUGUAUAGCUUCCCUUGCUUACUCCCCUUUGCCAGAACCUUGUUUUCCUUGCUCUUCACAAUAAAACCAUCAGUGUUAAAUUCAAAAACACAUUUAAUAUCAUCAAUGAGUUGUCCAACUGAUAAGAGAUUCUUUUUGAGUUUUGGAACAACUAAAAUAUUAUUUAAGUGUAAAGAACCAUGAUUUGUAUUUAAAGAAGCAGAACCAAUAUGUGAAAUAUUUAAAUCUUGACCAUUGCCGACAAUUAUUUUGUCAUUACCUCUAUACGGCCUUACAUGAUCAAGAUUACCUGUGUUAUUUGUCAUGUGUGAUGUUGCUCCAGAGUCCACAUAGAACUGUUGAUCAUUAUUUUCUUGAAGAUUCAUCGCAGCUAGGGCCUGUGGAUCCUCUUCAUUGUCAUAGUCGUAUCUGUACCAACAUUCAGCAGCACUAUGUUUGCGUUUGUGACAGAUUUGGCAAAUAACUUCUUCAUCUGAGGUAUUAUUUUCUUUAUUUGGUUUUUGAGGCUGCUGUUGUGGUUUACGGUUGUUGCCAUUGUUGUAGUUGUUGGGGGUAAUUUCUACCACCUGAGUUGCGUUGAGAUCCUUUGCCUCGGUAUGGAGGUCUUCCACCUCUUUGAUUUCUGCCUCUUCCACGUUGACCAAAGAAGGCUUGGUUUUGAUUUGUGCCAAGUCUAGCUUCUUCAUCUUUUUCUACGAUCACAGUAUGUUCAUGGUUUUGGAGAGCAUUGAUGAAUUGUUUAAGGCUGGGAUAUGGAGGUUUAGUGAGCAUUGCAGUUUUGAAGUCAGCAUAUUUGGGACCUAAGGCUCUUGCAAUUUGAAAAAUCUUGUCAUCAUCGUUCAUUGGUUUUCCAAUGGCUGCCAACUUGUCGCAAAGGCCCUUGAAUUUCUUAAGAAAUUCAUCAAGCUUGGAAGAUCCUUUCUUUAGAGAAUAAAGGCAAUCUUUUAGCCAUGUUUCUUGCUCCUUAGUUGCAGGCAGCAUGUUUUCUUCAACGGUGAGCCAGAUUUCUCGAGCCGUUUGCACGCCGAUAACCAUGCUCAACACGUCUUCGUUCAUCAUACUUCUGAGCCAAGUUGUGAGAAGUCCAUUAUUUUUCCACAUGAGAAAAUCUGGAUUGUUUAUCUCCUUCCCAUCUUGCUCUAUCAUCUUCGGUGGAGUCUUAACAUCAACUAUAUGGUGAUUUAGCCCAAGGGUAAAUAUAAGUGGUUGAACUUGAGAACUCCAAAUAAGAUAAUUUUCAGUGUUGAGUUUUAUUGGAACCAAACUCGAACACUGAUGGAAAGAUUGAAGGGAUAGGGAUGGUUCUGAAUUUGAACUUGAAGCCAUUAGGCUCUGAUACCAUGAAAAAUAUUUGAGAUGCUUGAAUAUGGUGAAAAUAGUAAUUGUUUUUAUUACCUUUACAAUUCUUGAAUUUUACAAAUAUAUAAAGACGUUCAAGAUGCUGUACAAGGAAAGACAAUAUUUACAAUAAUUAUAAUAAUCAACUAGCCGUUGUGAUGAAUCCACCAUGACAUGUGCUGCUAUAUUUUCCAUCAAUUAUGGCUUAGACGAGAUGUUGGAAAUCCUCUUGCCAUGGCGGUACAAGCUACCAUAUUUGGAAUUGCUAGUGACUUGUCCUUAUCAAGUGCUGAGUCAGCUGAUUCUGUUAAGGAUUGUUGAAAGCUCACGUGACUAUUAGUUAGUUAAUUAGCUUUUAGUUAGUGAUGCAGGAUUCUGAUUGGUUGAUUAAUUGCAAUGCUUAUUUGAUCAAUUGUAGCUUGGAAAUAAACUGUAUAAAACAGAGUCUGUAACAAUUGCUUCUAUGAAAAAAAUAAAAAAAUAAAAAAAAUAUUCCAGAGAGUUCAUCUAUUUUCUCAGUAACCAAACAAGCAUUUAGCUUAAUUUGCUAUUAUUUUACACGAAUCUACAUUUUCUGGGAGGAAUUUGAAUAUAAAAAUUAAUAGGAAGCUAAUAAAAAUAUGCAGUUUUUAUUCGAACAAAAUUAAUAUGAAUCAAGAAACAGAGCAUAACAGGGUAGUUGCAACUAAUAACACACAAAUUAACUCGUAAAAGUGACCUAACAAGCAUCAAAAUCUAAGGAUUAAAGCACCAAUCAGAUAUUGUGAACAAAACUUUUGUUUUAUAAUCAUGGAAAUUUGAGAUUACAUCAGCUAUAUGAUCAAUGAAAGAUAAGAAGCUUAUGGAGUAAAAACAACAGAAAUUAAAAUGAGUUUAUGUCAUGCACCGCUGCCAUGCACCGCUUGGAGAAAAAAAAAAAAAAGAAGGGAAGCCAAACGUGGCAAUCUUCAAAAGCAACAGCCAGCUGCAUGUUUUAUCAUUUCAGCUGCCUGCUUCACCUAUUUUCUUCAUUAAUUUAGUCACCAAUCGGCUUAAUCAAUUACCUUGUCAUCUUGCUCAACUCGGUGGCUAUAUAAAGCACAAAUGUUGAGAGUGCUUUCAUUUUAUACAUCUAAAGAAUUGAGAGCAAAACCGAGAGAAGAAAAGAAGUAAAACCGAGAGAAAAGAGAAGAGAAAAGAGAAGGAAAAAAAAGAAAAAGAAACGAAGAAAAGAAAUAGAAAGAAGCUGAGUGUGGGAGAUGAAGUGGAAUUAAGAGGAAAUAUUACGGAAAUUAAAACUGGACAUUUAGAUUUAUAUUAAGUGAGUUAAUGGGUAAUAGAUUUAUGAAAUCUAAGUAGUUACGAUUUAAUUUACGUUAUACGUACAAGUUUUUAUAUUUGUUCUAACUAUUAAUCUUUGAAUCCCGUAUUCUAGGAGAAAUCCACGAGUCCAGAGACUCACAACAGCCCCAACGAACCUCAUAGUGAAACAAGAUCUGUGAGUGGAUAUUAUUAUUACUAUUAUGUGUUCCGUGAAGCAUUUAUGUUUGAUAUUAUGAUUUUAUAUCAUGCUAUGAUUACAUGUACACAUAUUAUAUGUUUGAUUGAGUUAUGAGAUGUGAUUGCUAGUCACCAUAUAUGUACCCUUCCCCAUAGGCUAUGCGCAUGCGUAUUGAGAGUUAUGUUACUCUACCCAUGCGAGAUAGUUUAAUUACGCUGGGUAUUGAGAGGAUUUUCCCCCGCUCUACUCAUGCAAUGAGGAUCCUGGCGAGUAUUGAGAGUUAUUUUUCCUGGGUACUCUUUGGUGCAGUUUUGUGAUGUAUGUAUGUAUGAAUUACAUGUCUGCUAAUGUAUGAUGUUCAGUGUGGAGUUAAAUCACAUAAUUAUGCAUGAGCACCAGUACACUACUUUAUUAUUAUAUUUAUUAUUUUUAAUAUGUAAUUACAUCCACUCACUGAGCCGCAAGCUCACUAUUUUUCUAUUUACCCACUUCCUCCCAGGUUUCUGCAGGAUUUCGUGCAGACCAAUUUCUAGUCAGUUGAGGUUGGGCCACGAGACACAUUGCUGAAUAACUUGCAUUUUGAGCACGUUUAUGUUGCUUAUGUUUAUAUAUGUGUAAUUUUUGUGUGAGUGUGUAUAGUGAGACAUGAACUAUGCAAGUUUUGAAUGUAUAUUUUCGGAUGAGACACAAAGUUUGUUAUAUGUUUAUAUCAGACCACGAGUUUUAGUUAUUAGUCCACAUGAUUCGCCUCAGAUCCGACAUAUAAGUCGGGGCGGGUCGUGUCAGUUUAUGUAGCAUUGACAGGCCUGUAUGGUGUCGCCAGUGCGGUGACGCCAUUGGCGUCAGUGCGAGUGAAUUUUGGGAGACCUCCGGCUCCGGUUCCAUUGACUUUGCAUUAAAUUUGGUAAUUAUAUUUUUUAAUAUAAAGUGUUAAAAUAUUCCAUCUAGCGGAAAAUAGAAAACAAAUUGCGAAUGAAAUUAGAAUCCAAAUUUCAUUGCUAUCAUUUGAUAUAGAGGCAUUUCAAGUAAACUUUGGUCAUUUUUCAUUACCCAUGAGAGUGAGAACAGAGAACUCGAGUUAUCAUAUUGAAAAAUGCUAAAGAGAGUUGACAGAAUUUAAAUGCUUACAAAACAAUAAUUAAUUAAUCGGUGUUAGUUUAUCGUGUUUGCAGCUAUAUUUUAUUGGAAACCUUAAAAAAGAAAUGGAAUCUUUCAGUUCAUAAUGUAUUAUUAUAUUUAUUCCACUCUUGUUUAUGACAAUUUGCAUCUGAGCCAGCUGGAAUGCUAUAGACUGAAAAAAUUAACAAUGUUUUCUGAGGAUGACUGACCAAGUCAAAGUCUUUGAGGCGCACAAUUAAUCUAACCGGGGCGAGCAGAAAUUACUGUAUUUAUAAAAUUUUGAUUCACUAGUUUCAAGUGAAAGAAAUAUUAAAAUAUAUAUCAUUCGCCUAAGAUGAGGGAGCCUCUAACGAUUAUUAAAUCAUUUUAAGCAUUUAUGUAUGACUAUUACAUUUAAUUAAUUGUAUUGCAUAAUUUGCAUAGGCUCCUCCACUUUGAGGCAGUUACUUGGGUUCAAAUUUGCAGUUGCAGAGCACCAAAGUUUGCUUUUUCGAUCUACUUGGAUUUUUCUUUGUUGAUCAUGUAAGUUAUACAUACAGCACUGCAAAAUGCCUCUACAAUAUUGCCAGUUUUCGUAUAACAUGUCCUUAGGAGGACUCUGUGUACAUAAAUAUGUUGUUCGGUUAAUGUCGGUCUCGUUUAAUUGUAAUUCACUGUAGAUCCAAAAUUGUAAACUAUUGUUUCUUUAGCCUGAACUUGUGAACCAACUGAUUUGAUCAUCAGGUCUCAAGACUUGGAAGCAGAGGAAGAUCUUAAAAGAAGGCUUCUGCACGGAGAAGGUAGGCCCAGUGAUGGAAAAAACUCAUCAGUUGUGUCCGUAACCGGAAGAUCCGGAACGCAAGCAGUAAAGACAAGUUUUCUUCAGCUGGAAAAGAUGAGAAAUUAUGCAGCAAAUUACAGAAUCGAUUUACCAUGGUAUGUGAUUUCAAUAUUAUGGGAUCCUUUGUACUUCUACACUCUGGUGAUCAAUGAUGAAAAGCAGUGCAUUGAAAUGGACUUUUCUUUGGCUUCCUUGGUGAUUGAACUCCGCUUCUACUUUGAUUUGGCCAAGUUGAUCCACAGUUCGUUUGUGAUUUGUGUUGAAUAUUUUGAAAAUAGAAAGAUAAGCGUGUGGCUGAUGUUCGCAUGGCUCAUUGACUUUGUGUCCAGUAUAAUAUUUACCCAGGUGCGUAAUAGAUCUGAAUUUAAUUUAUUUAGUUGUCUAAUAUUUCAAUAUCAUUUAUUUGAUUACCACUACUUCAAAUUCAUAAAACAACAUCCAGAUGGUGGUGGGAAUAACGGACAUUCUGUACUCGAGGAAUUUCUUUCUGUUUCAAUAUUUGCUGAAGGUUAUUCGAACCUACCACCUGCUUACAGAAGCAACAGGGUUUCAGGGAUAUUUGGUGAAUCUAGAUGGGCCAUUGUUGCGUUCAAUGUUCUUCUUUACAUGCACGGCAGUUACGUAAGUCAAAAGUACUAUCAUUUAUGUAAGUCAAUUUAUAAUAAAACCCUUCUCAGGCAAAAAGAAAAAUUAUAAUAGAACCAGUACAUAUCUGUGUUCACAUUCAUGCAUCCUGCUUUCUUCCUUCCUAAUUUUGAUAAAUGAAUUCUUUUAGUCCUUAAGAUUCGAGUUAAUUAUUCAGUUACUACUGUCGCAUAUAUUGUCAGACAGAAGUAAUGACAGAGACAUUUUUGUGUAAUUCUUAAAAAUAUGGAGAUUAACUGAAUAAUUAACCCAAGCACUCGUGAAUGAAGGGAAAUUGACACUCGAAGCUUUUCUACUUUCUCAACCGCGCAUGUUUCUAAUCGAGUGGUCCUUUAGGUAUUUGGUGCCUUGUGGUACUUUUUUGCCAUAAACAAAGCGACCGCAUGCUGGAUGGAUACCUGCAUGAAGAAUACUGGUUGCUGGGGCGUCUUAAACAUUGAUGCCUAUUGUGAGGGCCGUUCAGGAGACUAUAAGUUUCUAAACGAUGUUUGAUCUGUAAAGACGGGAAACUCAACAAACAAUUUUUAUGGCUUAUAUGGUGAUGCUUUUCAGUUAGGAAUUGUGGGGUUGACCGAUGUUCCAAUGAAAAUCUUGCAUUGUUUACUAUGGGGACUGCAAAAUCUCAGGUUUGUGCCUUCCAUUGUCGUUACUGUGUGAUGUGAGGUCAGCCGUUAAUAACUUCGAAAAUUGUGAGUUCAUUGAAUUGCUUUUUGCAGUGCUUUUGGUCAGAGCCUCCAACCAAGUAACGAUUUCUGGGAAAUUAUCUUCGCAAUUUGCAUGACCAACUAUGGCAUCGUUCUGUUUGUCUUCUUAAUUGGAAAGAUGCAGGUUCACAUAUAUAAAUUCUAUAUCGUAAUUGUUAUGACAUAUGAUGAUAUAAUAAAUUAUCAUGUGUUAAUUAAUGACCGGCAUCUUACCAUCUCGCUGUUACAUAAAGAAAUAUUUUAGGGCUGUGAGAAUGCCAUGUCAAUUAGAAUUAAUACAAAUUUUGUAUCCCAAUUCCUUAUAAAAUUAGCGUUACUCAUAAUUUUCUGUUUACGUCUAUAGAUUUGAAGAUUGAUGCACAAUUCAAUUAUUGACUCUGUUUCAUUUGAAAUAUCGGAUACAUAAAUAUAUAUGCAGUCUGACACAGAAAGAUCACAAAAGAUCAAACAGAUGUGGGAGGAGAUAAAGCAAUGGCAGCACUUUAAGGAUAUAUCUAAUAAAGUUCAAGAUCAAAUAAGGAAAGACAAGCGCAACAACUGGGAAGAAACCAAAGGAGUUGACAUAGAUAAUUUGGUGAAUAAUCUCCCUAAGGACACUGGAAAAAAAAUAAAACGCGAUCUCGGCCGAAAGCUGCUCAAGAAUGUGAGUUCUCAUCAUCCCUCUUUAUAAUUAUAAUAAUUGAUCACUUUUCUAUCCUGCCCGCUCUGAAGUUCAAAUGUUUCAAUGUUUCAAUCAUUUUCAUUCUUAACCUGAUCGGGCGAGCCAAAUUAAUCCUUCGUUACAUUAAAAUUACAGAUUCGUCUUAUUUUUUUCCCUCUUUGAUUGGUACUCCUUCUGAAUCCAAGCAUCGAACCUAAGUCAUACCUCAUUGAAUUUCAUGGGCUUAACUAACACAUGGUCAAAAGCUAGCUAGUUCGUAGUCAGGUUGAGAUUUGCCUCAAGGUUAAAUACUUUAUUCAUGAUUUACUCUUAGCUGACAUGCAAUGUUUUACAUACACAGAGAGAUAGAGAUAGUCAUUCUCAAAUGCACGCCCUCAUUUUUUUUAAUAUGAAUACUCUGUUAACAGAGUUAAUUUUCAAUAAAUUGUAAACCCAUAAUAUUAAAAAUUGACUUUAUUAAAUUGCAUAGUUUAAAUAUGUGUCCGUAAGAAAAAAAAAAAAAAGAAAGCACCCGCACUUAAGAAUUAUUAAUAUAUAAUAUGGACGCCCUCAUUUUUUUAACAAAGACUCUGCCUGUAUAGUCGUGAUUACUCUGUUUUCUGGAUGGGGCACUGUUUUAUUUCAAGGAGUGGGUGUUUUAAGCAAUCCUUGGAGUACUGUCAGAAUUUUUGUAGUUUGUCUCAGAGCUAAGUAGCUUUGUUUUUUGGGCUUUCCAGCAUUUGCAGCAAAAUUAUCCUUGGCCCAGCAGUCCAGUACUCCUCCACUCACAGCUUGCAUAUUGGCUGGCUGUUUCUUCUCCUUUAUUAUCAUUUUUAUUUGCCUCGACCUUACUUAGGUUUGAUCUAUAUUGAUAAUCUUGCUAAGGAUAUGAUAUGACUAGGUGUGGUUUAAGUAUAAGUGAAUAAGACAGUCACCUAAGACCCUAUUGUGAGAAGGCCUCAUUUUUUGAGUAUUUAAUCAAUAAUUCUUUAACUAAUAAAUAUUUUUUUAAAUUACGUAUUAUAGAAAAGUCUAUUAGACAUCUUUUUAAUUAAUAAUUAUCACAUAAUUAAGAUUUAUUUAUUUUAAUAGAAAAUCUAUAUUUGGUAACCUUAUUGUUAAAGAGAUAUAAUUAAUAAUAUUGUCUAACCAUUAAUUCAUUUAUUAUUAGUUUUGCAAGAAAAAUAAAUAAAUUCUUUUCCUUUUUAGUUUCUAAAAAAAAAAACUUAAUUAUUUAAUGUUAGAAUCUUUGACUUUGAGUAUUCCUUUUAAUUUCUAUUAAAAACCUUAUAAUCUAAAAAAUUAUAGAUGAAAAAGUUUCUGGCUCUCUUCUCUACAAAGAAAAUUAUUGUAUGCGUUAGUUCAUUUAAAAAGAAAAAAUAAGUUUCCUGAAAUAGAAUGUUCAUAUCCAUUAUGUGAUCUUUAAUUCACCAUCUCAAUCGUCUAUAUACUAUUCUAAAUAUUCUAUUUGAAAAUAAUAUUGUUCUUAUUUACUUGUUUGUUAAAUUCUAAUGGAAGUAAACUUUUACGUUCUAUUUUUGAAAUAAUUUAGGAUGUUCUUGAUUAUUGUUGAAAUUUAAAAACUAAAGAUGAAAUGGUUUUGAGCUCUUUUAUUAUUAUUAUUUUUUCAGUAUUGAAGUUGCUAAAUAAAAAGAGACCUCUUAAAAAUGUUCACCUAAGGCCUUAGAUAUUCUAAAGCCAGCCUUGGUUCUGAUCCACUUGAGAAUGAUUAAUAUAUAAUAUGGACGCCCUCAUUUUUUUAAUAAGAAUAUGCUCUUAAACCGUGCAGUUUAAGAGAGUUAAAAACUAUAUGCUCUUAAACUGUGCAGUUUAAGAGAGUUAAAAUCUAACUCUCUUAAACCUCAUGAUUUAAAAGCGUUUUUGUAUGAAAAAAAUGAGUGCGCUCACACUAGAGAAGAACUCUUGGGUGUGUGUGUGUAUAACUUUUUAUAAAUGUAUUUUUAAGGUCACAUGACGAGGUGGGCUUUCAUUCUUAUAGCUAAUCUUUGUUAUCUCGAUUUACCCAUGUAAUGGUUGGAUAUAUUUAUACUCUAAUUCUCAUUCUUGGAUAUGUGUAAAUAUAUAUGAAGGUAAAAGAGUUUCAAAAUUGGAGCGAAACAUCAUUAGAGGAACUAUGUGAUUGUCUGAAGCCAGUGUUCUUUAUUGAACGUACUCGAAUAAUUCGAGUAGGUGAUCCAAUUGAUGAGAUGCUCUUCGUGUUGAAUGGCAAGCUUUGGACUUACUCAUAUGACUUCAUGAAUGUAACAACAACUGCCUCUAUGUUGAUCCAUCGUCGUAGCCGGGAGAAUCUUCUAGAAGAUGGUGAUUUUUGCGGACAAGAACUUAUAGCUUGGUCUCAAAAUGAAAGCUCAUCACCCCACCUCCCUAUCUCAACCAGAACCAUUCAGGCGCUUACUAACGUUGAAGCUUUUACUCUUAUGGCCGACGACUUGAAACGUGUAUCAUUACUUCGACAUUUUGAUCGGGCAGCUCUUUUGUUACAAUCACGCUGGCGUUUCAAAAGGUUGUUGCGUGCUAGAAGGAAUCCAGAGAAACGAUCACGCCUGGAAUCACUAAUGUAUAAAUUUAUAUAGAGAUACAUAUAUACGUUUGUUGCAGCAUUAUAAUUAGUCCCGAUUAUGUAAAAGCAAGUACAGAAAGCCAUUUAAAUAUGGGAAACCAAGUAAAACGUAAAAAGGAUUAAAUAAAUGACACCAAUCCCCGGCAACGGCGCCAAAAUUUGAUGGUUGUCGAAGCCAACAAAAAUAAAUUCCUACUCUAAAUAAAUUGUGUAUAGUAAUUGAGCAGGGUCGUGUCCACAGAGAUCGGUAAUUAUUUAAAUCCUUUUGAAACGUAAAACGUAAAAUGGGGGAAUUGUUGACAAUAAUAAAAAUCAAAUUAAAAAUAACAAGAAUGCAAAUUAAAGUUGUAAUUCAAAUUGGAGAAAGCUCUGGUUGAAGGAAUUAACUCAGCUUGAUUCGACUACUGAUCAUUGAUUCAAAUAUAGAUUAUUAUUACUUAUGAAUAGACCGGUUAUAGCUAUUGAGACCCUCUAAUAGCCAAUCUCUCCUUAACUAGUCGAUAACCAAGGUACGACCGUUGGAUAUUUCCCUAAUCAAUAGACAACCCUAGAUACGAUCAUAGGAUUUAAUCAAUUGACAGCCUGAAAAACUAAAGAGACCCAAAUCCUAAUCAACACAUAUGAUAAUUCAUUUAAAUUAGAUUGUUUAUUCUCACAACACAACUCUCUGCUAUGUUAUUUGUCACAAACAUUAAAUUCUUCAUACGAUGAAUCCUUUAAUUGACAAUAGAUUAAGUUGAUAAUUAAAUAGUGGCCAAUUACCUAAUUAACAAACAUUAUCAUGAAACUAAUUCAGAGAAUAAACAAAUACCCAAAAAGUAAUAAAACAAUUAAAGCAUAAGAAAGAUCUCACAGUAGUGAUGAAUCAAAGCUUCAUUAACCUUCAACCAGAAAAAUAAGUUUAGUUCUUCAUAGAGAGAAGAGAAAAAUUAGAUCUAGGGUUUCUUUCUUUUUCUCCAAUCAAAAUCCCCCUUUUUCACAAUAGAUUCCUCCCUUAAAUACUUUCUCUCUCUUCUCUUUUAGAGUUCUAUUUAAAAUAAAAUACUAAUAUUUGAAAUAUUAAAUUCGUAAUUAAAAAAAUAGCCAAAAAUACAAAACACGUUAAACUAAAAACUACAGGUCCGCAGUUGACAGCACGCGCCCACGCCUUAUCAAAAAAGUUCUUCUGCCGCUCAUAAUUUCUCCAAGAGAACAAUCAUCCUUAAACAUCAUCUUAUAGCUCAAUUUUAUCACCAAUCAAUAGAAUUGCACAGGUCCGCAGUUGACAGCACGCGCCCACGCCUUAUCAAAAAAGUUCUUCUGCCGCUCAUAAUUUCUCCAAGAGAACAAUCAUCCUUAAACAUCAUCUUAUAGCUCAAUUUUAUCACCAAUCAAUAGAAUUGCACCUACAAUAGUAAAACACAAGUAAAUCAUCAUUAUUAAGUGCAAAACAUCGAUAUUAAGGGAAGUAAAUAAUGCAAAACUAGUGCAUAAAUUGCACUCUAACAAAUUCCCCCACACCAAGAUGAUGCUUGUCCUCAAGCAUAUAACUCAAGACUAAUCCAAAAUCUCCACUCAAUUCUCAUCUCAGCUCAUCCAAAAAUAAUUUUAAGCAAGCAUACCUCAAGAAAUUAAGUCGAUUAACAUUCGAGAGACAAAGAUUUUAAAGCAUAGAAUCUCAUAAGAUAGAAUAAGAACAUUCAACCACCAAGAAGAUCCAUUCAAAAUUCAAGUGCAACAAGAUUUAAUAGCCCUCUCAAUGACUUCACUCCAUGCACUCAAAGUGUUUAGGGUAUCAUUUAUGCACUCAAAUCAAAUCAAAGAAUGCUAUUACCAUAAGCUUGCUCAUAUAUCACAUCUCAAUCCACAAAACAUGAAUAAAAUGCAAAAAUCUAAGGGUCUUAAAAGGGUUGUAAUGGGGUUAAAUAGGUUAAAUGAAAAAGAAAGGUCUAUGAAAGAAAAAGAGAUCAAAAUGAGAAGAAUGAACUCAUUGAACGAACUUUAUGAUAUCGAAACGCUUAUUUCUACUCAAGUCACCAAGAAUGUAAACAUUUUUUUUUCUUCUUUUUCUCUUUUUUUUUUUGAUUUUUCUUUUUCUUUUUUUUUUCUUUUUCCUUUUUUUUUAUUUUUUUUUUUUGUUUUUUGUUUUUUGUUUUUGAAUCAAACAAAAGAAACGAACCUUGCACAAUUUAAUUCAAGCAUAAUGCUUGUUGAUCUAAUUGAGAAACUUUAAUACAAGGUAGAAAAAGCAACAAAAUAUAUCCACACAAUGAGUCCAAAAAUCUCCUUAAAUUGAGGCUCAAAAAGAAGAAAAAUGGUUAAGUAGACGGAGAGAAUUAGAUGGGUAAUGGUUAAGUAGACGGAGAGAAUUAGAUGGGUAAUGGUUAAGGCUCAAACAAAGGUAGCAAAUAAAGGUCUUCGGGUAGAGAAAAAGGAAAAUGCGAGAAUAGAAAAAUGGUAAAUGGUUUGCCUUUAUCAUUUUAAUGCAUAAAAUCCCGUAAUGUGGCUUCAACAUGCAUAACAAAGCAAGUUCUAGAAUAAACAAACUAGGAUUGAUAUUCACAUAACAAAAAUAAUUAGAGCAAAGUGGUUGCUCAUAGGCUCAAAUCCUCACAAAGUUGGUAAAUUUGCCAUCAAAUCAUGUACACUCUUCAAAUGAAUCAACCAUCAAUAGUGGUGUAGAAUGAGAAGAAGGUAUGAGUGAGAUAUAAAAGGAAAGGUAAAAAGGAUAAUAAGGGAGAAAGAUGUAUGUAUUAAAAAAAUGAAAGAUAAAAUGUGAGUGAUGAAAGAGUAUGAUAGAGAAAAAAAAAUAGAUGUAAAUAAUUUGAGAUAGAUGGGAAAAGAGUAGUGAGAGAGAAAGGAAAAGAAAAUUAAUAAUAUAUGAAGCAUACUAACUCCAAAAUCAUUUAAGGAUGAGUAGAGUGAAAAUAGAUGAGCAGAGUGAAAAUAAUAAUUCCAGACAUCAAUAAUGCAAAAAUCCCUCCCCCACACCAAGAACUUACAUUGUCCCCAAUGUAAGAUAAUCAAAACUCACAUAAAAAUUAAAUCGUAAGGAUAAAAGAUUAAAGGCAAAAACUUCCCUGAAUUGUGAGCUUUGAUCCUCAUAACGUCUAUGGGCUUGGCGGAAAUGGUGAGAUAGUUGCGCACAGGCUGCUCGGUGAAGGCUAGAGCGGCUGUUGCUGCCAAAAAAAUGUUUUUUUUUUUUUUUUUUUUUUUUUUUUUUUAGUGAUGAAUCACUUGAGACACUAAAACUUUCAGAAGUACUUUUCUAAUAAGCACGUAGGCACGCCUUAAAACCAUUUUACUUUAAAAAUCACAGAAGUACUUAUUAGUUAAGACGUGGGCACGCCUUAUCAAAAAUUUUCUUCUGACCAAAAUAAGCAAACACAUUAUUUAAAAAAAUAUGAAUCAAAAUUAAAAGAAGAUAUAACAAAAACCAAAAUAAAUAAAUCAUUUGGGUUGCCUCCCAAAAAGCGCCUUUGUUUUAUGUCUUUGGCUAGACACAUUUAUGCAUCAAUCUCCAUAAUUGGGACUCUCGAGAGCCACAUCCUCCACAAUAUUCACCAAAAAACCUUCAUAAAAAGGUUUUAAGCGAUGACCAUUAACCUUAAAAACUUUGUCAGAGGUCGGACUCCGAAUCUCAACUGCACCAUGAGGAAAAACAUUAGUAACAAUAAAAGGUCCAACCCAGCAAGAACGUAAUUUACCCGGAAAAAGUUUAAGCUUAGAAUGAAAAAGAAGAACUUUUUGACCAACAGAGAACUCAUUUCUCAAAAUCAUUCUAUCAUGACAUGUCUUCGUUUUUUCCUUGUAAAUAACUUCCUGCACUAUAGGGUUAAUAACAUCCACAGAAAAUACCGAAUGUUCCUCACUAGGAUAUUUCAUGGCAUCAUUCAUAUUGAAUUCUAUAACCUCUCCAUCAAACUCCAUAGUAAGAGUCUCUUUAUGUACAUCCAUUUUAGUCCUAGCAGUCUUAAGAAAAGGUCUUCCUAGCAAAAUUGGGACAGAAUUAGAGAAGUUAUCCUCUUCCAUAUCAAGUACAUAAAAAUCAGCAGGAAAAACCAACUCAUUAACUUGUACUAGGACAUCUUCUAAUACCCCAUCAGGAUAUGCAUUAGACCUAUCAGCUAGUUGAAUUAUCACGCCAGUUUCUUUUAAUGGACCAACAUUCAAAGAUGAAUAAAUGGAACGAGGCAUGACAUUAAUAGAAGCUCCUAGAUCUAACAUAGCCUUUUCAACUUUGACAUUACCAAUUUUGCAAGGGAUAGUAAACAUACCUGGAUCCUUGCACUUAGGAGGUAGUUUCUUUUGGAGAACUGCUGAAACAUUCUCCCCCAUAUGAACCUUUUCAUCUCCUCUUAAUUUUCUCUUAGAGGUGCAAGGUGGUGACUUUUUUGGAGAAGAACUUAUUGGUUGGGCUGAGAGUGAGCACUCUUCCAAUUUGCCUAGCUCAACCAGAACUAUUCAAGCGCUUAGUGAGGUUGAAGCCUUUGUUCUUAUGGCAGAUGACUUGAAACAUGUAUUCUUACUUAGACAUUGUGACCGGGCAGCUCUUUUGUUACAAUCACGCUGGCGUUUCAGAAAGCUUUUGCGUGAUAGGAGGGCUAAGCAAAAAUCAAUCUUGAGAAGAAUGCGGAAUUGCGCAGCAGUACUACAGACUAUAGAAUAACAAUUUGAGACUGGAUUUGAAAUUAUUAUUUGUAUGAAUACUACCAAAAUGAAAAUAGGUGGUAAAAGCUGAAAAAUUAAGGGGAAAAUUGUCGAUCUCCCUUGUUCGAUUAUGCAGUCAACAAGAUCAGAAACAGUAAUCGCCAAGUUCGAUUUGGAAAUCUUAUCCAACCAAUGGUACCUUUUUCUUUUUUCUUUUUUUCCCUGAAUCAAGGACUUCACGCUUCGUUGAUGGGGAUACCAUUCCUAAAAUUAAAAGAUAUUGACCAUUACUAUCUCAAACAACAAUUAAUUAUACAUUGCCAGCACGCAAAAAUGAGCGACAAACUUCUUCAUUAACUAAUCUAUUUGAACAACUGCAUUUCUAAGCAUAUAUAUGAUCAUUUCAGAUGAAAAUAGUUUAAAGUGGUUAUAGAAGAACCGGUAGAUCACAGUUGAGAGAGUGAAGCAGAUCAUCAGGGGGCAAUCUUAAGUGUGUCACGCGGGUAGAGUGAUGUUUUGCGAAUGUUGUUGAGAUCGCAGAAAAGCAUCACCACACUCUUCAAUCCCACUUCACAUCCACUAUGUCUCGAAAGGAAUCCAAUGAUAACAUAAAGCUAACAGUUUUUAGAGGACCACACUGUUUUUCUAUUUGCGUACAAAUGGACAGUGGUUUCAGAAUAACCUUAGCAUUGUCAAGUUUAACCAGAGAGCAUGGAAACCAAAGCUAGAUCAAAAUUCAAAACCACUAUGGAGGAUGUGCAUGGAUUAAUGUAAAAUACUAUAUUCAAUUUGAACGAUAAACACAGUACAAAUAAAAAUUAUUAGAUUCCAUCUUCUAUUCUAUAAUUUUUAAUUCUUGCACUUCUUUUUCUGGGAAUCAGAUUUUUCUGAUACAGAACGUGAACCAACAAAAGCCAAAUUUUAUGAUAUUUGAUAAAAGCAACUUCCAAAAUAUACCAUAACCAUACCCAAUUAUUUUUUGUAUAAUAAUAUUUAAGCUUUUAUAGACACAGAUCGAGCUGUUAUGCUCUCAGCAUAAUAGGCUUGCGGCACUUGAUCAAACGAGAAAAAUCAGGGUAACAAUACCUGAAAUAUUCAAAGAUAUUUUCUUUACAUCAAUGCCACCUGCCUGUGCACGCUCCACCAAGAACCCGGUGUUGUGCGCGGAAUGCGGAAUCAAGCGCACCAAAAAUUACUGAAAAAUAAAGGACACAAGAAUUUACGUGGUUCGGUAAUUAAACCUACAUCCACGGAGGCAAGAAAGAAUAAUUGUUUAUUUAACAAUUAAUAGAAUACAAUAUUUGAGUAACGAAUCUCACUUCCCAGAAACCCAAAUAUACCCAGUACUCUCACACUCUGCAGGAAAGAUAAAUUCCCCAGACACACUUCUCUCACUUCUCUCAAAAGUUUAGAAACUUAUAAGCUUAACAAUUUUGGGAUGAUUUCAAAUGAAUGAAAUCCUAAGCUAUUUAUAGGAAAAAUGUUGGCACUAUGCAAAGAAUAAAAUAAUUGAAAAUAUAAUAAAUAAUUAUUAUUAUUUUCAAUACAUCCCCUUUUUCCAUUCUUUCUUUUCGGCUAACAAAAACCAAAUUGGAUUUUGCUUCUCCAAAGCCUUCAUGCUAACAAUUGCAAAGUUGGCAUUUGCUUCUGACUUUUCAACAAUUCUCCACCUCGGCGAAAAUUUAUCCAAAUAUGAGCCGAUUGACAAUGAUCCGCCAAACUUCAUCCCUCACAUGAUCCUCAAAAGGAUCCACAUUGGCUGCAUCUAUCCGACUGCCUACGUACCCAAAAUUUGGGAUCAAGCCAACCGUAGUUCAAAACAUCCCCCACAUGAUCCUCAAAAGGAUCCACAUUGGCUGCAUCUAUCCGACUGCCUACGUACCCAAAAUUUGGGAUCAAGCCAACCGUAGUUCAUAAUUCCCGAAGGACAUAUCUUAACACAAUCGAAGGAUUUGAAUUAAUUUCAAGCAAUGUUGAAACUUAACUCCAAAAACUACCUUCGUCAACAUAUCUGAUGGAUUAUCUUUGGUAUCGAUCUUUCUCAACAACACAACACCGCUCUCGAUAAUCUCUCUCACAUAAUGAUAUUUCACAUCUAUGUGCUUCGUCCGAGCGUGAUAUAUUUGAUUCUUCGCAAGGAAUAUCGCACUUUGAUUAUCACAGAAGACCGCAAUGUUCUCCUGGAUUACUCCCAAAUCACCUAACAAGCCUUUCAACCAGAUAGCUUCCUUUACAGCUUCAGUUGCUGCCAUGUACUCUGCUUCCGUAGUGGACAGAGCAAUUGUCGAUUGCAAAAUUGACCUCCAGCUAACCGGACCUCCACCCAAUGUGAAUACGUAGCCCGUUGUUGAUCUUCGCUUGUCAAGGUCUCCAGCGAAAUCAGAAUCACAAUACCCAACACAUUGUUGACCACAAUCCUUCUUGAACAAUAACCCAACAUCAACUGUCCCAUACAGAUAUCGGAAAAUCCACUUUACCGCAAGCCAUUGAUUUUUACCCGGAUUGUGCAUGUAUCUACUAACCAUGCUCACUGCUUGAGAUAUAUCGGGCCUUGUGCAUACCAUAGCAUACAUAAGACUACCCACAGCACUAGCAUAUGGAACACGAGCCAUGUAAUCGCGCUCCUCUUGAGAUCUAGGACAUGAAGAAGAGCUUAAUUUGAAAUGAGGAGCUAGAGGUGUACAUACCGGCUUAGUUUUGUUAUCCAUACCGAAUCUUUCUAGCACUUUCUUCAAAUAAGACUUUUGAGUCAACCAUACGCUCCCAUUCUUCUUGUCUCUAUGAAUCUCCAUCCCAAGUAUUCUUUGUGCAUCACCCAAGUCUUUCAUCUCGAACUCAGAAGUCAGCUGCUUCUUUAAUCUUUCGAUCUCAUCUCUAUUCUUCGAAGCUAUAAGCAUAUCGUCGACAUAGAGUAACAAAUAGAUGAAAGCUCCAUCUGGUAGUCUUCUAAAGUAAACACAAUGAUCGUGUUCACUUCUGGUGAAUUUCUGCCCUUGUAUAAAUUGAUCAAAUCUUUUGUACCACUGCCUUGGCGAUUGCUUCAGUCCGUACAAAGAUUUAAUCAACCUACACACAUGAUUCUCCUUUUCAGUAACUCUGAAACCACAAGGCUGAAUCAUAUAGAUUUCCUCCUCCAAAUCUCCAUGUAAGAACGCCGUCUUAACAUCCAACUGAGCCAACUCUAACUCAUAUUCUGCAACUAAGGCAAGUAGGAUACGAAUGGAAGUAUGUUUUACAACUGGAGAGAAAACUUCAUUGUAGUCAAUACUUUCCUUUUGAGCAAAACCUUUUGCCACGAGCCUUGCCUUGUAUCGAGGAGUUGUUUGAUUUGGAGAUCCUUGCUUUUUUGUGUAGACCCAUUUAUUGCCAAUAGCCCUUUUCCCCUUUGGUAAAUUUACAAGUUCCCAAGUCUGGUUUUGAUGGAGAGAUUUCAUCUCUUCCUCCAUGGCUAGCUUCCACUGAUCACUUUCAUUGCUGCGUAAUGCUUCACCGAAAGUAUUGGGGAUGUCAUCAUCAAUAACUGGAAGUGCAUAGGCUACCACCAUAUAUUUAGUAAGCCAUCCGGGUUUCUUUAUCUCUCUUAUUGGCCUCCUUGUUGCUAUAAAAUCAUCAUCAUCUACAUCAUCAAUUGUUUCUUCAUUUUGUGGGACGUCAGAAGAAACAACCUUUUCUUCAACUUUAGGUGUCACCUCCAUAGUUGAACCAUUCUUUGAUGUAGAACUAACUGGUACAUAUGGAGUUGCAUCAAACUCCACCCGCUGCAAUACCUCUGUGGUCUUGUUCUCCACCUGCUGAGAACUUGAAGCUUUUAUCAUUGAAGCUUCAUCAAAUGUGACAUCUCUGCUACACACAAACUUUUUGUCUUCGAGAUCCCAAAGCUUGAAGCCCUUUACUCCACCUUUGAAUCCCACAAAGAUAGAUUUUCUAGCACGAGGAUCCAGUUUACCAUCUUUGACAUGAUAAUAAGCUGGACACCCGAAUACACGAAGGGAAUCAUAGUCUUGUGCAUGCUUUCCAGACCACAUUUCCAUAGGAGUUUUACCUCCAAUUGCAGCAGAAAGCAACCGAUUUACCAAGUGACUUGCGUAGCUCACAGUUUCAGCCCAAAACUUUUUAUCUAAACCAGCAUUAGAUAACAUACAUCGUACCUUCUCCAGUAAAGUACGAUUCAUACGCUCAGCCACACCGUUCUGUUGCGGAGUAUGUCUCACCGUGAAAUGUCUUUUAAUACCCUCGUUCUGGCAUACUUGCAAGAAUGGAUCAGAAGUAUAUUCACCCCCAUUAUUAGAUCGUAAUACUUUGAUCUUUCUGCCAGUUUGAGUCUCCACCAAUUUCUUCCACUUCACGAAAAUCUCUAGAACCUCAUCCUUUGCUCGCAUGGUGUACACCCAUACACGUCUAGAGAAAUCAUCAACAAAUAUAACAAAAUAAUGGCUUCCACCAAUUGAUGCAGUCUUGGUUGGUCCCCAUACAUCACUAUGAACAUAUUCAAGGAUCUCACGAGUAUCGUGAUUAGCUGUACCAAACUUGACCCUUGUUUUCUUGCCUACUACACAAUGCUCACAGAAAUUUAAUUUACAGGUUUUGGUACCUUUUAAGAGUCCAUGCCUCAUCAGAGUUUGCAAAGACUUCUCUCCUGCAUGUCCCAGUCGUACAUGCCAUAGCUUGGUGGUGUCACUGUGCGCCUCAACAACAUUUGCUUCAUCAGUUGUACCUCCCUUCAAAUAGUACAGAUUGUGACGCCGAACCUCUUGCAGAAUCACCAUAGCCCCAUGUGUAAACUUCAUUAUACCAUCUUCAAUGGUAACCUUGUAACCUUUAGCUUCCAAAACACCCACAGAAAUUAGAUUUUUCUUUAAAGCUGGAACAAAUCUAACCUCUUUGAGUUCUCUGACCAUUCCAUCAAACAUUUUGAGCCGAAUUAUUCAUAUCCCCAUUGUGCGACAAGGUUGAUCAUUCCCCAUCACAACUGCACCGGAUUCCAGAUUACGAAAAUCCGUAAACCAUUCCUUAAUAGGACACAAAUGAUAGGUUGCUCCAGUAUCAAGUAUCCACUCGCUCGAACUAGCCACGUAUGCUGCAGGAGUAAUACUUAGUGAAUAAUCAGAGCCCUCAUCUUUCCAUGCCAUGUUUGCUGCUGCUGGUUUCUUCCCAUCUCUCUUUUGAGCCUUUGGACAAUCUUUCCUCCAAUGGCCCUUUUCAUGACAAAAGGCACACUCGUCUCGAGCUAUAUUUCUGCUUCUCGAUUUGGAUCGAGAAUUCUUUCCACCACGCUUUUUCUUUUUCUCCAUCGCCCAAUCUCUGCUCACCAAAGCUUCAGACGAUGCUCGUUCAGAAUUUUUAUUAUUAUUCUGAAUCUCCAAAUUAGUCAAUGCUGUGCAAACAUCUUUGAAGAUGAUCACACUUUUUCCAUAUAUCAAGGUAGUCACAAAAUGGCUAUAUUCCUCUGGUAGUGAGUGUAACAAAAUCAUAGCCUUGACUUCAUCCUUAAUAUCUUCAUCAAGAUUCUUCAAAUCAGCAAGUAACUUUUCAAAUCUUGAAACAUGAUCGUGCAUUGACACCCCAGACUUCAUUCGAAAGCCAUAUACUUGGCUCAUUGCAUGAAGACGAUUUUCAGGACUUUUCACCAGGUACUUCUCUUCCAAUGUACGCCACAAAGUCACUGCACACUCCUCAUCUUUCACCAAGUAUUUCACCUCCUUGGUCAAACAAGAUCUGAUCUGACCACAGGCUUUCUCGUUCAUACGAUCCCAAAUUUCUUCAUCAUACAAGUGUCUUUUAUUUUUCAGGACAACAUCGAGAUCGAUUUGAAUAAGGGCAUCCAUAACUUCGCGCCUCCACAUGCCGAAGUUGAUUUUCCCAUCAAACUUUUCAACAUCGAUCUUCUGGCCUCCUAUAACAGGUGCUGAAUAGCGAUUUGACAAAUCUCGCCUCCCACCUGAAGUGUCUCCUGAAAUAGUCUCGGUAGAUCUCUCCCCAAUUCUGGAAGUUUCACCUUCUACCAUUUUUUCAACGAACUAUUUCCACUUGAAAAACAGCCUCUAUGAUGUUAAUUUCGCGUGAAUAAAUGCACCAGGAAAGUUCCCAGGAAACUGGACGGGAACUCGGUCCCAAUUAAAAACCAGAAUCCUUAGACUCUUAUCGCCUUUGUUGACAGAACUUUCCUAGACAUGCAAAAAUACACACUACUUACAAUAGACUGUCUCCCAAGUACAAAUGGCCGUCUCCACCGUAUUCGUGAACAGUACCGUAUGUGAACACUACCGUAUACGGGAAUAGUACCGUAUACGUGAACAGUACCGUAUCCCCCCAAGUACGAACCGUCGGCUCUGAUACCACUUGUUGUGCGCGGAAUGCGGAAUCAAGCGCACCAAAAAUUACUGAAAAAUAAAGGACACAAGAAUUUACGUGGUUCGGUAAUUAAACCUACAUCCACGGAGGCAAGAAAGAAUAAUUGUUUAUUUAACAAUUAAUAGAAUACAAUAUUUGAGUAACGAAUCUCACUUCCCAGAAACCCAAAUAUACCCAGUACUCUCACACUCUGCAGGAAAGAUAAAUUCCCCAGACACACUUCUCUCACUUCUCUCAAAAGCUUAGAAACUUAUAAGCUUAACAAUUUUGGGAUGAUUUCAAAUGAAUGAAAUCCUAAGCUAUUUAUAGGAAAAAUGUUGGCACUAUGCAAAGAAUAAAAUAAUUGAAAAUAUAAUAAAUAAUAAUUAUUAUUUUCAAUACAUCCCCUUUUUCCAUUCUUUCUUUUCGGCUAACAAAAACCAAAUUGGAUUUUGCUUCUCCAAAGCCUUCAUGCUAACAGUUGCAAAGUUGGCAUUUGCUUCUGACUUUUCAACACCCUGGCAUAUCAAUACGUUGAGCACCCGAAAUUAUCUCUUCACCUAAAGAGGAGGAAGAGAUGCUCAAAAAUCCGGUCAAAUGAACAAUCACAUGAUAUUUUCAUCCAACAAGUAUGAAUGUUUGCAAUGAAAAGAAAAAUGAAAACCCGACAGAAAAUUCUUCAACACAAGGAUUUUGAAUGUGGUUAUCAUUAUAAUUAAGCAGUCAACCUAAUACAACCUUCAACCAGAGGUGAAUUCAUUUACGCCAGUCACAUGACCACUCCUAUCAACACCACUGCAAAAAAAGCACAUCCUCUUCAUUAAUAAAUGAAGUUUUGUUCCUGCUUUACUUCACCAUUCAUUUUCAUCUCAUAAAAGAGCAAUUUAUUGGAAUGCAACAUACCUCGAUUAAACUGAAAGAGGAUUAAGAUAAUUUAAAAAAUGAAAACUGCGAGACAAUGCGAGUAGUAUCAUGAUAAACUUAACUCCAGACGGACAUCCAUUUUUUAAUCGUAAUUAAUGAAACAAAUGUAGAUCGAGAUUUCCCCAAAACAACACCACAAAUACAAGUAUAUGUGCAUCCAAAAUGAAGAAGAAAUGUUUCAGCUUCAUACAUUACCUCGAAUAAAGACAUCAAAUUAGUUUCUGUAAAGAGCAUUGUCAGGAGGGGGCGCCAAACAGCCCAAGGAUAACGAUGGAGUAUAUAAAAUUCGGCGCCAUACCUGCAAUAGGAAGCAACAAUCAGGCACGUAUUGAUGAUAUACAUAGAAAUUUAGGCUUAAAAAUGAGAAAACACUUGUCAUGAGCUAAGAGCAAUGAGGCUCUUAAUUGUUUCAAAAUUUGAAACUAAUAAUAGAUGUAUGUUAUACAAACAAAUUCAUACUUCAAUACUUGUAACAAAAAUCAAGUCAGUAAAUAUGGAACCUACUUAUCUUCGUUCCAUAGGUUUGGUUGUCUUUUUUUUUUUUAAUUAAUGUUCAGAAUCGAUUAAAAAGUUUUUUAAUUCGAGUUCUUGCUAAUUUCAUUUUUUGAUUCCAUUGUGAAAUUCAAUUUUCUUAUUUAAUUUUAUUCCGAUCCUAUCUACCCAUUCGAAUUUUGGUUGCUUAAUUGUUCAGGAUGUUGGAGUUGAGAAUGAUCCUCUUGAAGACUUGAAUACUGAGGCAGAGAGGAAUUUGAUCCAACUAUUUUCCUACGAUUCUUGGGAACAGUAGAUACUACUUUUAAAGUAUUCAACCUACUAAAUGAUUCCUCCACACUUCUGUUACCCUUAAAAAUCAUCUAAUUAUUUAUUCAUACACUAAUCUAAAUAAUGGCGUGAUAAAUCAGAAACCUUUCUUCAUGAAACAUGAACUGAGGGGAUGAAAGAAAUUAAGUUACCUUGAGCAUUUGAAUCCCUUUUCCGAAUGUAAGACAAAGAGUCUUUGCCUUGUACUGCAACAUUUAGAAAAUGCCACAAUCAGGUUCAAGAAUAGAGAAAAGCUGAGGUGAUAUAUAAUUUUCCAUAUUCCAAAUAUAUCUAAACUAUACAAGAACUUCAAAAAUUAUUAUGAUAAUAGAAUUUUACGAACAAUUCAAAAUAAAUAAUGACCUUCAGAGGUUCAAACGGACACUGAUUCGCCACAUAUUCAACUUCCUUUUUGCACCUCUCAUUCUGUUAGGAAAUUGAGUUUCCUCCCAAGAUCUCUCCAAGCAAUUUAUCAAGCAACAAAUUAAUAAGAAAAAUUAAAUAAAGAAUAUACCAACCACAUAACACAAGAUUUACGUGGAAAACUCCAAAUCCGGAGAAAAACCACGGCCGUUGUCAAAAAGACAACCAGAGAAAAAAUAUUCACUAUGUGGAAAAUUAUUACAACCACACUCUCAAAAAUAAUUUUCUCUCACCUAAGCCCCAAAUACACCCCAAAGAAAUACUCUCUGAAUGAAGAAAAGAAACCGAGGAUUAGAUGCAAAAACCAAAAAAUGGGGAGCUUCCUUUAUAUAGCCAAAAUUGGCUAUUAUUUUAUUAUUUUUACCACCGUCUUCAUUCUUCUAUUUUCUUCUUUCUUCUUUUUCUUCAUUCCAAAUUUGCUGCUGCCAAAUUCUUCUUCUUCUUCUUUGAACAACAUGGAUGCUGACCAUCUAGAUGGCUGCUUCAAACCAUCUAGAUGGCUGGCUGCUUUUGACAUUUCUCCCACUUGGAGAUUUGAUUGAGAAUCAAUCAAUCUCCACACUAACCUUAAUAUUUUCCUCACCAUAGAGAAUUAUCAUACCCCACCAUAAAAGAGUAUACCACUUAGAAUUAAUUACCAAUUCUAAGAAUUUUACAUCGGCUCAUGUCGAAAUAUCCUGCUGAAAUUUAUGGUGCAACUUCCAUGUUGGCCUUCCUGGAAGUUUGUCAGCCAUCGACAUAAAUUCCACCACACACCCUGCAUCAAUGCCAACCAUGCCUUGUGUGUAAAUCUUGUGGACCCGCUAGUAGUAACAUAUCUCCUUUCAUGGUACUAGCGAUAUACCAUGAGGAUGUCAUCAUCAUCCAUUUUACAAGGGAUCAUCGUCUCCCACGAUGAUGAGAGACUUACCACUAGCAAUACUAUCAGUAUCUGAUCUGGAGCCACUUGCCGAUCCUGCUCCAUUUCUACUAUGACAAUCUCUUUUUAAGUGCCCCAAUUGUCCACACCCCCAGCAAACUCCUUUCUUCUUAGAUUUAUCUUUCUGCCAAUUCCCUACAACUGCCAAAGCCGAGACAUCUGUAGUUUUAGUACUUUCACCACCCAGUCUCCUUUCUUCUGAGAGUAAAGUACUAGUAACUUCUUCAAGAUCUAUUGUCUCAUUCCCGUACAUCAAAGUAGGUAACAAGUGUUUGUAGGAAGUUGGAAGUGACCAUAGUAACCUAAGCGCCUUGUCCUCAUCUUCAAUUUUAACUCCAAUGGCUUCUAGUUCUGACACAAUACCAUUGAGAACACUGAGGUGAUCGGAAAUUUUUGUACCUUCAGCCAUUCGCAGUGUGUGAAAUCGCUCCUUCAGGUACAAUCGAUUUGAGAUGCUCUUUGUCUGAUACAACUUUUCUAGCUUCUCCCAAAGUUCUUUCGCUGUAGGAAUUUUUCCUACAUUUGCAAGAACAUUCUUUGCUAGACACAGUCGUAUGGCACUUGCAGCUCUAUCAUCUAAUUCUUCCCAAUCUUCAUCACUUAUACUAGUUUUUCCAGAGCCACUACUGGAAGCAGGGGAUGGCUUCCCCUUCAAUGCCUUGUGUAACCCAGAUUGAAUCAACACAUCUUUGACUUGAACUUGCCACAAGCCAAAGUUAAUUCUCCCAUCGAAUUUUUCUAUUUCAAAUUUCACCGGACUUGAAAAUUUCAAUCCUGACAUAUUUGCUUUGCAGAUAAGCUUUUACUCUUCACCACGGACUGUUUGGAUUGGCUCCCACUGCUUCACGUGAAUAGUACUGUAUACGUGAACAGUACCGUAUACGUGAACAGUACUGUAUACGUGAACAAUGCCCCAACACCAAAACUUCAAUCAAUGGCUCUGAUACCACUGUUAGGAAAUUGAGUUUCCUCCCAAGAUCUCUCCAAGCAAUUUAUCAAGCAACAAAUUAAUAAGAAAAAUUAAAUAAAGAAUAUACCAACCACAUAACACAAGAUUUACGUGGAAAACUCCAAAUCCGGAGAAAAACCACGGCCGUUGUCAAAAAGACAACCAGAGAAAAAAUAUUCACUAUGUGGAAAAUUAUUACAACCACACUCUCAAAAAUAAUUUUCUCUCACCUAAGCCCCAAAUACACCCCAAAGAAAUACUCUCUGAAUGAAGAAAAGAAACCGAGGAUUAGAUGCAAAAACCAAAAAAUGGGGAGCUUCCUUUAUAUAGCCAAAAUUGGCUAUUAUUUUAUUAUUUUUACCACCGUCUUCAUUCUUCUAUUUUCUUCUUUCUUCUUUUUCUUCAUUCCAAAUUUGCUGCUGCCAAAUUCUUCUUCUUCUUCUUUGAACAACAUGGAUGCUGACCAUCUAGAUGGCUGCUUCAAACCAUCUAGAUGGCUGGCUGCUUUUGACAUUUCUCCCACUUGGAGAUUUGAUUGAGAAUCAAUCAAUCUCCACACUAACCUUAAUAUUUUCCUCACCAUAGAGAAUUAUCAUACCCCACCAUAAAAGAGUAUACCACUUAGAAUUAAUUACCAAUUCUAAGAAUUUUACAUCGGCUCAUGUCGAAAUAUCCUGCUGAAAUUUAUGGUGCAACUUCCAUGUUGGCCUUCCUGGAAGUUUGUCAGCCAUCGACAUAAAUUCCACCACACACCCUGCAUCAAUGCCAACCAUGCCUUGUGUGUAAAUCUUGUGGACCCGCUAGUAGUAACAUAUCUCCUUUCAUGGUACUAGCGAUAUACCAUGAGGAUGUCAUCAUCAUCCAUUUUACAAGGGAUCAUCGUCUCCCACGAUGAUGAGAGACUUACCACUAGCAAUACUAUCAGUAUCUGAUCUGGAGCCACUUGCCGAUCCUGCUCCAUUUCUACUAUGACAAUCUCUUUUUAAGUGCCCCAAUUGUCCACACCCCCAGCAAACUCCUUUCUUCUUAGAUUUAUCUUUCUGCCAAUUCCCUACAACUGCCAAAGCCGAGACAUCUGUAGUUUUAGUACUUUCACCACCCAGUCUCCUUUCUUCUGAGAGUAAAGUACUAGUAACUUCUUCAAGAUCUAUUGUCUCAUUCCCGUACAUCAAAGUAGGUAACAAGUGUUUGUAGGAAGUUGGAAGUGACCAUAGUAACCUAAGCGCCUUGUCCUCAUCUUCAAUUUUAACUCCAAUGGCUUCUAGUUCUGACACAAUACCAUUGAGAACACUGAGGUGAUCGGAAAUUUUUGUACCUUCAGCCAUUCGCAGUGUGUGAAAUCGCUCCUUCAGGUACAAUCGAUUUGAGAUGCUCUUUGUCUGAUACAACUUUUCUAGCUUCUCCCAAAGUUCUUUCGCUGUAGGAAUUUUUCCUACAUUUGCAAGAACAUUCUUUGCUAGACACAGUCGUAUGGCACUUGCAGCUCUAUCAUCUAAUUCUUCCCAAUCUUCAUCACUUAUACUAGUUUUUCCAGAGCCACUACUGGAAGCAGGGGAUGGCUUCCCCUUCAAUGCCUUGUGUAACCCAGAUUGAAUCAACACAUCUUUGACUUGAACUUGCCACAAGCCAAAGUUAAUUCUCCCAUCGAAUUUUUCUAUUUCAAAUUUCACCGGACUUGAAAAUUUCAAUCCUGACAUAUUUGCUUUGCAGAUAAGCUUUUACUCUUCACCACGGACUGUUUGGAUUGGCUCCCACUGCUUCACGUGAAUAGUACUGUAUACGUGAACAGUACCGUAUACGUGAACAGUACUGUAUACGUGAACAAUGCCCCAACACCAAAACUUCAAUCAAUGGCUCUGAUACCACUGUUAGGAAAUUGAGUUUCCUCCCAAGAUCUCUCCAAGCAAUUUAUCAAGCAACAAAUUAAUAAGAAAAAUUAAAUAAAGAAUAUACCAACCACAUAACACAAGAUUUACGUGGAAAACUCCAAAUCCGGAGAAAAACCACGGCCGUUGUCAAAAAGACAACCAGAGAAAAAAUAUUCACUAUGUGGAAAAUUAUUACAACCACACUCUCAAAAAUAAUUUUCUCUCACCUAAGCCCCAAAUACACCCCAAAGAAAUACUCUCUGAAUGAAGAAAAGAAACCGAGGAUUAGAUGCAAAAACCAAAAAAUGGGGAGCUUCCUUUAUAUAGCCAAAAUUGGCUAUUAUUUUAUUAUUUUUACCACCGUCUUCAUUCUUCUAUUUUCUUCUUUCUUCUUUUUCUUCAUUCCAAAUUUGCUGCUGCCAAAUUCUUCUUCUUCUUCUUUGAACAACAUGGAUGCUGACCAUCUAGAUGGCUGCUUCAAACCAUCUAGAUGGCUGGCUGCUUUUGACAUUUCUCCCACUUGGAGAUUUGAUUGAGAAUCAAUCAAUCUCCACACUAACCUUAAUAUUUUCCUCACCAUAGAGAAUUAUCAUACCCCACCAUAAAAGAGUAUACCACUUAGAAUUAAUUACCAAUUCUAAGAAUUUUACAUCGGCUCAUGUCGAAAUAUCCUGCUGAAAUUUAUGGUGCAACUUCCAUGUUGGCCUUCCUGGAAGUUUGUCAGCCAUCGACAUAAAUUCCACCACACACCCUGCAUCAAUGCCAACCAUGCCUUGUGUGUAAAUCUUGUGGACCCGCUAGUAGUAACAUAUCUCCUUUCAUGGUACUAGCGAUAUACCAUGAGGAUGUCAUCAUCAUCCAUUUUACAAGGGAUCAUCGUCUCCCACGAUGAUGAGAGACUUACCACUAGCAAUACUAUCAGUAUCUGAUCUGGAGCCACUUGCCGAUCCUGCUCCAUUUCUACUAUGACAAUCUCUUUUUAAGUGCCCCAAUUGUCCACACCCCCAGCAAACUCCUUUCUUCUUAGAUUUAUCUUUCUGCCAAUUCCCUACAACUGCCAAAGCCGAGACAUCUGUAGUUUUAGUACUUUCACCACCCAGUCUCCUUUCUUCUGAGAGUAAAGUACUAGUAACUUCUUCAAGAUCUAUUGUCUCAUUCCCGUACAUCAAAGUAGGUAACAAGUGUUUGUAGGAAGUUGGAAGUGACCAUAGUAACCUAAGCGCCUUGUCCUCAUCUUCAAUUUUAACUCCAAUGGCUUCUAGUUCUGACACAAUACCAUUGAGAACACUGAGGUGAUCGGAAAUUUUUGUACCUUCAGCCAUUCGCAGUGUGUGAAAUCGCUCCUUCAGGUACAAUCGAUUUGAGAUGCUCUUUGUCUGAUACAACUUUUCUAGCUUCUCCCAAAGUUCUUUCGCUGUAGGAAUUUUUCCUACAUUUGCAAGAACAUUCUUUGCUAGACACAGUCGUAUGGCACUUGCAGCUCUAUCAUCUAAUUCUUCCCAAUCUUCAUCACUUAUACUAGUUUUUCCAGAGCCACUACUGGAAGCAGGGGAUGGCUUCCCCUUCAAUGCCUUGUGUAACCCAGAUUGAAUCAACACAUCUUUGACUUGAACUUGCCACAAGCCAAAGUUAAUUCUCCCAUCGAAUUUUUCUAUUUCAAAUUUCACCGGACUUGAAAAUUUCAAUCCUGACAUAUUUGCUUUGCAGAUAAGCUUUUACUCUUCACCACGGACUGUUUGGAUUGGCUCCCACUGCUUCACGUGAAUAGUACUGUAUACGUGAACAGUACCGUAUACGUGAACAGUACUGUAUACGUGAACAAUGCCCCAACACCAAAACUUCAAUCAAUGGCUCUGAUACCACUGUUAGGAAAUUGAGUUUCCUCCCAAGAUCUCUCCAAGCAAUUUAUCAAGCAACAAAUUAAUAAGAAAAAUUAAAUAAAGAAUAUACCAACCACAUAACACAAGAUUUACGUGGAAAACUCCAAAUCCGGAGAAAAACCACGGCCGUUGUCAAAAAGACAACCAGAGAAAAAAUAUUCACUAUGUGGAAAAUUAUUACAACCACACUCUCAAAAAUAAUUUUCUCUCACCUAAGCCCCAAAUACACCCCAAAGAAAUACUCUCUGAAUGAAGAAAAGAAACCGAGGAUUAGAUGCAAAAACCAAAAAAUGGGGAGCUUCCUUUAUAUAGCCAAAAUUGGCUAUUGUUUUAUUAUUUUUACCACCGUCUUCAUUCUUCUAUUUUCUUCUUUCUUCUUUUUCUUCAUUCCAAAUUUACUGCUGCCAAAUUCUUCUUCUUCUUCUUUGAACAACAUGGAUGCUGACCAUCUAGAUGGCUGCUUCAAACCAUCUAGAUGGCUGGCUGCUUUUGACACAUUCAAAUCAUCAAAAAUUGUGACAAAUAAGCGGUCCACAAUAUCCAUCACCUGUAUUCAGGUGUCAUUGAAAAAUUAACCAAUAAACCCCUCCAGCUAUACCUCCGAAUAAUGCUUCUUAAUCUCCAUUUCAACAUCAAGACCGGUAAAUUAACUCACACAAAUGCCUAUGAGUGUACGAGUCCUCUGGUCUAAAAACAGAACCGGUCUCAAAAACCCGCCCAAAAUCACCGCAUAUCGAUAUUUGCUUGUGACCUUCACUUGAACCAGCUAUCAGUUUUGGCAUGUGGAUCUCAACAAAAUCCUCAGAAAACAAGAAUUGUCUGAAUAUCUGUACAUUGAUGCAAUCAUUAAGGACCAACUCAAGGCCUUACUCAUAUUCCAAUCCAAGCUGGUUAAUGGGUUAAGGUUACUUAAACAUUUUAUAUUUUUGUCUAUUCUAAGAUAAUGUUGAAUAUUAUAUAUAUAAGAAAUUUUUUGUCUAUUCUUAGACAAAUUCUUGGCGGGAAUUUAACAAACUUCAAGCCUAAUAACACUUUGCAUAACAACAUGACAGCUUGGCAGUUGACUAAGCACUCUGCUUACAUGGCAAUCUGACUCAGCAGUUUACAUAGCAAUUUGGCUCAACAUAUAUACUCUUAACAGAACCAAAUAAAUAUUAACACGCGUCUCGACGCAUACCUUGCAUAUCAUCACAUUUAUAUAUGUACGAUGAUAUCACCGCCACCUAAAUUUCUCAUUUAUUAUAUUUGAUUAUUUUCUUUUUUAUUUCAUUGAUUUUCUCGUAUAAAAGUAGAUUUACUACGAUUUACCAUUUUGUUGUUGUGCAAUGGUCACCCUUUUUGUUUGAGCUGCCUAUUGAUGUAUUGCUUUUAGAAAAACUCUCAGAAUAGCUUUACAUUAUACUUUUCUAAUUUGCAAUGAAUGCAUCCAGGAGUAUAGGAAAGAAAGAAAUAAAGGGGGAAAAAAAAAAAGAAAGAAAGAAAUACUCCCCGUGUAUCACCUAAACUAGUUUUAAAACUUCUUGAAUUGGACAAGAAUAAGUUGGCUGACAAGCUUUCCUAACUUCUCACAACUUUUAUUAUUGUUACCUUAUAUUUUCAUAAUCGUUAGAUUUUUAUACUUGAAUUGGUACCAAUCUCUCUUUUAUCAAAUUUAAACAGAGAUAAUUGAUUGAAUGAUUCAGUCUCCGUCGUCCAAAAGAAUUUUUCUUAUCUACAACGUUCUUAUUUGCUCAAACAGAUGGAAUCCAGAAAACUCAUCCAUUUGAUUCUCUUCAAUUGAAAACUCAUCACUUCCUGCAUGUAAGAGCAAUUUGAGUGCCAUAAAGCCUGUAGUGAAUCUACCUAUUUAGGGAAUAAUUUAAAUAGAAAAGUUAACAUGAAGCUCAUACCCUAAUAAAAAGCUACUCUUAAAAUAACAUGAAUCAAGAAACAGAGCAAAACAGAGUAGCUACUAAGAAGAACACCCAAAUUAACUCCUAAAAUUGACCAAACAUAACAAGCAUCAAAUCAAAGCAUUAAAGCACUAAUCAGAGACUUCACACUAAAUUGUUUUUUUUUAAAUAAUGGGAUUUCAAGAUUAUACUUAAAAAGACCUCUUUUUUUUUUUUGGGGAAGAGAAAAAUCAUCUGCAUGGUUGAAGGAUCAAAAGCUCAUGGAUGGAAUAAAAGAGAAAUUAAAGUAAACAAUGUAACUAACCGGUUCCUUGAAGAAGUUGGUUAUCGACGGAGGCCCAGUGACUUUGUCGGAGUGGUGGCAUCGCUGGGUUAGGCCUGAGUGAAGAGUGAAUAUUGGGAGAUCUCUGGCUUCGGUUCUUUGACCUUACGUUAUUUUAUUUAUUCAUUAUUUUUUUUUCUAGUAUAUGCAGAUGCUCCGCUCACUUUAAACUCUGGUGGAUGCAGUGUGGCAACUGAAGUGAUCAGUUGCUGCCCAAGAUCACAAACCAAAUCUGCCAAGAUGCUUCCAAGAUCAAACUGAUUUGAAGCUUAAUUGAUAUGUGUAAAGAAUAUAUUUCAGAAUUGAAUUUCUUGCCCCCCUUCAUUCACAAACUCAUGCACGUAUAUAUACAGAUUACAUUCCUAUAAUUAAGGGGAUAAUAUUCCUACGUAUCCCUAUAGUCUAGCAGUUGUCAUUGUUUGUUUACAACUAAUAUUCCAAUACCCCCCCUCAAGUUGGAGCAUGCAAGUCUUGAAUGCCCAACUUGCGAAUGAAGAACUCAAACCGUUGUCUACCCAAUGCCUUCGUAAAUAUAUCAGCCAGUUGUGCAUGGGUCGAGACAUAAGCUGGUUGAAUGUUACCAAAGCGAACCUCAUCACGAACAAAAUGACAGUCUAUCUCAAUAUGUUUGGUCCGCUCAUGAAACACUGGAUUUGCUGCAAAGUGUAAGGCUGCCUGAUUGUCACAGUAUACCUUCAUUGGAUUUGGAUGCUCCACGCCAAGAGUCAAUAGUAGCUCUUUUAACCAUUUUAAUUCGCAAGUGGUUGCUGCCAUAGAUCGAUAUUCUGCCUCAGCCGACGACCGAGAGACAGUAUGUUGCUUCUUCGUCUUCCAAGAGACUGGUGAAUCGCCAAGUAGAAUGAACCAUCCAGUCAAAGAACAACGAGUUAAUGGACAACUUGCCCAAUCUGAGUCACACCAAGCUGAUAGUUGCAGGUCACAGUCUGAUCGUAGCAUUAUUCCUUGACCAGGAUUCCCUUUCAAGUAACGCACAAUGCGUAAAGCAGCCGCCCAAUGUUCUUCUCGUGGUUGUUGCAUGAAUUGUGCCAACACAUGCACACUGUAAGAUAACUCGGGACGUGUAACAGAGAGAUAAAUAAGUCGGCCCACCAAACGUCUGUAACUCUCAGGUUUAGAUAAGAAAACGCCAUCGGCCAAAGCCAAAUUAUGGUUGUGCUCUAGCGGGAAAGAUGCAGGUUUAGCUCCGAGUAGACCAACCUCAGAGAUAAUAUCCAGCGCAUAUUUACGUUGGCACAAGAAAAUUCCUGUAGGACUUCGGGCUACUUCGAUUCCGAGGAAAUAUUUCAACAUUCCUAAAUCCCUCAUAUGAAAACAUUUGCUCAAAUAUUCCUUGAAAACUUUAAUGGCUGCAUGAUCAUUACCUGUCACAACAAUGUCAUCAACAUAUACAAGGACAUUGAUUUGUACCUUGCCUUGGCUCAAAGUAAAAAGAGAGGAGUCCGAGUAUGAUUGUUCGAAACCAUAACUCUUCAGAGCAGUAACCAAUUUCGCAAACCAACAUCGGGGAGCUUGUCGUAAUCCAUACAAAGACUUCUUCAAAUGACAUACCUUCCCUGGGUUCUCUGAAUGAAAACCAGGAGGCAUACGCAUGUACACUUCUUCUUCCAAAUCGCCGUGUAAGAACGCGUUAUGCACGUCCAUUUGAUGAAGUUCCCAGUGCUUAGCAGCUGCCACUGCCAAAAGAGCUCGAACUGUAACCAUUUUUGCCACUGGAGCAAACGUCUCAUUGUAGUCAAUCCCUGCAACUUACUUGUUCCCGAGAAUUACCAAUCGAGCCUUAUAGCGCUCAAUGGUUCCAUCAGCAUUAUAUUUGAUCUUGUAUACCCAUUUACAAUUUAUAGCUCGUUUUCCUGGUGGUAAGGAUUCUACAGUCCAUGUCUCAUUAUCUUCCCGUGCUUGUAUCUCUUUCUUCAUUGCAUCUCUCCAUUUUUCAUCUUUGACCGCUUCAGUAAAAGAACUGGGCUCAACACCUGCAGUGACAGCUGCCAAGAAAGCACGAUGUCGCAAUGAAAACUUAUCAUAGUUCACAUAAUGUGUUAUCGGAUAAAGACUACCUGAGGAAUGCGUGUGGCCAGGUGAGCGUGCAGAGGGGCUCGAGGAGGAGCUCAACCGUUGUACUGUGUGUAAGACACAAUCUCGCAAUCUGGUGGAUUGUUGUCGUUGCCUGCAACCACGCCCUAGCACAAUUUCAGAUUGCUCAUCGUCCAUAGUCUCAUUGGCACCCCCCCUUGCUACAGAUAUUCCUUGAUCUUGUUCAACAUAUAUAGGUGUUUCAAUAGAUUGCCCAUAAUCUAUAUCCCUUAUACCUUCUUGAUCCUCUUGGUGUGGCAUCCUAGAGUGGUGCUCCAUGUCCAAGUUAUCACUCACAGCAGCUCCCUGCAUAAUUUCCUCUUCGGCAACCAAGCUAUCUAACUCAUUAUUUUUCGUUUUGCCUUGCUCACUAGUGCCUUUGUUCUCAUAAGGAAACACAUGUUCUUUGAAUACAACAUCCCUUGAGACAAAGAGCUCACCCGAGUUCAUAUCAUACAAGCUCCAACCUUUCUUUCCAUAAGGAUACCCAAUAAAAAUGCAUUUCCUACUUCGACUGGCAAAUUUAUCUCCUCCAUGCCUUUGAUUAUGAGCAUAAGCCAAACAUCCAAACACUCGGAUAUUUUUAUACGAAGGGGUUUCACCAAACAAUAUUUCAUAAGGUGUUUUCCCUUGUAACAAGUCGGAUGGAGUUCGAUUGAUUAAGUAUGCAGCUGUCAAUAUACACUCUCCCCAAAAUUCAAUGGGCAAAUUUGCUUGGAAACGCAAUGCCCGUGCUACAUUGAGUAUAUGACGAUGUUUCCGUUCUACUCUCCCAUUUUGUUGAGGGGUCCCAACGCACGAGGUUUGAUGUAUUACACCUUUCUCCACAAAAUAACCAUCCAAGCAGAUGAACUCAGUUCCAUUAUCACUACGCACUAUUUUCACAUGUCUAUUAAAUUGCCUAUGAACCAUAGCAAAGAAAUUCUGAAUCGUUCGUGCCACCUCGGUUUUAUUAUUUAAUAAAUAAAUCCACACUGCUCUAGAGUAAUCAUCAACAAUAGUAAAAAAAAUAGUAUGAACCGCAAAAAGUUGGAGUUCUAUAAGGACCCCAUAAAUCACAAUGAAUCUUCUAAAAAACAUUAGAUGCCUUAUUAUCACUUGAUACAAACUCUUCUCGACAAUGUUUUGCUCGGACACAGACUUCACAUUCAUCAGUGCACUUAUUAUUAUUUCUAUUAACGAUGGGCAACAACCUAAUGACCUUGUUGGAAGGAUGGCCCAACCUUCGAUGCCAAAGAUCUACUGAGUCGUUUUCUGCUACUUUCAUAACUUUGACUGAUGUUAAGCUCCGAAAGUAGUAGAGCCCCUCGCGCUGCUCACCCGCACCAAUCAGCAUCCUCGAAUUGUGGUCUUGUAUAACACAAAAUUUAUUAGUGAACUGGACUAUACAAUUCGACUCCUUAAUCAACUGUGCUACUGAAAUUAAGUUACACUUUAAAUUAGGCACAUAUAACACAUUAUUUAGUUUUAGAUGUUUAUCCAAAACUAUGGUUCCUUCUUUCUCCGCUAUUGUUUCCUUCCCAUCUGGUAGCCUAACAGGACAUGAGAGGAUUUUCUUCACAUCACUUAUUGACUUAAGGCUUCCUGUCAUAUGAUGAGAGGCCCCGCUAUCAAUUAUCCACUCCAUUAUUUUAUGCUUACCGUUCAAUCUUCCUUGAUUCCCUUCUUUUUGCCCAUUUAAUAUAUUAAGCAAUAAAUUCCAUUGUUCGUUGCUUAGUCCAUUCAAUCCACUUUGUCUCCUUCGACUCUUUGUUCUUGAGCCGUGCUUCCCUGUGUUGUUACCUGCGCUGCGUUGGCCCGAAUCUGUCCACCUCGUCAUCUUCCUCCAUAUGCAGCAGGCUGCUUCUGUCCUCUUUGUCCACGACCUGUUCCACGUCCACCUCCUCCUCGAUGUCUAUCUCCCCACCAAUCGGGGUACCCAAUUAGCUGGAAACAUGAUUCUGCGACGUGUCCUGUUCUCUUGCAAUUUAAGCAUAGCACGGUUUUGUCCUUGCUCUCAGUCCGUCCUUUCAAGCUUGUUGCUGUUUGAACUGCAAAAGCCAUGGCCUCGACUUGCUGUUCCUUCCCGCGGGUUAUACUACAAACUCGCUCUUCCUGGAUAAUCAUAGCAUAUGCUCGAUUCAAGGUUGGCAAUGGUUCAGUGCUCAAGAUAUUGGACCGCACCGUCCCAUAAGUUGAGUCAUCCAAGCCCAUCAAAAACUGAUGUAGCCUUUCCUCUUCACGUCUCUUAUCUAAUUCCGCACCGAUGUUGCAUGCGCAUCCUCCACAUCGGCAUGUCGGGUAUUGCUCAUAGUUUCCCAAUUCUUCCCAGAUCAUCUUUAAUUUGCCAUAGUAACUCAUAACAGUUAUGCCUGGCUGUUUACAUUCAGCCAACUCAGAUUUAAGUUGAUGAACAGGUGGUCCGUUUUCUGCCGAGAACCGUUCCUUGAUAUCAUCCCAAAGUUCCUUUGCAACUUCCCUGUAAGUUAUAGUUGAGCGCAACGUUGGUUCAAUUGUGUUCAAGAUCCAUGAUAUCAGCAUGGAGUUAACUGUCCACCAAUCUUCUUGUGUCAUAGAAUCAUCCGAAGGCUGUAUCACGGAACCAUCGAUGAAGCCAAAUUUUUUCUUGGCCCGCAACGCCGUUCUCAUUGCUCGUGCCCAUUCAUCAUAAUUGUCACCCUUCAAUUGAACUUGCGUGAUGAUGUUCCCUGGAUUGUCGUUGGCCGAGAGAAAAUACGGUGAUGUUGCGCUCUUCGACGGCCCAUCAUCGCUGCCGUUCCUAGCCAUAUUUGUGUGGCUCUGAUACCAAUACUUUCGGUGAAGCAUUACGCAGCAGUGAAAGUGAUCAAUGGAAGUUAGCCAUGGAGGAAGAGAUGAAAUCUCUCUAUCAAAACCAAACUUGGGAACUUGUAAAGUUACCAAAGGAGAAAAGUGCUAUUGGCAAUAAAUGGGUCUACACCAAAAAGUAAGGAUCUCCGAAUCAAACAACUCCUCGAUACAAGGCAAGGCUCGUGGCAAAAGGUUUUGCUCAAAAGGAAGGUAUUGACUACAAUGAAGUUUUCUCUCCAGUUGUAAAACAUACUUCCAUUCGUAUCCUACUUGCCUUAGUUGCAGAAUAUGAGUUAGAGUUGGCUCAGUUGGAUGUUAAGACGGCGUUCUUACAUGGAGAUUUGGAGGAGGAAAUCUAUAUGAUUCAGCCUUGUGGUUUCAGAGUUGCUGGAAAGGAGAAUCAUGUGUGUAGGUUGAUUAAAUCUUUGUACGGACUGAAGCAAUCGCCAAGGCAGUGGUACAAAAGAUUUGAUCAAUUUAUACAAGGGUAGAAUUCACCAGAAGUGAACACGAUCAUUGUGUUUACUUUAGAAGACUACCAGAUAGAGCUUUCAUCUAUUUGCUACUCUAUGUCGACGAUAUGCUUAUAGCUUCGAAAAAUAGAGAUGAGAUCGAAAGAUUAAAGAAGCAGCUGGCUUUUGAGUUUGAGAUGAAAGACUUGGGUGAUGCACAGAAAAUACUUGGGAUGGAGAUUUGUAGAGACAAGAAGAAUGGGAGCGUAUGGUUGACUCAAAAGUCUUAUUUGAAGAAAGUGCUAGAAAGAUUCGGUAUGGAUGACAAAACUAAAUCGGUAUGUACACCUCUAGCUCCUCAUUUCAAAUUAGGCUCUUCUUCAUGUCCUAAAUCUCAAGAGGAGCGCGAUUACAUGGCUCGUGUUCCAUAUGCUAGUGCUGUGGGUAGUCUUAUGUAUGCUAUGGUAUGUACAAGGCCUGAUAUAUCUCAAGCAGUAAGCAUGGUUAGUAGAUACAUGCACGAUCCGGGUAAAAGUCACUGGCUUGCAGUAAAGUGGAUUCUUCGAUAUCUGUAUGGGACAGUUGAUGUUGGGUUAUUGUUCAAGAAGGAUUGUGGUUAACAAUGUGUUGGGUAUUGUGAUUCUGAUUUCGCUGGAGACCUUGACAAGCGAAGAUCAACAACGGGCUACGUAUUCACAUUGGGUGGAGGCCCGGUUAGUUGGAGGUCAAUUUUACAAUCGACAAUUGCUCUGUCCACUACGGAAGCAGAGUACAUGGCAGCAACUGAAGCUGUAAAGGAAGCUAUCUGGUUGAAAGGCUUGUUAGGUGAUUUGGGAGUAAUCCAGGAGAACAUUACGGUCUUCUGUGAUAAUCAAAGUGCGAUAUUCCUUGCGAAGAAUCAAACAUAUCACGCUCGGACGAAACACAUAGAUGUGAAAUAUCAUUAUGUGAGAGAGAUUAUCGAGAGCGGUGUUGUGUUGUUGAGAAAGAUCGAUACCAAAGAUAAUCCAUCAGAUAUGUUGACGAAGGUAGUUUCUGGAGUUAAGUUUCAACAUUGCUUGAAAUUAAUUCAAAUCCUUCGAUUGUGUUAAAGAUAUGUCCUUCGGGAAUUUUGAACUACGGUUGGCUUGAUCCCAAAUUUUGGGUACGUAGGCAAUCGAAACGACACAGCCAUUCUGGAUCCUUAUUGAAGGAUCACUUUGGGGAUGAGGGUUCGUUGGUAGUCGGCUCAGAUUUGGACAAAUUUUCGCCGAGGUGGAGAAUUGUUGAAAAGUCAUGCACGUGACAUUGAAAUUCAAAAAUGAAUGCAAAAUUUCAAAUGGCUACCAAACAUUUGAAGAAAAAAUGGAAAGUUGGCAAAUUUGUCAAAUUUGCCAAAUGGACACCAUUGACUAUUGGCUUAGGUUAGGUGGAAUAGUAAAGGGGUUGGUGCAAUAGUGCCAUUAUUUUCCCUAUAAAUAGAUGGCACUUCUUCCAUUCUAUAUCAUCCCAAAAUUGUUAAGCUUAUAAGUUUCUAAGCUUUUGAGAGAAGUGAGAGAAGUCAGAAGUGUGUCUGAGGAAUUUAUCUUUCCUGCAGAGUGUGAGAGUACUGGGUAUAUUUGGGUUUCUGGGAAGUGAGAUUCGUUACUCAAAUAUUGUACUCUAUUAAUUGUUAAAUAAACAAUUAUUCUUUCUUGCCUCCGUGGAUGUAGGUUUAAUUACCGAACCACGUAAUUCUUGUGUCCUUUAUUUUUCUAUAAUUAUUUGGUGCGCUUGAUUCCUCAUUCCGCGUACAACAGCUAGCAGGUCAUGUAAGUUGAUAAAGCACCAUUCAUGUAAGUCUAUUUAUAUUGACUUAUAUGCACAAGCCUAUAAUACAAACAGCAUUAUUGUAAUACAAAUUUGUUUCGGAAUUCAUGGCCUAUAAUACGCCAUUUAUGUCCUAGACUUACUUGUCAACCUUGCAAAAUUUUUGUGCUUGGCAAUUGGUUUUGUUGAUGCCGAAAUCCGGAUGAAUUGGUUAGUGACUCGAUCUCAUAUUCCUGCAUCAACAUUAAAUUUAUUUGGUGGGAAGCUGUUGGUUGAUCUCUAAGAAAAUCCUCCGACUAUGAGCAGAACAUUCAUGAGCUGUUGAUCAGUGAGCACCGAGAGCAGAUAAUUGAUGAGCAGAUGACCAAUGAGCAGAUGAUCCAUGAGUAGAUAAUCCGCGAGCCUGCGAGCACAAAAAAUAGUCAGGGGGUGCCGGAAGUUUUUCCGACGUAAACCCUCUGACACUCAAGUCAGCGAUUUGGGUCUACUUGGAAAAACUCAUACCACAAUUCACAUGGUUUAACUAUGAUUGUUUUAAACAAAAAGAUUUUAAAAAAAUUUAAAGGAAAAUAAUUGAAAAUAAUCAAUCUUAAAGAAAUCAUAAGCGAAAGAGAAAUUUUCCAGUGGUAGAGAGAGAAAAAGAUUCAAUGGAUUCAGUCACCCAAAGGGACAGAAGAAAAAGAAUCCCCCAUUUUCCCAUGGGUUUUAUAAGAAAUUAUAGCGGUUUUUAUCCUCUUCCCUAGAAUUCUCAAGAAAAUUACUAAUUUUGAGCCCACUAAAAACAUGGUUUCUAAUAUUUCAAAGAACAUAAGUGAGAUUUGUUUUGACUGAGUCGUGUUUUCUAAUAACAUCUUGGUCGAGGUGAUGUGGUCAAGAUAACCAAAUAACAUCCUGAUCGAGGUGUUGCUCAUUUUUUACUUAGAGGAGAGCACAAUAAUGUAUAAACAAACAUUUUAUCUUGGUCACCUUAUUAUAUUCCCCAAACAGGUUUGUCGGUCCUCCAGGUAUUUGGAGCCUUAUGAUACCUUUUUGCCAUGGAAAAAGUUAGAGGAUGUCAGGAAGGAAGCCCGCAUAAUUAAUUGAGCUGGAUGCAAACACAGUUCGUUUUACUGUGAAGACAGAGUUUAGGAGACGACAGAAAAUUUCUAAAUGACUUGUGCGGCAUAAAUAAUUUUGGAUAAUGUAAUGAUGCUCUUGAGUCUGGCAUUGUGGAGGUGACUGAUUUUUCAAAGAAAUUGUUACAUUGUUUACAAUGGGGCCUGCAAAAUUUCAGGUUAAUUUGCUCAUACAACAAUAUAUUUUCCUUGCGUGUGUUGCAUAAUACGAUUAAUUCUUGCGUUACAGGUUCUUCAUUUUGGAAAAUUGAGUUAAAGAAGUAAUGCUAACAGUACAUUAUAUCUCUUUUAGAUAUUUAAUAACACUUAGGGGCAAAAAUUUUAACUGAUAGUUGUGUUAACGGCACAAUCAAUUUUUUUGAAUGUCAAAGGUAGUCAAGGGCUUGAGUGAUAAGUUUUUUCUACAGAGGAUGUAAGUGAGGAAUUUAUGAAACAUUUUGAUAAAAAGAAUUAUCUAGGAUAAGCAAUUGAGCAGAAUUCUUUUACAGUGCAUUUUUGCAAUUCACAUAACCAACGUAGGGGUGGUGCUGUUUGUGUUUUUAAUCGGCAAGAUGCAGUUUGACUCAGCAAGAUCACAGAAGAUAAGACAGAAGUGGAAGGAGAUGAAGCAGUGGCCAAAUUUUGAGUAUAUUUCUUCUGAUGUGCGGGGGGCAGUUAAGGAAAUACAAGCUAUACAAAUGGCAAGAAACCAAACGUGUUCGUGUUGAUAAUUUGGUGAAUGAUCUUCCUGACGAACUUGGCAACGAAAUGAAAUGUCUGCAUUAAAGUGCUCAAGAAUGUGACGUUGAACUAUUCAAUCACUCAGUGAGGUUGAAGCCAUUACUCUUAUGGCUGAUAACUUUAAACAUGUAUUAUCUACCAUUCACACAUUCCAAUCGGCCCGCUCUUUUGUUACAAUCAUACCGGCGUUUUGGGAAGCUUUUACUUUGAUAGAAGGAAGGCUAAACAAAGAAAAUAAACAAAGUGGGACAUGUAACAACGACACAAUACAAGAAAAUUUAACGGUACUUGUGACUAAAUCAUUGAUGACAAACUGUUUAUUCUUUAUAUUUACAUGUGAAACCGCAGAAAAGGGCCAAAAUUGUAGUUUGAAAUUUUACAAUUGAUUUUGUCGUCAAUUGAUGAGCUCAUAGCGACAUUAAUUUAUUGAAUGAUAAAAUAAUAAUUUUAUAUUCAGUAAACAUAUGAAAUAUUACUUAAAUUGAAAAUUUGAGAUCUUAAUACAUUGGAGUUACAUUGAGUUGGGAGACGAACUUUGACUCUGAAUGAGACAGCACUUAAUGUGUCAUUUAUUUAUUAAAUUUGUUAAUGGUAUGAUAUUAUCUCAUUACGCAGAAAUAUUAAAUUGCAAUGAGUCUAGUCAAUUGGGAAAACAUUUUUUGCGCGAGUAUCUCAAUUUCCAAUAUAAAAAUUACAAGACAAAAUUAAAAAGGAGAAUGAUACUUUAUACCUGUUUAGAAGCCAUUGGUUAUUUGGUCAUAUUCAAAACCUAUUUUAACCACGUAAGUCCAUGAUAAAAGUUACAAGAGAAAAAGAAGAAUGAUACUUUAUAGUUUAUACCUGUUUAGAAGCCAUUGGAUAUUUUGAUCAUAUUUGAUAAAAGUUACGGGACAAAAUUAAAAAGAAGAAUGAUACUUUAUACCUGUUUAGAAGCCAUUGGAUAUUUUGAUCAUAUUUGAUAAAAGUUACGGGACAAAAUUAAAAAGAAGAAUGAUACUUUAUACCUGUUUAGAAGCCAUUGGAUAUUUUUAUCAUAUUUGAUCAAAGUUACAAGACAAAAUUAAAAAGAAGAAUGAUACUUUAUACCUGUUUAGAAGCCAUCGGAUAUAUUGGUCAUAUUCAAAACCUGUUUUAACCACGUAUGUCCAUGAUAAAAGUUUAAAAUACCUUUUGUGGAAAGGAUAAGUAUGAUAUUUUUUAAUAAAUAAAUAAAUUUAUUUAGUCAAUAGAUUAGGUGAAUAAUUUAGUGAGUUUAAAUAAUUUCGAUUAAUUUAUACGCGAAGAGUGAAGCUAAUGGCACCCUUCAUUAUUUUUAUAAAUCUCCACUUUAAAUAAAAUUAUAUUUAAGGACAAAUAAGAAUUAAACACAUUUAAGAAUUUUCACAAUAAAUUACUUUCAUAAUCAAUUCUUUUUUUUUUUUGCAUUCAUAAUCAAUUCUUUUUUUUUAUUUUCUACUUGCCACUUCUCUCUAAUCAAAAUAAAUUACAAAAAUUUAUAAUAAUUUAUUUUUCUUUUCUUAUUUCUUAAUAAUUGAGUAUUUUUAUACCUAUUACUUUCAAAUUAUAAUUUAAAAUGUGUCAUAUCUAUAACAUAAUAAUGUUUUGAGUUUUAAUAAUAUACAAAUUCAAUUAAAAAACAAAAUAAUGUAUUUAAAAGGGAAAAAAGGACGUUUUUGAAAUUAAAUACAAAUAUUCCAAUUGUUACUGUGAAAAUGUGAUAUUUUCAGCACUAGAGCUACCACUUUAUUGCAUAUCCGACCCGAGAGGAACUGAUGUGGUCCAACAGUGCUCGGAUCGGAUCGGUUGCCGUCAUAAUCUGAUCACAUUUAGGUAACUUUUCAGUUUUGUCCAGGAGAAAGGCUAUCGAUUAUGUCUCCCUAAGAAACACGUCACAUAGAUGAUGUAAUCAGAUUUUAUCAUGCGUUUGUUCCCCUUCAAACGUCACAUAGAUGAUGUAAUCAAAUUUUAUCAUGCGUUUGUUCCUCUUAAAUCGAGUACUUGUCACAUCCUGAGUGUUUGUGAAUCUACAUUAUUUUUUAAGGGUAUGUUUAUAUUGGAACCGUUCUAAGAUAAAAUAUCUUUUAUAACUACAUAAUUAAAAUAUAUAUAUAUUAAUUUCAGAUUUAAAACAAAUGAAGUCUUUGUUUUUAUUUGCAAGACUUUUAUAACACAUUAAUAUGUAACACUUCAAAUUUCACGGUAGAUUAGAUACAAAUUUUUUAUCCUUAUACUAGACACGUGAAGAGUAGUAAGAAACAAGUUAAAAAACAAAAAAAACACACUCUGAUGUAGUUAUUUUUAUCUUAAAGUAUUAAAAUCUAUAUUUCUUUUAAUCUUUUAACUUGUUUUUUACGAUAUUAAAAUAAGAAAAUCCUUUGAAAAUAAGAAAAUCCUUACUAAAAGUAAAAGGGGACUUGCAUGUCAUGUGCACAGUGUACAAUAUGUUUCAAAUGUUACUUGAUAGAAAUUACUGAAAGCAUUGUAUCAUUGGAAAACUCUUGCUGCAUGCUACUAAUUUGACAGUUUAUCAAAUAUUUUUUGCUGCUUGCUACUUAUGAAUCACGUUUAGUCCCCUUUGAAUUGUGUGCAUCCACCAUCUGUUAAAUUUAUCUUUGAACCCAAGCACGUUCAAAUCCCCGAGUUGUAAAAUUUACAAGAUGCAAAAAUCUCGUAGAAACCUCAGCUGAUGAACUCUGUAAAGAAUAUCGUCAUUCAUUCAGCUAACCCGUUGAACCAAAAUGCAAAAUCAUCCUCAAUAAGUACAAGAAACAAAAACUUUACAGGAAUAACUUGUGAAACUUGAUAAAUUUCUGCGGAGACUACAACGUCAUUUCAAUUUGUGAGGUAAUUAUUUGAUGCCAUGAUGCUGACUGAAUCUCAUUAAAUUAAUGAACAUAAUACAACAAGUGGUACGAUAACUCCAAAUCAGCUAUCACAUUAUGUAACCACUCGGGCAGUAGCCCGAGUGGCCAGGGCUGCUGCCCUCCAACUUGGAGGGCAGCAGUUCGAACCCCCACAAAAGCAUUGUGGGGGUAUUUCCUUCUUCAAUUAAUUUGAGUGAAGGUAGUCUUCUCCCUUACCCAUGAGUGAGGAGUAGACAUCCCUCGAAUAUUUGUGAGGGUUAAAAUCUGGGCAGAGCUCCAUUAGCAUUGAUGUCAGUUGGUCCCAGUAAUAGUCUAAUUUGUAAAUAUCAGUAAUAGUCUCAUGUAUAUGAGUUGUAAUCUGAGCAAUAGUCUCAUGUAAUCAAAAAAAAAAAAAAAAAAAAAAAGCUAUCACAUUAUGUAUUUGAUUCAAAUAAGAGAACAAAAUUUGCAUUAUUGAUAGAUAUUAUAUUGUUUCUUGUAACUGUCUCUUGACAAAUCGCCCAUUAAUGCAGUCAUUUCACCAAGAUAGCAAGCUGAUAGAGAAAUCUGACAAUGCAAUGCAUGUCAUCCUCACACUUCAUUUUAAUCGAAAAUGGGUGAGCCAUUUUGUUCAACUUUCACCUCCGGAAGUCGAAAAGGACAUGAAUGCAAUUAUGCAAGUCCUUAUCAAAGAUGCAAUGAAUGACGCCUAAACUCCUAUAGAGCAGAGUUAAGCUAUUAAUCACUGCACCGAUACAUCAAAAAUUAAGUAUAUGGAUCAAAGACAUCUUCAUUCAAGAAUCUCGAAAUUUCAAAGCAAUGCUUGUCAUUUACAUAUCAAGCAAAGGGACCAAAGAUGGUGGUGCUCUAAUAUUUGGUAAUUAUUUGAUGCCAUGAUGCUGACUGAAUCUCAUUAAAUUAAUGAACAUAAUACAACAAGUGGUACGAUAACUCCAAAUCAGCUAUCACAUUAUGUAUUUGAUUCAAAUAAGAGAACAAAAUUUGCAUUAUUGAUAGGUAUUAUAUUGUUUCUUGAAACUGUCUCUUGACAAAUCGCCCAUUAAUGCAGUCAUUGCCGACAAAACAACUUUGUGAAAAAGUUCACCAAGAUAGCAAGCUGAUAGAGAAAUCUGACAAUGCAAUGCAUGCCAUCCUCACACUUCAAUUUCAUCGAAAAUGGAUGAGCCAUUUUGUUCAACUUUCACCUCCGGAAGUUGAAAAGGACAUGAAUGCAAUUAUCCAAGUCCUUAUCAAAGAUGCAAUGAAUGACGCCUAAACUCCAAUAGAGUAGAGUUAAGCUAUUAAUCACUGCACCGAUACAUCAAAAAUUAAGUAUAUGGAUCAAAGACAUCUUCAUUCAAGAAUCUCGAAAUUUCAAAGCAAUGCUUGUCAUUUACAUAUCAAGCAAAGGGACCAAAGAUGGUGGUGCUCUAAUAUUUUGUCUAGUCAGAUUUCAGAUUUACCUUGUUCAUGUCUUUUUCUUUGGUGCAGAAGUUCCCCGCGGCCUAUUUCAACAUCAUUCGUCAUCCUCUCAAUCUCCUCCUUUUUCACUGGCAGAACCAAAAAUAUCUUGCACCUCAGUGAAAUAUCAUUGGAGACAAAAAAGUUUCUCCAGCUUAUUCAACAACCAAAACCAGCCAAAUAUCAUCUCCAGCCACAAAGCAAUGAGCCAAGUGAUUAAAUUUCCUUGAUGCAGGCUGAGGAAAGCCAAUAAGCAAUCAAAGGAGAUGGAAGAAUAGCACUAUUAAUUCAAGACCAACAAAGUUUGCAGCAAAACUGAUAGUAUUUAAGAUUUUGCAAAAGUCAAUCUUGUCUGGUUAUCAACACUGCAAUUAUAGCUUUUGUGCACCUCAGUUAGCCUUAAAUUGUGAAAGUUUCAGCCAAACCAACAAUUUCUAACCUACAUCUCAUGGUUAUACAAGCUAACUGCUAGCAUCUGCUUCACUGCAUUAUGCUUCAAAAACAAUCAUACUAAAUGUCACAAUUCUGGUAUAUAAAAGUUCAGCCGUCUACGCCAUUCAAGUUGAGCAUUUGACUGCAUCUCUAUGGGUACUAUUAAGGGAUGGCAAUAAUCAGUUAUGAUACGAAUAAUUGACAUCCGUAAUCCGAUAUAUCCGUCCGCACCCAUGUCUAAUUUUAGAGGUUUGAUAUGGAUAUUGAUUUUUGUUUAUAUGGAUAUUGAUAGGCAUAGAUAUUCGGGAAAAAAAAUUCUACUUAACACUAUAACGAAUAGGAUACUUCUUUUAUUAGAGCGUUGUCAUGCUGAUGAUGUGCAAGAUAUCAUAAAUAAAGGGGAUCGUAGGGAACGAAAUGAAAGAAGUUUAAAGAAUUUGAAAGAAACUGAUUAUUCUCUUAUUCAACAACUCGGUGUGCAAUUACAUUUUACACGAGGUCCAUGUAAUUAUAUUUGUCAUUAAGAAUGAGCAUUUGCCAAAAGAAGAGACACAUGUCAUGACAAUGAGUGAUUGACAAGUGACAAAAUUGAUAGACACCCGCCGAAUAUGUCAUAACACAAACUUCUUACUGCCUGAAACAACAUGGCUGGAGCAGAGAUUUUUCUAUCAAAGCGUGUCCAGGAAAUGGUCCUCAAUGGUGAAGAACCGCCAGCACCACAUAUUUGUAGAGAUGGUGAUUCAAUUCAAGAGGUUUCUGCUCCAUUAUCUCCGGUUCCGAUCAUUGACCUCAAUCUGCUCUCAUCUUCAACACCAUACGCCAAGCAAGAAGAAGAACUGCAGAAAUUAAGAUCAUUGACCUCAGUCUCAUCUUUAACACCAUACGCCGGUUCCGAUCAUUGAUCAUUGACCUCAGUCACUCCUUCAUGACCACAUAAUAAGGAGUGGCUAUUAAUUUAAAAUAUGAAGUGGAAAAUUGAAUUAAUUUAUUUGAAAUAGAAAUGGUCACAUGAAAAAUUUGAAUUAAUUUCUUGAAACAGGAUCCUACAAAUGAAGUGUUUUAAUUUCGUAAUUUAAUAUUAUUAUUGUUAUUUUGUUUUUAAAUAUUAAAAAAAGAAAAGAAAAAUUGGGUUGUCUUUAGUUUCUAGCGGACAUCAGAUUCAUCAUAAUAAGCGUACCCUUGUCCAUGUAUAAAUUGCAUUUGCCUCUGAAUUCUUCAAUAACUAGAAAAUAGAAUCGUGCUUCAUGCGGCUUUGAAAAAUGAAUUUAGUAUUAUCUUUUUUCUUAGUUUACACUUGAUGAAACUGAUAAAAAAUAUGAAUUGAUUUUUUUUUAAGAUGAGGUAGCCGUAUAAAAAACAAAAAAAAAAAACUAUUAGUCAGCAACACAAAUAAAGAAGCAACGCAAGAUAAAGAAUACAAUGAGAGAAUAUAUUAUAGAGUGAUUUUAUUCAUUCCAAUUGUGUGUGUACAAAACAAAAAGAUGAGCUCUCCUUUUAUAGUUACAUAAUCACUCUAUGAAAGUAAUGAAAAAUUAUGGAUCAUAAUUCCUUAUGAGAUAGUGGGAGUUAUAGGGAAGUUAAAGGUUGCUAAUGGGAGAUAGUAAGGAGACUAAGAGAUAUAUGUUAUAAACAUCUAUAUUUAUUUUAAUAAAUUCAUAACACUCUCCCUUGGAUGUUUAUUACAAAGAAUAUGUCUCAUUAAAAUCUUUACAUAAUUGUUAUUGUAUAAUAACAAUCAAAUUAAUUAUGAGAAGAUAAAAAGCCAAAUUUAAAAGAAAAUUUAUCUAUUUAUUAGAUAAUAGAGAAUAGAGAAUAUACAAAGAUGAGAAAUAGUGAUGCCACAUCACCUCCUCAAGUCCCAACUUUAUAUAUAUAUAUAUAUAUAUUGAAAAAGAUGGGUGCUCGUGGGACACUCUCAUUUAUGAUACAAUUUAGGAAUAAGAACUUAAUGACGCAACCAUCACCAGCAGCCUCUUUUUUGGAGGUACUCGGAUGGCCAUUAUUGCCAUUUAAAAGAUAACAUAAAUAUUAUAGAUUGCCAGCUAUGGCCGAGCUUUUAAAUUUUAAUUAUUUUUUUUUAGAGAAGAAGAAAAAUAGCCAUUCAAAAGAUAACAUAAAUUUUCUAGAUAGCUAGUUAAGUUUGAGUUUUCAAAAUUUUUUGAGAAAAAAGAUACUUAUGUCUUUGAAAUUUAGAAAAAUGAUCACACAAAUUCUCAAAUUUUUAAUAAGAUAAAUCAAGACCCCAUUUUAUUAUAAUAUCUUUUAAUUCUAUAACUAAAAAAAUUGACUAUAAUAUUUUAUAAUAAAAAAAUAACUGAAAUGACUCGCCCCGAAUCCCUGGACGAGUCUAUCUAAUAUUGCCAAUUGAAUUAAUAAUAAUCUAAUAUUUAGAAUUUUACCAAAAAUUCGGCAGAGUCUCCUAUAUAAUUAUGACAUUCCCAAACCUACAAUUUAUAAAAUUUAACACUCCUAAAAAAUGAUACAAUAUUCAAUCAACCUCCACAACCAACUUCUUCAAUCAAAUACCAAUAUCCUUCAAACAUAUAAUGUCAAGAAUACAAUAAUUUAUCUUUAAUCACAAAUAAGUAAUAAAUUAUAAAAUUCAAAAUAUCCCAACAAAACAUCUAUGAUUCCUAACAUCAUCAUAUGAUCAUAAUUCUAAAUUUAACUAUCGUUGUUGGGUCGACUGAUGUACCUACAUAUCUCUUGUGGAGAGGGGUGUAUAUAAUAAAAAAAAGAUGAGUAUAAAAUUCAGUGAGCUCAGUUGAGUAUAGUGUGAAAAAAAUAAAUUUACUUCAAAUAAUCUAAUCUUUCCCAAAUCAAUAUCAUCAAAAUAUUAUAAGAACUUAAAUAAACUUAUUUAAUUUAAAUCAUGUUUUGAUAUAACAAUAAUACAUAAUACGUCAUGAAAUCAAGGAAAACGUGAUACUUAUAAUAGCAAACACCAAAUACCGAAUCUAUCACCAAAUAAGUACCCAGGGGAAUAUCUCACCAUAUCCAGACCUCGACGGAUCUGUAAUCAGGGAACCAUCAUGGCCCGAAGCUACACGGAUAGACAAGGAGUAUUAUCUCAUAUCUCAUCAUAUCUGUGCAUGCAUAAUCUAGUCUCCAAAGGACAAGGCGCCCGAGAACACGGUCCAAAGCUUCUGUGUGUACUUAGAGGGGCCCCAAAGACCUAUAUUUCAUCUGUAUCAUCAUAUCUCAUAUGUAUCAUCUGUAUCUCAAUAUCUGUAUCUCUGUAAUCAUCAGACUGCAUGCAUAUGCCCCUAAAAGGCAAAAACGUCCAAACACACGGCCUAAAACCUCUAUGUGUGUUCAAGCGGGCCCCAAAGGCCUCUCAUCUCAUAUGUAUCACUGUAUCUAGAGGGAAAGGCUACUGUCUAAUGAUUUUAAAAACAACAUCUUAUACACAUAUACAUAAACAUAAAAUGACACUUAAAUCUCAUUUCUUUUUCAUGUAACAUACUUUAAAUCUAUUUUAUUCUCUUUAAAACCAUUACCAUGCAUUUACUCAAAAAUGAUAAUAAAAUCAUGAAUCAAACUCAUUUUUAAUAAUAAUAAAUAUCAGCAUGUAGACAAAAAUCCAUUUUCUAGAAAGUUAUUAAACUCGAGUAUUAAAUACUUAUUUAUCAAACAUGUUGUACUGUAUCGUAAAAUCAUAAUAUAUUAUGAAAAUAUGUUUUGUAUAUUCCACUCACAGUGACGAUGUUCGAGCUCGGUAUCGUCAACGUCUGUGGGUUGAUUCUCAUUCAUGGAUCCUCCUAAUAUAAAGAAAUAACAUAAUCAUUCUCCGUAAAUAUGAAAUACAACUAAUUUUACGCGAUAAAUCUCGAAACGAAUAUCUAUCUGUAAUAAACUAUUCCCUUAUGCAUAAAAUUACCAAAAUACCCCCUGCAUGCUAAAAUUACCAAAAUGCUCCCGAUAUCAAUAUUUACCAAAUUAUCCUCAUAAUCCUAAAUUACCAAGCUGAUGUUACGAAAUUACUCUUAGAGUGUAAAAUUACCAAUAUGCCCUUAAUAACAUAAAUUACUGAAUUACCCCUAAAAUCUCAAAUUACCUAACUGCCCUAGUCCAAAAUUACUAAAGUAUCCACCAAUUUUGAAAAUCACAAAAUUAUGCCCCACAGUUUUGUAAAUUACCGAACUACUCCUGCCGGUUAACGGUGACCGGACUUCAGUCAACGGUGACGAGAAGCUCAAAUAUGAUAGUUCUAAUCUCAGUGAGUCCAAUGGCGCCGGCGAUGACCACCCACGCUCGGCGACGGCGGUAGAUCGAGCUUCUCUAGCUGCCAGCUUUCCGAUGGUCGAUCGGUGGAAUUCCAGCCGUUUCAGGCAGCGAGUUUGGUUGGAAAAUGAUGAGGGUGAGCUGAGGAACAAGAUCCAUGCAGUGGCGUGGCCUAAUUCUGGCGAAAUCAACAUUGAUGAAAACGAGUUGAGCUGCGGGUUUUUCAAGCUUGAUUGCCGGCAUUCUACCCAUUUUUCGAUGAGGUGGUCGGAAUCGGUGGCUGGAGUUGGGUCGGGUUGCGCGAGUUCGGGUCGAGUAAGGUCAAACUCGGUCAGCUUCUCUCUUUCUCUCUCUCCCUCUCCCUUUCUCAAUUUAUGCAACCAAUUCUCUUUUUUUUUUCAAAGCUUAAUACAAAUUAAGCUAAUACCGAAUCCAUAUUGAAAAUAUAAUCCGACUACCUGACCUUUUAAUCGCGCUCGAUUUGUCUUGAUUUAUUGUCGUGACAAAUUUAAAAUAAUCUAAACACAAUAUAUAUUAAUAAAUAUGUAACAUUUAACAACCAUCCCCCAUAAUAUUCGAAAAAAAUUGAGUUGCAUCAACUUCACUGUAAAAAUUCGUAACAAGUCUGCUAAAUUUAAAAUUAAUGCCGAAGGAGAAAAAUUAAAUGAUACACUUAAUUAGCAAAUUUAAAGCACAUAUAUUACAAUAACAUUAAAAUAAAUGAAAUAAUAUGUACAUUUAAAAAUUAUUUUUAUAUUUACAAUCUAUUAGAUAUAUUUUAUUCUAUUAAAGAAAAUUUUUAAUGAUAAAUAGAAACUUAAUAUUGAAUAUUUUGUACAAUUUUAACAUUAUUAAUGAAGAGAUUUUGUUAAUUUUAAAAUCUAUUUAACUCAAAUAUUUAUUUAAAAUCUUUGUAAUAAAUCCAAAUAUAUUAUUAAAUUUAAUAAUUUUAAAUGUAAAAAAUAAUUUAAUAUUACUACUCUACUAGAUAUAUUUUAUUAUUUUAUAUUAUUUUUGUAUUAAUUAAAAAUAUAUAAAGUCAAUUUUUUUAGUUACUAUAUUCAAAGUGUAUUAUGAUUAAAAAAGGAUCCUAAAGUAUAUAUAAUCAUUUUUCAAAAUUUUAGGAGUGUAAGUGUCGAUUUUUCUUUUUUUUUAUAAUUCUUUUCGUACAAAAAUUAUGUUCACGUUCUUUUAACUUCUCAUUAAUGCAUUUUCAUUGCCAGGGUUUCUGCGUUUUCAAUCAAAAAUCUAGUGAAGAAACUGGAAAAUGUUGGAGGAAACGCUAAUGCAUUAUACGUACAACCUAAUAAACAAAUUGUUGGAGCGUACGGCUAUAGCAAUUUGUUUAUGGUCAUCUGUGCUUGUGUAUACUAUUAGUAAAUCUAUUUUGAAAUGAACCCAAAUAAUCAAAUUGUCCAGUGGCACUUACGGUCCAUGGAUCUAAUAAUUUUUGCUUCUUUUUAUUUAUUUAUUUAUUGCAUAUCAUAACCUGUCAGUCUCAUAAUAUUGUCCAACAAGAUUGCCUUUUUGAAAAAUUUCAAAUAAAUCGGACACGGGUGAUUAUGUUAUCCUUUCUUUUUUCUAACAAAUAUAAUUUUCACUGUCAUUUUGUGUUUUGGACAGCUGGAAUGACAGUGACCUGACUAAAAAAUAUUUUAUCUGGACGACGAACGACCAAGUCAAAGUCUUUUAAGUGUACAGUCCAACUCCUUUUAAAUAGCAAUUGAAUUCUGCACUUUAAGCAAUAAGUCACUCGGCCAAAUUUGCAGAAAUAUUUCAAAGUUUAAUUCUGCACUUGGAUUUUUCAUUGCUGAUCAUGUAAGUUAGUUAGUUAUUAUUAUUAUUAUUUUUUUCACCACGGUAACUCUUGUGCUUACACUUUUCGCGGAGCUAGUUCUAUUUUCUUAAUGUUCUAAUUUUCAAUGAAUAUAUUUGGACAAAGCCACGAACUUGUCUUUUAGAGGGCUUAACUUGUAUUAAUAUUGCUGAUAUAUUCCUUAUAAAUCAAAAAGAGCAAACAAAGUUCUUAUAAAGGAAUCUCUAAUCUGCCGAAAUGACUUUAUACACAUUUGUAGAAAUCAAUUUCUUGAUUAUUGCUUGUCAAUUAUAUGUAAGUUAUACCAUCUGUUAGUUUUUUAGUUGGCAUUUUUGAUAUUUUUCAACCAAAAUUCACCUUGAUUGGGAAAAUAAACCAUUUCCUACUCAUGUUUUUUAAUCCUACUCCAAAAUUCUCAUCUUAUUUGGUGAAAAUUUUCUUGAUGUUAACAAACUUAUGUUAACUGUCAACUAUUGUAAAAAUUAAGUCAAUUUGUUUUUCAACUAUCGGACCGGAAAAGAGUACCUAAUAACAUGUAACGUUAGGAGAGUUUUGGUGAGGUUUA
RNAcentral lists this long non-coding RNA (139786 nucleotides) under Citrus maxima (pomelo). RNAcentral's name for it is "long non-coding RNA (CMAX_LNC004030)". The record is from RNAcentral. Lineage: Eukaryota; Viridiplantae; Streptophyta; Magnoliopsida; Sapindales; Rutaceae.